This 96358-nucleotide long non-coding RNA is filed under the name Prunus persica (peach). RNAcentral describes it as "long non-coding RNA (PPER_LNC001840)". The stretch from base 19959 to 20032 matches the Rfam family "tRNA". Lineage: Eukaryota; Viridiplantae; Streptophyta; Magnoliopsida; Rosales; Rosaceae. The record is from RNAcentral.
UUUUUUUUUUUUUUACUAAUGAUCAAACUUUUAAAAAUGUUGCUUUGUUUGUGUAUCAAAUUCGUUUUUUUAAAUGCAAAUGAUUUAUAGCUUAAGAGGUUAAGAGUAUUUACCAUGCAUUUGAAGUCCUAGGUUCAAUAUUCCGUUCUUCCAAUAUCGUUUAUGUUGGCAUGACUUAUGACUUUCCUUGCACACCAAGGAUUUCCAUAUUAAUUGUAAUUGAUUUCCCUUUGAUUUCGGAUUUCCUAUCGUAAAUAGAAUUAUGAGUUAUUACUAUCCUUCACCUUCAAGGUUUUAUUGUAUUGUAAAUAUGACCUCUUAUAAGGAGAAAAAUAUACAAAAAAUUCUCACAAAUAAUAUUCUCUCAUAGUUUCUCAUAUUUUAGCAUGGUAUAAAGCGGCGAUCUUGGGAUUGUUGCAAAACCUUAGCCAAACACACGCCGAUGCUGCCAUGGGGGAUCACGAUGUGAUCAUCCCCAUGGAGGUAGCACUACUGAUUCCUUUACCACCCAUACCAAGAAACUAGAAGAAUUGAAGACCCAGAUGACCUAAUUUUUGAAGAUCCAGAAUUAGACCCCCAACCAAGAACCUUGAAGAAUUUAGACCCAGAUACUAACCAAGACUUAGAUCCCGACCCAGACUCAAAUCCCGACCCCGAUCUUGACUCAGAUCCAGACCCAGAUAUCAACCCAGACUAUACCAUAUGAAUUUUUCGAUGCACAUAUUAUGACUUCUCGCAUAGUGCCCCAGACAAAUGGAAAAGAUUGCACAUACUGUGGCGAUCCUAGACACACUCGUGAGACUUGUUUCAAAUUCAAUGGCUACCCCAAUUGGUGAGAUGAACUUAAAGAUCGAAGACGACAUAAACCUGCAAGGAGUGGUUUUGGUUAUGUAUUCCGUACUUCAAAUACGAGUGAUUCCACGAGAUGGAUCAUUGACUCCGACUCAAUCGAUCAUAUGACAUUUGGUCCUAAUGACCAGAUGAACUAGUAUUGCUAACGCCAAUGGAGUUACUUAUCUUGUGACAUGGGCUGACACGGUUGCUCUCUCAUCCUCUAUAUCAUUUCCUAACACUUUACUUGUUCAAUCUCUAUCCAAUAAGUUGAUGUUAGUUGGUCAGGUUACUGAAUAAUUGAAUUAUUAUGUACUAAUCUAUCAGACUUUUUGUUUGCUUCAGGAUAUUCACACUAAGGAGAUUAUUGGUCGUGGUAUUAAAAGAUGAGGGCUAUAUUAUGUAGAUGCCUUCAGCACAUGCAUGGUUAACAGUGUGACGCAUUCCUCUGAUAGCAAACAAAGGCAAAUCUGGUUGUGGCACCGCGUUUGGGACAUCCAUCCUUUAGUUAUAUGAACCAGAUUUAUUCUCAGGUUUCAAAGACUCCGACUUCAAAUGUGACACUUGUAUUUUGCCAAGAGUCACCGUGUGCCCUAUCCAUUGAGUACGAGCAAGUGUACUACUCCGUUAUAUUAAUUCACUCUAAUGUCUAGAGACCUUAACAUAUCACUACUUCGUUUGGAAUUCUAUGGUUUGUCACGUUCGUAGACGAUUGUACCCGGAUGACAUGAUUUUAUUUCAUGAAGAAUAAAAAAGAAGUGUUUUCACGGUUUCAAUUCUUCCACAAACAGAUGAAAACUCACUUCAAUGCUCAAAUACAGAUUCUUCGCUCUGACAAUAGUGGAUAAUUUGUCAAUCAUGACUUUCAAAUACCACAACAACAUGAAAUUAUCCAUGAGACGACUUGUCCAGAUACCAUAACAAAAUAAUGUUACUGAAUGAAAGAAUCGACAUCUUCUUGAAAUAGCCUGAGCAUUUCUGAUUGGUGCUCAUGUUCCUCUCAAUCACUGGGAUGAUGUUAUUGUCACCGCAGUUCAUCAUGCUUUCCAGUGUCUUGAACUUUAAAACUCCCUUACAAGUUCUUGCACAACUUGGGCCAUUGCCCUAUAUUUUGGUGCUCACACCUGAAUCUUUCAAUGUGUGGCCUUCGUUCAUCUCCACAUAAAUCAUCGCAGCAAAUUUUAUCUUUGUGCGCUUCGUUGUGUUUUUGUAGGAUAUUCCACUCAUCAGAAAGGUUACCGAUGUUAUCACCCAACUACACAGCGUACCUAUGUCACUUUGGAUGUGACCAUUUUGGAAGCUGAGAUGUUCUUCCAUGACCCAACAUCCAAUUCUACGCUUUGGGGGGAUAAGGAGUGAAGAGCACAAUUAGAGCAACCUGGAAGAUGGAGGAAUUCGUUUCUGCCUAGAAAUGAUCGAUCGUUGCCACCCCGAAAAUCGAUCGCUUCGGAGUCCUAAAGAUUAUACUCCUCUCGGCCAGAAAAUGAUUGAUCGUCUAGACCCUGACGAUCUAUCGCUUUCCACCAAUGAAGAUAUUUCAUAUUUGGGUCUCGCUCUUGAAGACGAUCCAGAACCGCCAGCAGUACCUAUUAAUCAAUUUUCUGAAAAUAUCCUUGAAGUAAAUGCUCCUACGACACCUACAAAUUUGGUUGAUAAUUAUAUUGGAUAUAAAUUAUCUUUCAGGGAAAACCGUGGAAAACUACCAAAUCGGUAUUCCUCAGAGAUUGGCAAAAUAUCGAAGCAUCCGAUUGCCAAUCAUUUAUCCACUCAGAGACUACCUGAACCACUCAAGGUUUUUGUGCAUUAGUUGUCUGAUAUCCAUAUCCCAACCAAGAUAACUGAGGCAUUGAAAGAUCUUAAGUGGGUUCAAGCUAUAAAGGAAGAGAUGAAGGCUCUCGAAAAGAAUCAGACAUAGACAAUGGAACCUUUACCACAAGGGAAAAGGACCGUUAGUUGUAGAUGGGUGUUCACUGUAAAUCACAAUGUUGGUGGAUAUAUCGAAUGAUAUAAGGCAAGGCUUGUGACAAAGUAGUACACACAAACCUACGGUAUAGACUAUGAAGAGACCUUUGCUCCAUUAGCAAAGUUAAACACCGUUAGAGUCUUACUGUCUCUUGCACCUAAUUUGAAUUGGUCAUUACAAUAGUUUGAUGUAAAAAAUGCUUUCUUGCAUGGAGAACUCACAAAAGAGGUAUACAUGGACAUUCCAAUACAUUUUAUGUCUUGCCUUAAAAAUGUGGCCUAAGAGCCAAUACAUUUAAUGUAAUCUCCUUAGAAUACAUUUCGUAUAUGAUAAAUAAAAGGCAAGUUUAUUUUGUUAUCAUUUUCUUUGUGUAAAGAAACAAAUGUCCACAAUAUGCUAAAUAAGAGAUAAAGUAAUUUGAAGAAGAUUAGAUUUGGGAGGCCUUUAAUCUCGAACUGUAGUUUCUCAAAUGUUCCUAAUCAUAGGAUUAUCAAAUGAGCAUUGAUAAACCGUUAAGAUUAGCACAUACUAUGUAUGCUCAAUUAGGAGGAUGGUUAGUCUCAAACCAUUUGUGUAGAUGAGACUAAUACAAGUAUGUGGGUGCUCAUUUGUGAAUAAGUACAUUGAACGCGAUCAACCGAAGUUCUCGUAUGGAGUUUUAUCAACAUGUCAAAUGAGAACUCAUAAAUGCAAUAAUGCAAAUUAAUCCUUAGACCUAAGGCAUCAUGGUUGUCUUAUGAUACGUUAUUGAUCUUUGAUAGCUCGCAAAGGCAAGUCGUAAAAGAUUUUCCUUAUAUGUUAUUGGGAUCUCUUAAUUCAUUAUGGGGCCAUGUAAAUGUACAAUAAGGAAUCUCUAUCUCUGAUAAAAAAGAAGAAUGUUUUAAGAUAUGAUUAAGUGAAUCUUCGGUCGAAGUACCUGAGCAUGAUUUAGAAAAUGGUUCGUAAUCAUGUUCUAUUGAAUCACAUGAGGUUAAUCAUAUUAGGGGUUUGACAUAACCAAUCCGUACCCUAAUAAUAUGAUUUGAAACAUUGUAUUAGGGAAUGACCGUAUUGCAUUGCAAUUUCAACAGAAUAGGUUCUUCAACUAUUCUAAUUAGCUUGGGUAACCUAUAUUGCUAGAUAUCACUCUUGGCUCAUGGAAGUCCUAGGAUUAAUUGUGAUCGAUCCAUAUAAAGGAUGAAUUAAAAAGAAGUUUUAAUACCAGUUGAUUAGAAAGAGUUCUAAUAUUUUCCCACUACCUUGCUAAUUAAAACAUAAUAGAUCGCACACCUUAAUGGUUUCUUUGAGAAAUACAUUUGAAAUUGUGGAAAUAAAUUUGAUCGAUUUGAUGCAGAUGAUUUACAACGUGUAAAAGUGUAUUUGGGCUUCGAUAAUAGUUAACGGGAAGCUCAAAUGGUUGGGUAACGAGCCCAAGGGCUUAAGACACCUAAAUACUAUGAUUUAAGUGUCAUAAGGCCCAAAAUUGGAAGCCCAAAGGGUUUGGCCAAAAAUGCAUAAGUAAUUGUGUAUGGAAAUUGUUUCAACAAACUCAUUAACACACAAACACAAUCCAACAUCAACCAAAUAGGUGAGAGAAAAAAGAGAGUUUUCAAGAGUGAAACACUUUCAUAUUUCAAGGGGUUUAGAUUGAAAUCAAGUAAAUCUCUCAUCUCAAGGUUCCAUUGGCACUGGCGAACUGAGGAAUUUUUCAGCGGAGGUGCAAUUUUGAAAGGCUAAAAACUCUUUGUGGAUUGAACAUCUAAGGUUUUUUUUAUACCUAGAUUGACCUUAGGUCCCUUCAUGCAUUCAUAUAAUUACAUUGUAAACUUAAGUAAAUAGAGUAAUAUAAAAAUAAAUGAAAGUAAAAUGAUAAAGACAUUUACUUAAAUGCUGAAAGUGGAAAUAAGGUAAUCUGUACACAUGGAAUGCACCACCACCAGUUGAGCAGCGAGGCAAUUUGAAGUACUUACAAUAGUUUUUUUGGUGAAGGGAGGUACAACUGCACCUUCUUACACCUUAAUAGGUCCGCCAUUGUCCAUUGUGUGGAGACUUAGAGGCCAUAUCCUUUUGUGGCUCACAAGAACGAGAAAAAUAAAAAAGGAGAUCAACAAAAAAAAGUCAUCAAGAGAAUACCCAAAUACAACUUGGUUCAUAUUAUAGCUUCAAAGGUAAUUAGAACUUAUCUUUUUCUCUUGUACUUUCACUUUUAUGGAAACAUAUCAAUGUUCAUGGUUUAAGAUACUAGGAAGAAGUUUUGGUUUUUGAAUUUAAACAACCACCAUAUACUUCCGUUGCAAUUAAUUUGAUUAAAUGCACUUUAAUAUUCAAAUGAACUUCUUAGAAAUGUUUAAAACUAAAAAUUGGUAUCAGAGCCAUAGGUAAUGAACUUGAUAUGUUUCUAGAGUUUAGAGAUGCGUAUAUGGGUUGUAAAUUCAUUUAAAAGUAUAAUGGUUAUACUUGAUUUAUUUUGAUAGGAUUAAAUGAAAAUCAAAUUGAGUGAAAGAGGUUGCUUGGGAUUUUAAAUUUCCGGAUUUAUGUUUUGAUGAUUGAUGCUCUCUUUGUAUGCAUAUGUGUAUGUAUGAACUUAGAGCAUAGUUGCAUCAAAACCCUAUGAUUUUAUGAGAUGGUUAAAAUGGAAUAUGGAUUUUUCCAGAAAUAGCAUGAACAUUCAUAUUAGUUCAUAUGUAUGUUGUUGGUGUCCUUGUGAUGAGAUCUUUUUGAUCCAUAAGUUAGGUAACUAAUUUUGAUGAUUGUGCUAGUGAAUAUUUCUACCAAGAUAGGUCAUAAAGAUGAUGACUGUGGGAGUGAUUUUCGUCCCACAAGAAUAUUCGCUUAAGAUUCCUUCGUCUUCUUCGCUUCUCUUUCUCCCUGCAAAACAAAUCGGAGUAAAGGGACCACUCCAGGGGGGUGUUGGCCAAAGGCCCUCCAAUGCCUAAGUUAGUUCGAUUGAUUCGUAGAGAAACAAUAGCUAAAAUGAGUACAAAGCUCUCGUGGGGAGAACCGGGUGGCCAGAGCCAUGUGUGGUGAUUGGAGCCUUGUGUGAGAGAGAGAAAGAGUAUAGGGGCUAGGGUUGUGAGGGAUAAUUUUUGCAGAGUUUUAGAUAAGAAUUUAGACGUACCUCAACCCUUGUGCAUAGUCAUCUAUUUAUAGGGGUCUCGGAGGCUAGGGUUUCAGAAGAAUAAUUCCGUAGAUGAAAAGAAAUUAUUCUAAUUAGGGAUUAAAGGGAUUUGAUUUAAUCCCUAAUUAAGGUAGGAAUCAAAUCAAUCACAAUUCAAUCAGGUAACUCCCAAUUAAAUUGAGUAACUCCUAAUUAAAUUAAGUAACUCCCAAUUAGGUCAAAUAAUCCCCAAAUGGAAGGAAAUAUUUGACAUAGGGUUUGGCUAGAAUUUGGUUCCCACAAUGAUGGUGAUUUGUCAAAAAUAUAGAAAGUUCGUUGUUUCCGCUCAAUAAACCUUUACCUAUCACAUGAAAUUAAUAAGAUUAUUUUUUAUGAAUGUGCAAAAUCUAGAUGUUGAUAAUGGUGAUAUGAUACAAAACGCAAAAGUUGAUCAAUUUAUUCCUAUCACUUAUUCACCCAUCACACUAAAAUUAAUUAUGAUUACUUUGGUGAGUGUAGUUGGCCUACGUAGUCAUAUUCAUGAUUAUUUACCUAGUUGGAAUAAUCAUGAUCGCCACUUUGUAUUAAAUAAAUGUAUGAUUUAACCCCUCACCCUAGUGGAUUAACAUUGGAUCCAUUAUUAAUUGUUGAAUAAUUUUUAAUUUACUUGCAAUAUAUGAUAAGUGGAACUAUGCCUAAAAGAUUUUCACAAUUGAUUUUGUUAUUGUAGUAAAACGUUUUCACUCCCUGGUAAAUUCAUUAUGAAUAUGGUUACCACUAUAAUUAAACCCAUAUAUGUAUGCACUCCAAGAGCAUGUAUUUACAUUGCCAGUGUAAUUGUUUAAAGGGUUUGUAUAAUUAAAGGAUAGUUAUGGACUUAGACCAAACAAUUGAGCUAUAUGAUUGGCCGCUUAUUGGAUUUGUAUUCGAUUUUGAUUGGUUAUGUAAUAAUGAAAUGACUUUCAUGUCUAAUUUAUUUUUAUGCAUGAGUAAUUAAAAUGAAUCACCAUCCAAGACUAUGAUCCAAUAAGUUGGCUCGUAUUGAUCACCAAGAAAGUCCAUAAUCAUCCUAUAACCCCAAUGCAAUUGGAAUGUUCGGUAAUGAUAAUAAUUAAUCAAUUAGUAGUAUCAUGUACUCCCACUAUCUCAAGUAAAUGAUUUCUAAAACAUUUAGUGGGAGUAUUAUGUGCUACUAAUAUGUUGUACCGGGAACCAUUUAAUAAGAUUAGAUAGGUAAUUUUAAUAGAAUUAAAAUUGGAUUAAAAUGAGACCAAUUUAACUACCAUAAAAGAAAUAUUAAAUAGAUAAGAGAAAUGACACUCUGAAUGCUAUUUUGUGACCUUCCACCGUGGUAGUCUCUUAUUGGGUGGCACAUAUACACUUUGUUGUACCUCACUGAGGCAACAUCCAGUACUUGUAACCAUCCAAGGGAAGCCUAUUAAACAUACUUGAUGUAGUGUCGAUAGAUAACGAGUAUGGCCAACAAAUCGUAAGGAUGAUGACAUACUGGAAACCCUAUGCCCACAAUCAUUGUGUGAAUAACUUAACUAAGACGAACAAAACGAACAAACUGUUAGGUUGAGGUCUAGUUUUAUAAGGCCAUUGUGAUGGGUAUUCACAUUAAUAAUGUGAUUGGAUAAGAGUAUUAUCUAAUUAGUAACAUAUCAAUCAAACAAACUAUUAGGUUGCGAAAAACUAUGUGAAAAUGAGACUUCCGUCCCCACUAAAAGUUUCAACGGAAACUCUUGGAUUUCAAGAAGGAUAAGAAAUUUACCAAAAAUAGUGGGAGCUACCAUUAUGACUUAAUGACCUUAAGUCCUUGAUAGAAGAUUAAUCUAAACUAAACUUUGUUUACGUUGUUGCAUAAUCUUCAAAUGGACUUUGAAAACCCAAUCUCAUCGAUACUUAACAAUUACAUCCUUGAUGGCACGAACUAUCCGGCCUAGCUUCAUAAAGUGAAACUUGUCCUUACAAUGGAUGAAAUUGAUUAUGUGUUAACAGAUGCCCACCACAUAUUCCUCCAAACCCAACAGCUACUCAGAAAUAAAGAACUGCUUAUGAGAUGCAUGUUAAGGAUGAUAGUAGAGGUUAAAGUUACUUACUAGCAUCCAUGAACGAUGAGCUACUUAAACAACAUGAAGAUAUGGAUGAUUGUACUUUCAUAUUGCUUUACCUCAAAAACCUUUAUGAUGAAGUUACUCGUAGCUUGUGUUACAAUAUAAUAUGUGGACUUGUCAAUACAAAGAUGACAAGAGUGACUCAAGUUAAUCAGCAUGGUCUUAAGAUAAUAUCAUUGCUUAAGUUUGGCAAAAAGUUAUCUAUCAUCUUGAGACCAUGUUGAUUAACCGGAGUCCCUCUUGUCAUCUUUGCAUUGACAAGUUCACAUAUUGUAUUGUAAUGCAAGUUACGAGUAACUUCAUCAUAAAUUUUUUUGAGGUGAAACAAUAUGGAAGCACAAUCAUCCAUAUCUUCAUGUUGUUUAAGUAGCUCAUCGUUCAUGGAUGCUAGUAAGUAACAUUUACCUCUACUAUCAUCCUUGACAUGCUUCUCAUAAGGAGUUCUUUGUUUCUGAGUAGAUGUUGGGUCGAGAGGAAUAUGUGAUGGGGCUUGUGUAGCUUCCACUAUUUUUAGCAAAUUUCAUGUCCUUCUUGAAAUCCGAGAGUUUCCUUGAAACUCUUAGUGGGGAUGGGAGUCUAAUUUUCACAUAGUUUUCCACAACUUAACAGUUUGUUGGAUUGCUAUGUUACUAUCAGAGGAUACUCUUAUCCAAUCACACCAUUAAUGUGAAUACUCAUCACUAUGGCCUCUAGAGAACUAGACCUCAACCUAACAGUUUGUUGGUUUCGUUCGUCUUAGUUAAGUUAUUCCCACAAUGCUUGUGGGUAUAGGGUUUCAAGUAUGUUCUCAACCUAACGAUUUGUUGGCCAUACUUGUUAUCUAUCUGCACUACAUCAAGUAUGUUUAACAAGCUUCCUUGGGAUGGUUACAAGUAUUGGAUGUUGCCUCACUGAGGUACAACAAAGUGUAUAUGUGCCACCCAAUAAGAGACUACCACAGUGGAAGGCAACAAAAUAGCAUUCAAAGUGCCAUUUCACUUAACAACUUAAUAUUGCUUUGAGGGUAGUUAAAUUCGUCUCAUUUUAAUCCAAUUUUAAUCCAAUUAAAAUUACUUAUUUAAUCUCAUUAAAUAGUUCCCAAUGGAACAUAUUAGUAGCAUAUAAUACUCCCACUAAAUGUUUUAGAAACUGUUUGCUUAAUAUAGUGAGAAUACAUAAUACUACUAAUUGAUUAAUUAUCACAAUUACCGAACAUUCCAAUUGCAUUGGGAUUAUAGGAUGAUUAUGGACUUUUUUGGUGACCCAAUUGAGCCACUAUGUUGGAUCAUGGUCUUGGAGGGGGAUUCAUUUUAAUUACGCGUGCAUAAAAUAGCUAAUCAAAAUCACAUACAAAUCCAAUAGGCAGCAAAUCACAUAGCUCAAUUGUUUGGUCUAAGUCCAUAAUUACCCUUUAAUCAUAGUGGUAACCAUAUUCAAAAUGAAUUUACCAUGGAGUGAAAACGUUUUUCUACAAUAGCAAAAGCAAUUGUAAAAAUCUUUUUGUGGGCAUAGUUACACUUAUCAUAUAUUGCAAGUGUAGGGGGCUUUUUAUUCCGACAGCUGUAAAUUGGAUGGGCUGUCGUGAAGGGCGGAUUGAUGAAAUUGUCCCCUGUGUCUGAAUUCGAAAAUCAAGCCGCAAAAAUACUUCGAAAGGGCAAUAGAGCUUUAGGAAGCAUCUUAGUUACCUUCACCAACUAAAAUAACAGCAGCUUAUGAUGAUUUCUUAAUGCUUACAGAUAAAUUUUCUAGCUUGGCAUGAGAGGUUUGUGGCAUGGAAGCAAAAUCGACAUGAGUUUAGCACUGAAGAGAAAAUUAUGCUUUCUUGGGAAAAAAAGGAGUGUUAAGGUAAGAAAUGAAAUGUUUGCAAGAAGAUUUGGCUGAGAAGAGAGAAAGAAAGAACAAUUUUCUUUCUGGCAGCUUGACAGAGAUUCUGAAAGUGGUCUGCUAGAAGAGGAAAAUGGAGAAGAAGGGUGAAUAGUGCACGAAAUUGCUGGGUUUUGCAGGCAAGAGAGGAAGCUUGCUCUCUGGAUGUGGGUUCGUUUUGUUGGGUAAAAGAGGCCUCAUUUUAUAGUCGCUGGAAACCAUCCUUUCCCAAGAAACCCUAAUGGUUUCUACCUAAUUUGGCAAAGCUUUUCCCUUCCUUUCUCCUCUCCUCCCUUGAAUUUUCCUAUCUUGGUGAAAUUUCCUCUGCCUAUUUGCACAAAAUCAGGGAUUUUUGGGAGCUCAAGGCCCCUUUCCCGCAGCUGUUUCAGUGGGAGACUUCUCAUUCUCAACUAUUUUUUCUUAUUCUUUCCUUCCUCCUUCCAUGGCUAGAUCUGAUGAAGGAAAACAAAUGGAUGUACAUGCUGGUUCGAAGGGUGCUUCUCCUCCUGGCAGCUUGCGCUUUAUAUCCCUUGGUUCCUUGAAUGUUUUUUGUUUGAAACUUGCUCCCCCAUGUGCUGGAACCUCCCAGCAGCUUUGUUCAAUGAACCUUCAGACCUCCCCUUCAUGGCUUUUGUUUUUCCAGCCAGAUGCUGGGGCCUUUGUAGUUCAUUAUGGUAAUUGUUUGGGCCAAGGUGGUUCAUUAAGUAAGUGGGCUAUUUUUAUUAAAUGUUGGGCUUUUGGUUGAGUCAAUAGGCUAUUCUGAUUGUGCUAUUUUUGAUUGGGCUAUUUUUUUCCUCUUUUGUGCUCACCCACAUGUUGGGCUUAAGAAAUGAGCUUGAGUCCCGAUGCUCCCAAGCAACCCGAGACUUCCAUUUGUCGGCCUAUCAAUGGGCCUCAUGUCGAUUUAUCACUAUCCAUACCACAACCCACUCAAGCAAGCCCCGAGCAUUUGAGUGGCUUGGGCCCACUUAGGCUUGUAGCGUGGCAUGUUGCUCAUUUGUUUGGCGUGGCAUGUGUGUAAGUGCAUAUGACGAACAUUGGCAUGCCCAAAUCGGGUUUCUUAUUGGUAAGGUAUCACAUUGGGCCUGAAAUAUAUUUGGGCAGAACCGUGGAUUCUUUGGAUCUCAAAAGCAAGUACGUUCAAAAUUAUUCAACAAUUAAUAAUGGAUCCAAUGUUAAUACACUAAGCUGUGGGGGUUAAAUCAUGAUUUGUUUAACACAAAUGGUGAUCAUGAUUAGUCCAACUAGGUGAAUAAUCAUGAGUGUGACUAGGUAGGCCAACUACACUUACCAAAGUAAUCAUAAUUAAUUUUACUGUGGGGGGUGAAUAAGUGAUAGGAAUAAUUUGAUCAACUUUUGCAUUUUAUAUCAUAUGACCAUUAUCAACAUCUGGAUAUUCCUUACACAUUCACAAAAAAUAAUCUUAUUAAUUUAGUGUGGUGGGUAAAGGUUUUUUUUGAGUGGAAACACUUUGACCAACUUUCUAGAUUUAUGACAAAACAUCAUCAUCAUCUUUAUAACCUAUCUUGGUGGAAAAAUCCACUAACACAAUCAUUAAAAUUAGUCACCUAACUUAUGGAUCAAAAAGAUCCCAUAACACGAACAUCAAGAACACCAACAAAAAACAUAUGAACUAAUAUGAAUAUUCAUGCUAUUUUCGAAAAAAUCCAUAUUCCAUUUUAACCAUCUCAUGCUAUUAAUCAUAUUUUCAUGAAGUUAAAAUCAUGGGGUUUUGAUGCAACUAUGCUCUAAUGUUCGUACAUACACAUAUGCAUACAAAUGGAGCAUCAAUCAUUAAAACAUAAAUCCAAAAAUUUAAAAUCCCAAGCAACCUAUUUCACUCCAUUUGAUUUUCAUUUAAUCCUAUGAAAAUAAAUCAAGUAUAACCAUUAUACUUUUAAAUGCAUUUCCAACCCAUAUAUGCAUCUCUAAACCCUAAAAAUAUAUCAAGUUCAUGACCUGUGGCUUUGAUACCAAUUUUUUAUUUUAAAAUAUUUUUACGAAGUUCAUUUGAAUAUUAAACGUGCAUUUAAUCAAAUUAAUCACAGCGGAAGUAUAUGGUGGUUGUUUAAAUUCAAAAACCAAAACUUCUUCCAAGUAUCUUAAAUCAUGAACAUUGAUAUGUUUUCAUAAAAGUGAAAGUACAAGAGAAAAUGAUAAGUUCUAAUUACCCUUGAAGCUAUAAUAUGAACCAAACUGUGGUUUGGUCUUCUCUUGAUGACUUUCCUUUGUCGAUCUCCUCUUUGAUCUUUCUCCUUCUUGUGAACCACAAAAGGAUAUGGCCUCUAAGUCUCCACACCAAUGGAACCUUGAGAUGAGAGAGAAGAAUCUUGGGAAUUCAAGGAUGCUAGUGCAAGAUCCUAAAGACUUGGGUUUCAAUCUAAACCCCUUGAAAGAUGAAAGUGUUUCACUCUUAAAAACUCUUUUUUCUCUCUCUCUCUCUCUCUCUCUCUCUCUCUCUUUGAUCUCCUAAACCUAUUUGGUUGAUGUUGGAUUGUGUUUGUGUGUUAAUGAGCUUGUUGAAACAAUUUCCAUACACAAUUACUUAUGCAAUUUCGGCCAAACCCUUUUGGGCUUCCAAUUUUGGGCCUUAUGACACUUAAAUCAUAGUAUUUAGGUGUCUUAAGCCCUUGUGCUUGUUACCUAACCAUUUGGGCUUCCUGUUAACUAUUACUGAGGCCCAAACACACUUUUACACGUAGUAAAUCAUUCGCAUCAAAUUGAUCAAAUUAAUUUCUACAAUUUCAAAUGUAUUUCUCAAAGAUAACUAUUUAUGGUGUGCGAUUCAUUAGGUUCUAAUUAGUAAGGCAGUGGAAAAAUAUUAGAAAUCUUUCUAAUCAUCUGGAAUUAAAACCCCUUUUUAGUUCUUCCUUUAUAUGGAUCGAUCACAAUCAAUCGUGGGACUUCGAUUAGCCAAGAAUGACAUCUAGCAAUAUAUAUCAAGGCCACCCAAGCUAACCAAAAUAGUUGAAGAACCUAUUUAGUUGGAAUUGCAAUACAAUACGGUCCUUCGCUAAUACAAUAUUUUAAAUCAUAUUAUUAGUGUACGGAUUGAUUAUGUUAAACCCCUAAUAUGAUUAACCUCAUGUGAUUCAAUAGAACAUGAUUACGAACCACUUUAUAAAUCAUGCUCAAGAACUUCGGCCGAAGAUUCAUUGAAUCAUAUCUUGAAACAUUCUCCUUCUUUAUCAAAGGUAGAGAUUCCUUAUUGUACAUUCACAUGCCCCCAUAAUGAGAGAUCCCAAUAACACAUAAGGAAAAUUUCUUACGACUUGCCUUUGCGAGCUAUCAAAGAUCAAUAACGCAUCACAAGACAACCAUGAUGCCUCACGUCUAAGGACUAGUUUGCGUUAUUGCAACUAGUAGUCCUCGUUUGACAUGUAGAUAAAACUCCAUAUGAGAACUUCAGUUGAUCGUGUUCAGUGUACUCAUUCACCAAUGAACACCCACAUACUUGUAUUAGUUUCAUCUACACAAAUGGUUUAAGACUAAUCAUCCUCCUAACUGAGCAUACAUAGUAUGUGCUAUUCUUGACGGUUUAUCAAUGCCCAUUUUGAUAAUCCUAUGAUUAGGAAUAUUUGGGACACUAUAGUUAUAGAUUAAAGGUCUCCCGGAUCUAAUCUUUUUUAGAUUAGUUUAUUUUUUAUUUAGCAUACCUUGGACAUUUUUCUUUUACACGGUGCAAAAGAUAACAAGAUAAACUUGCCCUUUAUUUAUCAUAUACGAAAUGUAUUCUAAGGAGAUUACAUCAAAUGUAUUGGCUCUUAGGGAACAUUUCUAACAUAACUCACAAAAGAGGUAUGCAUGGACAUUCCACCCAGAUAUACCACUUCUACUCAGACUGGAACGAUGAGCAAGUUGUGAAAGGCUUUGUACGGAUCUAAACAGUCACCUCGUGAAUGGUUUGGAUGGUUCACCAUGGCAAUGAAGAACAAUGGUUUCUGGCAGAAUAACUCAGAUCAUUCUUUGUUCUUGAAAAGGGAAGGUAACAACUUUAAAAAUCUAUGUUGACAAUAUAAUUAUUACUUGGAAUGAUGAACAUGAAAUAUCUUAGUUAUAAGACUAUUUGGCUACUGAAUUUGAGAUGAAGAAUCUAGGUGGACUCAAAUAUUUCUUGGGGAUUGAGGUGGCUUGAUCAAAGUAAUGCAUAUUUCUCUCUCAAAGGAAAUGUCUUGGACUUGUUGACAGACACUGGAAUGUUAGAUUGCAAAUCUGCAGACAUUUCUAUUAUUCAAAAUCAUCAUCUUGGAGAAUACCUGGAUCAAGUUCCAUCUAACAAAGAAAGAUACUAAAAGCUAGUAGGAAGACUGAACUAUUUGUCACAUACUCGACUAAACAUUGCUUAUGCUAUGAGCGUAGUUAGUCAGUUUAUGCAUUCUCCAAGUGAAGACCCCAUGAAUACAAUUGUUCAAAUACUUAGAUAUUUGAAGUCUGCACUCAGAAAAAGACUUAUGUUCCCAAAACAUGAUCAUAUGAAUAUUGAUGGUUAUAUAGAUGCAGAUUGGGCAGGUAGUGUAACAGAUAGAAGAUCCACAUUUGGUUACUUCACAUUCGUGGGAGGUAAUUUGGUGACAUGGAGGAGCAAGAAACAGAAGGUAGUGGCUUUAACUAGUGCAGAAGCUGAGUUCAGAGGUAUGACUAAAGGAAUUUGUGAGCUCAUUUGGUUAAGGAAGUUGCUUAUUGAACUUGGGUAUGAACCUAUAUCCAUAAUGAAUCUAUUUUGUGACAACAAAGCUGCAAUAGUCAUUGCACAAAAUUCAGUUCAACAUGAUUUCAACAAACAUGUUGAGGUGGAUCAACACUUCAUCUUACAGAAGUUUGAGGCUAAAGUGAUUCAGCUCCUUUUCAUGGAGUUCGAGGAUCAAUUGGCAGAUAUUUUGACAAAAGAGAUUUCCUGUAAAGCAUUCUAUACGUCACUGGAUAAGUUGGGUAUUGUCGACAUCUAUGCACCAACUUGAGAGGGAGUGAUGGUGUGACUUGUGACUUGUGACUUUCCUUGCACACCAAGGAGUCCCAUAUUAAUUGUAUUUGAUUUCAUUUUUAUUUCUGAUUUACUACCAUAAAUAGAAUUAAGAAUUAUUACUUUCCUUGGCCUUCAAGGUUUUAUUGUACUAUAAAUAUGGCCUCUUACAAGGAGAAGAAAACACACAAAAAUUCCAGAAAAAAUAUUCUCUUAUAGUUUCUCAUAUUUUAGCAGUUUAUAUAUCAACUAACCAACCAAAAAAAAAACAUUUAUAUUAAAUUUAAAAUUUAAAAAAAAAAAGAAAAAAAAAGGGGUCAGGCUAGUAGCUACAGGCUAUUGGCAAGGUGUAUUUGAUUCGGCAGGGGCAAAGAUUGUGUUAUUUUUCAUACCUAUAAAAGUCAUGUCGUACUUGAAAAUCCUAGUUUAUCCAGAGUUGCCUGGAACUGGAUUCGACGGAUAGCAAACAAAGCAUCUAAUGCUCUUCAAAUUUGUUCUUGAAAAUUGGGAUUAUAAUAAGUCAUUAGAGGUCUAAGUCCAGGGUUUGCAGGAAGAUUAGCCAAUAUUUCAUCCAACUCAGUGACCUCCAAUUUUGUUGGACUAUUCGAAUUAUUCAAGGAAGGAUGUGAAUUACCCGGAUUAUUUGAAGGAGGAUUUGAACUAGCCGGAUUAUGUGAAGGAUGGUUGGAACUAGCCGGAUUAUUUGAAGGAGAAUUUGAACUACCCAGAUUAUUUGAAGGAGGAUUUAAACUCUUUUUCUUAAAGUACCGUUCCAUAACUGUAUAACUAAAAUAAAAUAAGGGUUUUAUAUCUAUAACUAUGACUAAUUGACUAUAGUUUAUCAAUUAAAUAAACAAAUAAAAAUUAAUUAUACCUCGAAUCGUGUGUCACGCAGCCUCUUCCUCCUCGAAUUUGAUACUGAUCUUACUAAUAGAGAAAGAGCUAAAUAAGAAAAAAAAUUAUUAAUAAAAUGAAUAAACAAAAUUGGCAUUUGCUCAAGAAGAAAAAAAAUAUGCAUCCAACUUACUUUGGAUUGGCGUACUCAAGAAGGAAAAAUAAAUUAAAAAACCGUAGGAUUCUUGUGAUGCAUGUACACUUUGAUAAAAUUGGGUGAUAUUAAAUUUGUCCUUUAUAAAGAGAAUUCUUAAUCCCACUUAAUAAAGAAUUGUGCAAGCCCUAUUAAAGCCCAAUUAAAUAAAAAGAACACCCAAUCCUAUUUAAAUAAGAAAUUGUAGAGGUCCUAUUGAAAUGAAGGAAGCGUACUAUAAUUAUAAGGUUUUAUAGCAUUAUAUUUCAACUAAUAUUACAACAGGUGUUUAAAAGUUACUACAGACCUGUAUGUGGCUCUGCUCCUGUGACGUGGUUGUUGGUGCUACGUCGUAUUCUAUUUGGCUCUGAAUCCACUGUCGCAUUUUAUUAUCUCCACUUCUAGUUUGCUAUAUUUCUUUGCUUUUGUUGUACUUCUAGUUUUUUCACCAAUGUCGCAUUUGGUCUUUCCUGGUUUAGACUAGACUUUUCCCUCUGUUGUAUGCUCUUUGGGGUUCUCCCUGUCUAAUUGAGUUGCACUUUUAGGAAAAAACAAAAACAAAAAGAGUGCAUAAGCAUAUGUUUCUAUGGCACUGUAGUGACAGUGAGUGGCUUGUUGACUGAUAAUUACAAUGCGCUAUUAUUAGCUCAGUGCCCGAGCACAGUGGAAUUGUAGUCAACUUGACACUGAAUUAGUGGGGCACUCGUAUUUGAAACAAAAGCGGUUGUAGUCAUUAAAUCGUUUCAAUUAGGUAUAGAUUAAUCACAGUCCAAUGCAACGCAUUCCCUGUAUGAAUUCGCUGGCAUUGAAGAUGCACCCCAACGCCUUCAUCUUUUGUAGCCCUCUUUCCUUGAGGCUGUUAGGUGGCUGUCAAAACCAAACUACGGAUGUAGCAGACGGUACAAUCUUAGACAAAGUCCACGUUAUAUAGUCAAGAGGUAGUUGUUGGUAGGUAGGGAGUUGAAGCAUCACAUAUAUGUGAUCAAGGCAGAGACGAAAUGCUUAUAAAUAAAAUUUUGGAAGCUCACUGAUGACAACCCUAGGGGUAGAGCUUUGAUUCAUCAAUGCAAAAUUCAGAAGUCUUUGGCCAAUUGGUCAAUUUUAACUGGCAUAUAAGAGGUGUUGUGGAAGCAGCUUAAUUGCAGCUUGAUUUAGCCAACGGUCCAUAAUUUAGUGGUAAGAGUAUUUGCUUACAGAUUAGUUGGCUCAAGUUCGAACCCUCUCCUCCCCUUCAAAACCUUGACCAAAAAAAAAUAAUAAUAAAUGCAGCCUGAUAUAGACGCUGCCUGCUUGAGCAUGUUAAUUUUGACCCUGAAGAUAUAUAAUGCUUUUGAAAAGUCUGCUGGAGGUUGAUGUUAUUUGGCUCCACAACUAAUCAUAAUUUCAUCAUUAAAAACUCUAUGACAAAAAAGAUUUAUCAGAUUUUUAAUUAUUUUAGUAAUUGGGUCUGAAAUACCUUGUGGAAAUGUCUAGAUUGAGGAGGGUCAAAAGAAAAGUCUCAUUCCCACCGUUAGCUUAAAACCUGCAGCUUUAUCUAACAUUACUUUUCCAAAGGCCAAAGCCACAGGCCUAAGAACAAUCCGUAUCUUUCGUUCUCAGGCAGAAAAUUGUUUUCGUUUUUAAAACUAUCAUUGUCACAGUGUGUACUAAACAAAGUCCAUUUAGGUGAUGCUUAAGUGCUUUUCACCAAUCAAAUCCAAUCGCCGAAAGCUUAUCUGCUUUAGGAACUGAAUGUGAAUCGGUACCAUCUGUGGUUUCAAUGUUAAGCUGUCUAUUAAAAUUGGACCAGAAGCCAUACUGUUAGUUGACUGGUUAGGUUCUUUUCAGCUGGAGCCACAAUCUUCUGCUAGAAUGCUUCUCCUUUCAAAGGUGCUUGGUCAAGUUGUUGGCUUUUGUGUCUGCAUUUUCAGGGCACAUGGAGUUUGGCUUUUGCAUUAAGUGGAUGUUUUCAUAAAGAAGUGGUGGAUCCAGUAUAUGAGAAGAAAGGAUUUGGGCUAAUGGGAAGAUUCCACAUAUCAUCAGUUACCUUCAAUUGGGGGAGAAUGAUUCUCAUGGAUGUUUCAGAUUAUUAGAUUAAAUUAUGGGUUUUCAACAAUGAUGUUCACAAAUAGGCCUAAUGAUUUUAGGGUUCAAGACCAUGAGGAAAUUUUUACUUCAAAUUUUUACUAUAGUGACUUAUGUUCUACUUUGAAAAGUGACUUUUUUGUUAGACUCUUUAAAGGCAAAUAUUCUAUUUUCUUUUUCUGCUUUUAUUUUUGCAGCUUUUGGGUUUUUCCUCCUUUUCACUUGUAUUAUGUUGUUCGGGUUAAUGAAUGAAAUCCGGCUACCUCAAUUAUAAAAAGACAUCCAUUUGGUGGUAAAGUUCUAUAGUUUUUAUAUAAUUAAGUUCAAAAGAUAAUGAGCCAAUGUUGCACGGCAUUUCUAACAAGUGGAGAGCAGCUCUCUAGUUUGGUAGUUGUUCCAUAGAAAAUGAGUAAUGCUACACGCACCAGUUCUUUUAAUUUUUCACAUAGAAUAUGCCGUAUAUAGAUCACUUGAUUUUAUAAUCUCAUGAAUCUUAUAUCAUGUAAGAAAGUUGUAAUAAGAGUGGGGAUAAUGUUAUUAUAGAGACAACUUAUUCCAUAUGACUCAACAAAAAACAACCAACAAUCAGUGGCGAAGCCACGAUUUCAUGUGUCUGGGGGCCUCUUACAAAAUAUAAAUAAUAAAAACUUCAACACCAUAAUGAUGGGCUGAGCUUUACGUUUUGGUCCCCCUCCACUGGAAAAAAUAUAAUCCAUUUUAAGAAUUUCAAUAUGAUACUUGCCACAAAAGAAAGAAACUUGAUCAAGUAAAGAAUCCCAACCAUUAUCUCUCAUACUUUGCAAACUAUGUGUUUGGUAGCCUGUUUUGGAAGUGUUAUUACCAACGGUUAUGGAGGCACCAAGUGAGUUCUUCUAGGUGCCUACUUCAUCAUUUUUAAAAUGGGUAGUUCCAAUUCAAUUAAUGGGAGGAGAAUAUUUAUUGACACUUAUAGUGGUAUGCAACCAUUUGACAGGGACAGAAAAACUAAAAAUGAUGCUAAGUAUAUUGGAAUUAUGUGGAUUGCAAAACAGAAAGAUUAUAUAAGACAAAUAUAUGACAAAGGUAACCUAAAGAAAAUCCCAUUAGAUCCGGGCAGGUUAUUCUCCACUUAACUUUUUCUAACACAUUUUCUAUUCUGUUAAUCUCAAAUCCAUCCAAAAAAGAGCUUCCUAAUCGACUUCUAAGAUUGGGGACUAGGGAGACAUACAUGCUUGAAAGUAAUGGGUGAAAUAGUUACACAAGACGUACAUUCUCUAAGUUUGUUCGGUGUGUUUAGGUUAGUCUGAAUUUGAGAAGAUCACUGAAAUCCGGAACCCUUUCGUAAACUCCAAGCUUUGUAAAGACCAAGCUAAAAAGUUCUUAAUCAUUGCUUCGUCAAUUUUGUUCCAUGCUGACCCAACUUUGAUAUCAUAUUAUGAUUAAUUAAUCUAAUCUUUGUCAGCAACAUUGUCUUAAUAAGUCUACUGAAAUCCAAUUACCUUGUCCAAAGUCUACUCGAAUUCAAUCAGACUAUCGGUCCACUCAAUCACCUGAAAGUUCACCACUUUCUCCUCUCCUUUCAUUAUUAUUAUUAUUAUUAAAUCUUUUUUUCUUUCUCCAUAAUGAUGCAGGCUUCUCACUUUCGGUUAUUUUGGUUCUAUUUGUUUCACUUUUCUUCAAAAAGAAACUUAAGAAAGGGGGAGAAAAGUGGUAUCAGAUUGAUCAGUGCCCAAUGGUACCCCAAAGCUAUUUUCUUUUGGUCAUGUUUGGGAUCUCCAUUCAGUCAUUGAAAUGGAGACGUCUACUUGGUAAUUGGUACAUCUUAGCUGUGUCGAUUAUGAUCUGCAAUCAUAAAUUUAACAUAAAAAGUUGGCCAUUUGUAUAUUAUUUUGUUGUUCCCUUCUGUUUAUGAUAAUUUAUUGUCCAAUAUUGUUAAGAGCCGUUGGAUAGAGCGAAAUCAGCUUGUAAAGGAAAAAUGGUCAAGAGCUAAUAUGAGCAAUAAACUAUCAAUAAAUAAAAAAAAGCCUACUCAAAAUGGAUCAUCCAUUGCUAAUAACUAUAACGUACAAAUAGUAUUUGUGAGAUAGCACCGAUCAAAAGCUGGAAUAGCUCAGUUGGUUAGAGCGUGUGGCUGUUAACCACAAGGUCGGAGGUUCAAGCCCUCCUUCUAGCGCAACAAAUGUCAGUUUUUUUAAUCUUUACACGUUCUGAGAUACAAUAAGAUGUUUCCUUCUUUUUCUUUUUUCUUUUUUAAUUUUUAUUUAUUUAUAGAAGAUGUUUGUAAUUAUAAAUAUUUGUAUGAAAUUCGUUCCAGCUUAAAAUCGUAUGAAGAAGACAUCUGCCAAUAUAAAUACCGCUCUUGAAUCAACGGGUGUUAUUUAGAUUGGCUCAGAUUUUUGGUGUGCUUUCAAGUGGUUUUGGGUUCAAAUCAUCAUGGUACUCGUGGGUGUGUGAAUUUUUCCCACUUUCUAAGGCUGACAAUGAGUCGUGUCGUGUCAGUAUCAUAUACGUGUCAAGAACAAUCAACCUAAACACGACCUGUUUAAUAAACGUAUCGUGUCGGAUUGACUAGUUAAUUUUUCGUGCGGGGUUUUGAGUCGGGUAUUAGGUUGAGUCACUAAGUGGUAGCAACUAAAAGAACUAAAAACAAUUAGAAAAAUUAAGAAAAAUUAAGAAUAAACAAAGAAACAGGUUAGCGGGUUGACGGGUUACACGAGUAUUUUAGCGGGUUGGCGAGUUGACUUGUUUAAUAAAAGGGUUACAUAGUUAUUUUAGCGGGUUGGCGAGUCGACUCCAAACUCACAUGUUUAUUAAACGGAUCAUGAAGAGUUGACCCAAAAAUGACUCAAAAAUUUAAUCGUGCGGGUUGACUCGCUAAUUUUCCUUGUGGGUUUUGAGUCGUGUAUCAGACAACAACAAAAAAAGAAUGGUUUAGAUCAUGGAAUAAACUAAAAGAACUAUCUGAUUGUUUUCACCCAUUCCACACCAUCAUCUCAUGAUCCGAACAAUUUAUUUUUAGGUCAUUAUACAAAAUUCACUCAUGCCCAAAAACAAAACCAAAAAAAAAAAAACUAAAUCAGACAACAUUUAGUCAUCUAACUUCAGUCAAAUAAAUAGACGACUCACAAUACUAAUCAUAAAUAGGGAAAAUAUUCACAAUAGUAAUCAAAUAGUUAAACAAUUUACAAUUCGAUUAUUAUUAACUAAAUAUUCACGAUAAUAAUUAAAAGGUUAAAAUUACAUAAACUUCAAUUGUAUUUUGAAAAAAAAAAAAAUUUAAUCCAACCAUCGUGGUCACCCACCAUGAAACUUUGUUCUUUCAACUUGAUUUACCUCUUCAAUAUUUCCUUAUGCAUAGUACUACUAAAGGCACAUUUGCUAUGUGCUUGGUAUUGUACUUUUGAGUAUGAUGAUCAAAAGUAUCUUGAUUCCUUUUUUGAGUACGCGAAAGUAGGCCCAAAGUGUCCCGAAGAAGAAGUAAGUCCUAGGAACCUUGGUUCCUAUAGCUCUUGGGUCUCUUAGGUGGCUUUUGAAAUGCUUGAAAGUGAUUUGGCCGCUGCAAGUGCUUUCCGAUCACUCAAAAUGAUUCACACCGCUCUUCAAAAUGAUCAGGUUGUUCUUGAAAUGCUUACAGCCACUCCUUAAUUGAAAACAACAAUGAUGAUGUUGAAGAACAAUAGAAGAUUGUAAUGUGAGACAUAGCUGGAGAGUGUGUGGCGAGUCAACAUUAUACCAACGGUGGAUGAUUCCCAAAAAUCUUAUCUGAGUGAUGUUGCUGAUGAUGUUACUUAUCCAAUUAUAUUGUAACUAAUAUCGUACAAGUAUAAACUCUGUUGAAGAAUAUGAGUCGCACAUUAAAAACUUGACUAAAUAAAAUACAAAAUAUAAUGAAUGGUUCUACUACUAAUAACACCGAGGCUUUUUGUGAUAAAACCCCACACUUACUGGGCAUUGUAGGUGGUUAAGUUGGUGACAAUAUCAGUGUUGUUAGUAGUGGCCUGCUAGUCCGUCACUUUGAAUUUAACAAAUUCGUCAAUGACAUUAUAACAUGUGAUAAUAUUACAACUACAAACAAAACAUUUCCACUCGAAUUAGUUUGAAGAGGUUUCAAAUUAAAUUUUUUGUAGCAGAAUAAAAAAAGUGCUUUUAAGCAAUCUUUCUUUAAUUAUAAAAUCAACUAACAAAUGAAGUUUCAUGCCUAGAUGUGCCAGUGGCACCACCAACAAUGAGCAGGCGGAAUCAGUAGUUGGUGCCAAUUGGAUGAAGGUGGUUGGUUAUAUUACAAGCCGUUGCUCACUAAAAAGGCCUUACAACUUACUCUCUCAUCUCAAGUGGUGAUGAAUCCACCAAAAGUUCUCAAAAGGGCAUAAAGUAAAGCUAACAAAAAAAGGGAGGACCCAAAAGGGAAGCUAAGUUUGAAUGGCGAUAUAGCAUAUUGGAUGGUGGUGGUGGAGGAGAUGGAGAGAUGGAGAGAUGAAGAGAGAUGGUGAUGGUGGUGAAUUGGUGAUUGGGAUGGAGAGUGGGUGACAGACCCACGUGACUGACCCACCACCACCACUAAUAGGAAGAAAACCUCUCCCUCUCUCUCACCUCUCUCUCUCUCUCUCUCUCUCUCUCUCUAAUAUGAAGAAGGAAUAGGAGGAGGAGGGCCAGUGGAUGUCUUGGUUGGCUUCAUAUCAACGCUAACAGCCAAAAUAACCCAACCACAACAAUAAAACCAAUAUACCCACAAUCACAUAACACCACCACCACCCCAAAAAGUGAAAAAGAAAAGUUAACAGGUUCACAUCAUUAACUCAUUUGACAAAAGUGAUCCCAUUUUCCUUGGUUGCCUUGCCCACUAACAUUAAGCCUUUCCUUUCUCCUUUCUCCUUUCUUCUCCCCCUCAUGCUAUAGUCAGCAGCUAGUGGGUACUCUCUCUCUCUCUCUCUCUCUCUCUCUCUCUCUCUCUUUGAUCUUUUAUUUUCGGUUGGUCAUUUCUACUUACUACCCAUUAUUCUUUUUCUCGCUAAAAUGCUAGUGGUUCUCCUCCCUCUUCACAAUUUCUUGUGCUUAAACUUGUUUGGUGGCUUCAAGAUGUUAGCAGCUUAAGCCCACAAAAGGGUAAAACUUAUUGAAGCAUUAGGGGAGAGAGAGAGAGAGAGAAAGAGAGAGAGAAAGAGAGAUGGACAACGAAACUAACCAAGAAAACCCAUCUCUCCCCCCAAACAAUUACACCUCCACAACCAAGGAAUUAGAGUCUCCAAGAUCAAAACCCCAACAACCUCUUGGUGUUGGUGGCAGCAGUGACAGGCUAAAAAGAGAUGAGUGGAGUGAAGGAGCAGUUUCUAGCCUCCUUGAGGCCUAUGAGACCAAAUGGGUUCUCAGAAACAGAGCAAAACUCAAAGGCCAUGAUUGGGAAGAUGUUGCAAGACAUGUCUCGUCUCGUGCCAAUUGUACCAAGUCCCCCAAGACUCAAACCCAGUGCAAGAACAAGAUUGAGUCCAUGAAGAAACGAUACCGUUCUGAGUCUGCCACUGCUGAUGGUUCAUCAUGGCCUCUCUAUCCACGGCUUGAUCUUCUGCUACGUGGCAGUGGGCCAUCCCCAACAGCAGCAUCAGCAGCAGCAACUGUAACAGCUGCAGCUAUACCACCACCACCACCACCACCACCACUGCCAGUACAAUUGCCUCCUCCGCCGCCUCAGAACAAUCAUCCUUUGAUGCUACUGGAGCCAUCAGUGUCGCUGCCGCCACAGCCACCACCUACUGCUCCUCCUCAACCUAUAGGAACUGCCCAAAAUUCAUAUGGAUCCAAUGGUGUUGAUCAUAGGGUGGCCAAGGUCAGUCUACAUGACCCCCCACCUCUGUUUUGUUUUUUCACACCUAUUUCCUUUUGUUUUUUGAAUUUUCAAUUGAAAUUAACCAGAUAAACACUUCUUGUUACCUGGAGAUUGUUGUCUUUUAGCCCUCACAAUUUUUUCUGGAGAUAAUUGGGUAUUAAAUUGUUUCCCUACCCUAGUCAUAGUAUGUUCUUGGAACCCAAUAUGUCCUACAUGAAUGCCUUGGUGGUCUCACAGAUAAACAUUUUUCAAGCUUAACAUUGUUAUUUCUGAUCAUAUUGUGACAUUGAAUUCAUCAUAGUUCAAUAUGAAUGAAGAUUUCAGAUGCUUUGUCCAAAUGCAGUGAAAUUACUGAAUCAUGUGCAGAAGCCCUUCAUAAAAUCAAAAUUGAACAGACAGAGGAAUUUACUAUCUCUGUUUUGGAAUAUAAGUUAAGAAGGGUUAGUUGGCAUUAAUUUAGACAUUAAUUUCACUUCACCUAACAUAAGGAUGCAUCAUGUUUGGCAUCUGAAUUUCAAUGAAGGUACAAGCUUUGCAGUAAUUGUACAGAAAAAAUUGUAAUACAAACACUUGAGGUUAAAGUUCCAAUUAUUGUAGUGCAAUUGUACACACAUUUGAGGUAAACAAUUGAAGUUACAAUGCACUCUAGAAGGUCCAAGUAAACCAAUUGUACUCCCCAAGAUUUUCUUAGACAACUCUAGUCUAGAGAAAAAAAAUAUUAAUGUGUAUGUGAUUGUUUGUAAAUCUUACUAAGUUAAUUUAACCUGCAGUCAUGUUAACAUGCAGGAAGAUGGAAUGGGGAUGAAAUUGUCAGAUCAUGCAUCAGACAAGAACCCUUUGGAGAUAGACAGUAGCACCCCAGCUCUUUACAGUGACAAGGAAAAAUUAAGGUCCAAGAGAAUGAAGAGGAAGAUAGAGAAAAAGAAGCGGCGAAGACGGGAGGAAGUAGAGAUAGCAGAGAGCAUAAGAUGGUUAGCAGAGGUUGUGGUGAGAUCAGAGCAAGCAAGAAUGGACACAAUGAGAGAGAUAGAGAGGAUGAGAGUUGAGGCAGAGGCUAAGAGAGGAGAAAUGGAUCUCAAGCGCACAGAAAUUAUUGCCAAUACACAGUUGGAGAUUGCAAGGCUCUUUGCAGCUGGUGUUGGCAAAGGGGUUGAUUCUUCUUUAAGAAUUGGAAGAAGUUGAGGAACAAUAAUCGUGAGGUUUGUGAGUAAGUAUGAUAUAUAAUGUAUAGAAUUUAUGUAGUAUGUAACACUGAGAGAAAAGAAAGGAGAACCUUUUGGAAGCAAAGGUGAGGAAGAGUCAACUAAUUAACAUGUAAUAUAUAAUGCGAAUUAAGUAGUUAUUGUAGGUACAAUAACAUAUCUACCUCAUUGUAAUGUACAUGUUCUCUCUUUCAGCAAGCAAUAUCAGUGUUUAGACCUAGAAAAACUUGCCUAUCCCAUGUUUCACGCAAUGAGAGAUAUAGAGAAAAGUGUAUGAAAGAUGUUAAAUGGAAGUUUUACGAGAGGAAGAGGACGGCCUUUGAGUCCACCUAACUUCUAAGUGUUGAGGAAUCUAGAUACUUGCUCCGUGAUGAUUUGGUACUGUAAGUUUUACGAGAGGAAGAUGGGAGUGUAUGUAUGCCAAGUAAGUUUUUUUAAUUUGCAUUUAGUUUUUUUCUAUUAUUUGAUCAUGGUUCCUAGUUAAUCUAUAUCAUCAGUUUGCUCAAGCUUCCCAUGAGAUGCUCUAGCGUCUAAAGAGUUAGGUUUCCAAAAUGGAUAAUGCACCUAAUCGCCUAAAUUUGCAUGAAUUGGUCUAUUGAUCUUCGCUUAUUCUACGUCGGGGGAAAAAUGUGUGGCUUAGUUAUCUAAAUGAAGUUGUAUCUUCAAAUUCAAAUUUCAAUCUUUAAAUCAUGUGGGGAAUGAAUCUCUCCAAUAGUAUGUAAAGACCUUGGUAUACCCUGAAAUUGAGAUAAAAAGGCAAGGUUAGUCCUUAGACACAUCGGUGUGAUGUGAGCCAAAGAGCCUCCGAUAUCAAAGUCGUAAGCUUUAAGCAAAGUAGGGUUUUUCAAAUCAAGGAACGUUUACCUUCUCCAGGAGAUGGUGGUGGUUUAAAUAUGACUCUUUGUUGGGUGGUUUAUCGCCUUGAGAAGAUGCAUGUUCAACGUUGAUUGGGGGUGUUAAGUCUCAUUGAUUGGAACGUCAAUUUGAUUAGCCGUUUGACUUGGGACAUGUGAGAUAUUUACUCAAAGUGGGUGACUGUAGUCCCCUUAGUUCUUGUUGCUGUAAUUGAUAAGGAGAUCUUAGGAUUUGCGCUGAUUUUGCCAGAGGCGUGCUGUCCUUGCAAGGCACUUGUGCCUGUGCUGGGAUGACUUCUUCGUAAGCCUUGCUCGGUCAGAGGCAUUGCUAGGCCUUCUUGUAUCAUGUGGGCUCAAGCGGAGCCCACACUUCUUAUUACCCUGGCAGAGAAUAGGAGGUUUCGUAAGGCUAGGCCGUAGAAAAACCUCCCAGCCACCACCCCCGUUUUGGGGUGGGUGGCUUCCUCCCCUCUUUCCUCUCUUAAUCCUUCCCCUCACUCUAUUCUUUGUUGAUAGUAUUUGUCCCACAUUGAAAAGUUAAGGGAUCUAGUCUAGAUUUAUAAGAAGUUGGACUACUUUCCUAUUGCCAAUUGGUUUUGAGGUAGAACCUCAACUUACUUCACUCUUCCCAUUGCUUUGCUUCCCCUUUGGCUUCUUGUUGAUGUUUUCCCCUUUUGGUUAGUUUGUUGGGUGUGUUUGGUUGUUUUUGUUUGUUUUCUUUUUGCAGAUUUGGAGCUUCUGCACUAGACUUCAGAUCUUUGUGUUCGAGAUAGACAAGGGUUUUGGGUGGCUAGUGGUAGUGCUCUCUAUCUCGGCGGAGGCAGCGACGUCAACGUCAGUAAUAAUGCUUACUGCUCUUGAUUAAUGCAUGAUACAAUGCAUUCCACUUUCUCCUAUCCUAAUUAGAAGAAAUUUAAUUCGUGUGGUCAUCUUGAUGGCCACGUGGUGUCGUGUUAUUGACACGUAAAUUUUUGCUCCCACAAUUAACUCUCACUUCACUUGAACUUGAAUCAACACGUAAACUUCACACUUCAAAGACUAGGUACCCAAGUUUAACCUACAGAAACCCUAACUCCUAAAAUUAUUAUUCUUCUUCUUCCUCAAGUCAACAUCGUUCAAUUUUUAGCCUAAAAGUGGAGCUCCCUAACUCCGGUCUAACUCUACUUUACUUAUGGAAGAAAAAAGGUGCUCUUUACUUGAAACAGAAGAAGAAGAAAAAAAAAAAAAGAGGUGCAUAAACAACUUUUUUAAGUAUAUACAUGGCAUCCCAUUCUGAUAGUAGUACGAAGCAUAGAUGGCAUCAAAAUGUCUCCUAAUCUUUGAGACCAUCUCUGUUAGUGGAACGAAUAUUUUCUGAAAGCAGCAUGUUCUCAUAUUAUUCAUCGAACAAGUUGAUGUAAGGGCAACACAGCAUGAGGUCAAAUUCAUAAGUGGACAGGUUGUAGUUAUGCUCAGUGUGCCAUAACUACAUCAGUGAAAUGAUAAGAUGUAUCUAAGUCAUGAAGUAGGCAAGGAUUCUUUGUUUUAUGUAUUUAUUUAAGUUUUGAACUGAUGUAGGCUAAGGACCAUAAAUAUGAAAGUUGGUAAUGUGUAUUGGAAACAACUCCAAACACGUCAUUUUUGUUCCUAUUUCUUCAAUUCUAUUUAUGUCCCCGUUAUUAUGCCAUACAUCAAUGUCAUAUUCGAUAUCAAAUUCGUUGAAUUUUCUGUUAUCAAAAGCGGUGAUCAACUUUUAAAGGGCAAAUUUGUAUUAACACUUCCACCUACAACUCCCCAUCCCCGCACCUGUCCCUGCCCCAAUCCCCAUUAAGAAAUUUCGGGGAAUCCCUAUCCUCGUCUCCGUCGGGAGGUUGUCUCCCAAACCAGCCCCAAAUCCCCGGUUUUUAUUAUCAAAAAUAUACUACACUCAAUUUUGACCAAAAAAUAAACUCAAUUACAUUCAAUUAAACCCUAAAAUUCAACUUAACUACUUAAAAUCAUCUAAACAAUUUAACAAACUAAUAGAAAUCAUAUAUUCCAUAGCAAAACUAAAAAUUUUGUCUCAAAAUUCUUAUUUUAUUGCUAAAAUUAAGAACAACAAAACACAUUAAAGACAUACGAAAAUAAAAGAUCAAAAAAAUAGGUAGCACUAUAGCACCAACACCGUAGCUUCAUCAGACAAAAUGGAAUGGAAGGAGGUUCUAAUAACGAAGGGAGAACACAUUAAAAAACAAUUUCCAUAUGUUUCUUGGUCAACCAAUACCAUCCUCGGCCCAUCUCCAACCGGGGAUUUUUAAGGAUCCCCAUAACACUGCCGCCACACCCAACCCCCUAGCGAUUUACCCCAAAUCUUCACCCGUUAGGGGCAGGUACCCAAUUUUUGUCAUCCUUACUCACACUCAUAAGCGAAGCCAGAAUUUUAUAUUAUCGGAAGCCUCGACGCAUAAGAAAACAGAUAGGUCGACCUAUCCCGAACAAGCAUAAUGUCCUCUUGAAUUCUUAAUGGCCGGUUGAUGGAACUAGACUAACUACUAGAGAUAUUCGUGUUACUACGUCUGCACUAAUUUGUACACGAAUGCGUGAAUUAUACCGACUACUCAAUAAAUUAUAGACCACUUCAAAUCUUCGUUUUCGAGAAGGAUGAUCAACUCCGCAAAUAUCGAUUGAAACUUGAACCCUUGUAUAGGUAUCAUUUGGUUGCAUACUCGUUCUGUCCUAAUAAAGCUAUUACCCACUAAAGUACCAAGUGGAAGAAGAAUGGUUUGUGCAGUAUUAUAUAUUCAUGUCACCUUGUAAAUUUACACUAUAUAUUCAUGUCAAAAUGUGACUUUGUAAAAUAUUUAUUGCUGGCUAGGAGGGCAUAAGUUUAAGAAUGGUAAUUUUGCACUAUAAUCAUGAAGAAAAGAAGAUCGAGCUAAGUCCGUGCCACUUCUAGCAUGUACUUGGCUCUGUCCUUAUUCUCACAUGAUUAAUUCACGUCAAGAAUGACAUUGAUUUACAGGAAGAUAUAGAUAGAUAUACAUGACAUUAAUGGACUUAGGGGCAAAAAUAAUAUAUUCAAAGUGAUACAGAGACUACUCGCGAUUAAAAAAAAAUCAAUAAAAGAAUGUGCAAAUAGGCUUUUAUGUGGGCUUAAUUCUCAACUUAUAGUCCACAGGAAUCAAACCCAAAAGAAAUUUUAUGCGCUUUGGCGAUGGAUUUUGAAGCUUCAAAAGCCCAGUCACUAUAUCUACAACCAGAUUGCCUUUUUUGUUUAUCUGGGAUUUACGAAAAGAUUACUUUGAUUGCUUUCGCUCUGUAAAAAGAUGGCUCUCUUCCAAACCCAAACAGCUCCUCCUAUCCAUAGCUAUGGCUUUAGCUCGAAAACCCAUAGUCAUUCUCCCAUGGUCUUAUCAUUUCAUUUUCCUCCACCUUCUCGCCUUGUUACUCACUUCUCCGUGAAAACCCAUCAGCAAAAUUCACUAUUUUCUAUCCAGAACACACCGCUUUCACUCUCAACAGUUACAAGGAAGUUGCUUUGCAGACCCCCUCAAGGGAAACAUGUCAGAGAAGACUAUCUUGUGGUAAGUUCUCCCUAGAAAUGCUUAUUUUCUUUAGCAUUGCAAUUACCCAUUACUUGUUGGUUUUUUUUUUCCUUUAAUUCAUAUGUUUUUCCUCCUUGAUAUAGUAAUGAUUUUAUGGGUCAGUUUGUAUAUUCAAAUUAUUUAUCUGAUUGGUGAGAAAAUGUAGGAAACGUGAAAGGAUUACAGUUUAUUGAAUUGAUAUUCUGGGAUUUACCUCUGUAUGGGAAGGGAAAGCAUGGAACUUUUCUUUUGAUUUGGCUUAGUUUGAAAGCCAACUUGGGAUAUAGAGUUUUACUUUAUUAUUUUCCUUUUAUCAGUUAUGGAGGCAUCUGAUAGAAGCAAGCAAGCAUAGUUAUUAGUAGUGAGAUUGAAACAAAACAAUUAUUGGUUUUAGGAAUUCUCUGAUCUUUCUUUAUUUUUAAAUUAUAAAUUUGAGCUUAUUUAUUUCUUUUUUUGGGGAGCGCAGAAGAAGGUGUCGGCCCAGGAGGUUCAGGAACUGGUAAAAGGAGAAAGAAAUGUACCCCUUGUCGUUGAUUUCUUUGCAACAUGGUGUGGACCUUGUAUAUUGAUGGCUCAAGAACUUGAAAUGGUAUGCUUUACACAUAUGCAUACUACUUUUAGCGACGCUACUCUGUAUUCAUAUAUGGCUUUUUUUUUUCUUUUGAAGUUUUGAUGGUUCAUCUGUGCAAUUUGAUAAAAUACUUGUAUUUAGUACUUUGAUAUGGAUUUCAAACUGGUUGUUAGAGAAAUUCUGUUUUACUGCCUUUCUAGACCUUCCUAAUCUUUUGUGUGUGGAAAGAUCUUUUAAGGGGGAAAUUUGAAAAUUUGAACUGCACACAGUAUGCAUGCCCACUAUGUUUUAAACCAUUGUCACUUGUAUGUUUUAGUACUGUAGAAAGAAAACCACUCUCACUUGUAUGUCUUAAUCGUGUCUGUAGAAAGAAAACCACUCUCACUUGUAUGUAUUAGUAUUGACUGUAGAACGAGAACCACUCUCACUUGUAAGUUUUAGUCUUGACUAACAACAACCCAAUAUCACUUCUCGUAGAUUAGGACUUUCAUAUGCUGCCCAAUUGUAGGGGUCCAUUUCUUGUAUGGUGGCUGUUUGAUCAUGAUUGGACGAUUUUGAGUGUUUCUGAAAAGCAAGAAAUAUUAUUAAAGGUACCCCACCUUUUUUUAAAACAUUCAUGGCUGGCUGUAAAAAUGAUGUUGAUUAUAUGAAUGAGAUUUUAGAAGUGUUCCUCUUCAAGUGGGUGGUAAAUGGAGAAAAUCCUGAUCCAACAUGUUUUAAUUGAUGACAACAUCUUCAAGACGAGUGUACCUUAGUUAGCGUUUUAAUCUCAUCUGAAAUGCUGUAAUAUGACUGAAUGAAGUGCGAACCGCAAGUGUAUUUCCUGGAUAGAAGUUUCUAAAAAGCUGAAAGUGAAAUAUAAUACGUGAGAAAUGUGGUGUCUUUAGAUGUGUGAGGUACAUUAUUUGCACAAGCUAUUUCUGAACAUUAGCUAGUAUAUGUCUUUGACAUGUGAUUAACAUUUACUUUUAAGAUGCUUACUGAGUGCUAGUUACAACGGUGAUUAGAUUAAGACUCUUUCCAUGCUGCCAAAUGUGGAUGCCCAUUUCGUGUAAAACAUUAAAUAUAAUAAAAGUUGGCCAAACUUUUUGUAAAACAUUUCUUGCCUGUCCAGUUGUUCAUAUGCAUAUUGUGAUCUGUGAUUCUGCAUGUUUUACUUUAUUACAAAAUCUUCAGAAGGAGAGUACCAUUGUUGUUGGUUACUGGAGGGGAUCUAUGGUCUUAUGGUAGUGAUGCUAGCUUUUUAUUCUAUCAAAUGCUAGAAUAUGAGAUGAAUGAAGUGUGAGAUGCAAGUCUAUGCACCACGAUUGCAUUUGCAAACUUAGCUUUAUAUUUUCUUGUACCAUUCCCAUACUGUAGAACUGCUGCAUAGUGCAUUUGGGGAAAGUGCAUCUUGUAAAGUAGAAAAGGUAUUGAAAUAUGUCGGAUAAUGUUGUGCUUGCAUUAUGAAAUCCUAUUUACUUGGUAAUAGACAUCAACAAAAGUGAAAGAAAUAACAUGGUUCUCUUUUUUCUAAUUAAUGUCUGCCAUUUCAAGGAAAUAAACUGGAGGCAUUAAAUUUAUUCAGCUCAUGUUGUAUGAAUCCUCAAAAGGGUAUUUGAGCAUGACAUUUUCACUUGUUUCACCAAAAGCUUUGAUAAACUUGUGUUCUUAUUGUCCUGGUUCAUAUCUUUAUGUAAGCCAAAAGAUAUAUGAAUAACUAAGUCAAUUGACCCAAUUGUGAACAGUUUGAUAGUAAACCCAAUGUUCCACUUGUUAUAAGAUUAGGAAACCCAGGUAACUCAAAGCCAUAUCCAUGAUGCAGUCUUACAGUAGUUAGCUUAAUUGAAAACUAAGCUAAGGGUUAUUUUAGAACUUUUCAGAGCAAACUUCUGAUCUAUAAACGAUGGGCUAUCAAUCAGAUAGGCAAAAAUCAAAUAUGAGUAUUUAUCCUACUAUCUUUACCAAUCCAAAAUAAAAAUACCCAUGUAUGCAGAUUUCUUUUGAAAGUGAAUGUAAUGGUAAAAGUCUUUAUAUUCCAAGUGUUAGCUAACAUAUAAAUUAUAUUCCGUAUUAGGAUUCUAAUGUUAAUCAAAUUGAAUCUACCCUGUUCAGAAUUUGAUUAAAAAAAACUUGGUUUGUAAGUAUAUGAGUAACGUUGAAAUUUGAAUUUUCGUAACAGCUUGCUGUGGAGUAUGAGAGCAAUGUUAAAAUUAUUAAGGUUGAUACAGAUGAUGAGUACGAGUUUGCACGUGACAUGCAGGUAAUUGCAUUUCUUUUUUACCUUUUAUUUUUAUAGUUUUAUUUUGUCUCUAUUCUCUCAGCUUCUUCCAUUCUCUCAAGCCCUACUUGUUGCACUGAAAUUUCUUUAUGGAAUUUAUGGCAUUUAGUACUCUACGUUUUAUGCCUCUUAAGAAUUUAUGUGUUUUUAGCUAGAUAUUUUUCAUAGAAAAUCACAGAUUUUAUAUUAGUCUCAGUGAUAAAUAUUCUGGAUAAACAUAAACUGGGUGGAUAUAUUGCUUUGACUAAUAUCACUGGUUGAAGAGAUCUAGAUUUAUUGGUAUACAAUGUCACUGUUGGAAAAGUUUUAUGCAACAGAUGAAGCAUUGUAAACUCUUAUUGCUAAUAUCUUGGAGUUUGAAUGGCAAUUAACUAGGGAAAUAAUACCUCCUAAACUCUUUCAAAUCAGGUUCGAGGAUUGCCGACAUUGCUCUUUGUCAGUCCAGAUCCAAGUAAAGAUGCCAUCCGGACUGAAGGGCUCAUCCCAUUACAGAUGAUGCGGGAUAUCAUUGAUAACGAAAUGUGAAGGAGUCCGGGAAAAUGAUUUGGUUAUUGCUCCAUACAAUUGGGGGGCCAUGGUUCUGUUUGGUGAUGGUACAAGCAUUAUCAUUGCUUGUUGAGGUUUGUAAUGUCCUAAUUUACUAAUUGGAAUAUUUCCUUGGAGUCAACAAUUUUGUAGCCAUAUGAUAUCUAAUAGAUGCGGUUUGUAGGUGUGUUUAGAUAUAUGAUGUGUCUGUCGUACAUCCUUGCACGAUUACGAUUCCUUUUACUGUUUAAAUUAUAAGGAUGUUUGGUGAUGCUACAAGCCUUAGGGCAUGGAAAAUAUAUUAACCAGGUCUGAUUGCGGAGCUUCUAUGGCUGACAUUUGGUGUCAUGCUUCCCUACAACAUGCACAAUUAGGGUUGCAUUUGGAAGUGAAUGAAUACAAGGAGGCUUGUGAUCUGGAUGUUAUACUUCGUUUAUAUCUGCACUAGAAACCCCCAAAUUUUCUUUUUCCGUUUUAAAGUAAAAAGAAUAAGAUAAGAGUAAAAGUUGAUGACGCAGUGGAAACAGAAUCGCGUAGAUGCUUGAUAUUAUACUUCUUUUAGAAAGACAAAAGUCCGUAUAUAACUUACUAAAAGCAUAGCUACAAACUCAUGGUAAAGACUUCAAUUAUGCCUCACUUGACUUCUUAAAAGCUUAUGCGAUCUGGAAGGCACUUGGAUUUAACAGAUCAACCAACCACUUGAUUUUUUUUUACUAAUUUCUAUCGAAUUAUGAGUGCCUUGCUGGAUUUCUCACAUUUUAUUUUAUUUAUCAUAGUUUCUCGCUUUUUAUUUAUUUCAUUCUUAGUCAAAAGACCGACUGGUAUAGUGGUUUAGAGCAAUUUGACAUAUCGGAGAGAUCACACAAAUUUACAGUGACUAGUUCUAUACUUUUGUGCCUGUGUCAAAAAUUAAAAUGACAAGUACCAAAGUGAAACAUGAACCGAACCACAUGGACCAAAAAUGUGAUUCGGCAUAUAAUUUGUUUGUACUUCCCAAAAAUGGGAAAGAUAUUUGAGAUGUACAAGAGCCAACCACCUGGAAAAUGUUAACAAAAAAGUUUGCUAGUUUGCAUAUGAGAGAGUUUACAUCUCCAUUGACGGUCCUCCGCUUCUGAUAAAGGGAAAGAGACACAGAAGUUUACAUGUGAACCACCACUACAUUAGAAAGUUAUUUAAAAUGAAGCUAAUAUUAGAUAACGGGGUCUAGUCUAGUGCAAAAUAGCAUUGAUUUGUAAAUUAGUAGUCUCAGUUUCUAACCCCCAUAACACAUUGAUAGUAUAUGGGUGAGAAAACCACCAUCCUGCAGUAUCGCUUGCAUCACCAAAAAAAAAAAAAAAAACUAAUAUUAAAUAUGUAUGCUUAUUUUCACAAAUAGUCCCUGAAGUUCACGAAAUUAUCAUAUUUGAUCAUUUAUGUUUUUUUUUGUGACAUAAUUGGUUAAGGUUACUCUUGGUACAUCAAGUUGGUCCUUGUCGUGAGGUUCUGUCAAAAUUAAGGACCAACUUGAUGUACCAAGAGUAACCUUAAAGACCAACUAUGGCACAAAAAAAACCUAAAAAACCAAUGUGACAAUUUCGUGAACCUCAAGAACCAUUUGUAAAAAUAAGCCAAAUAUAUAUUAAACCCACACAAAAAAUAUCAAAUCCAAAUUUUACAUUCUCAUAUUAUAGCAAAAAAUUACAUUUACAUCUUCCGAAAAUAUAAAGUGGGAUGCAAAAGUAGUUUUACGUCUCCAAAUUUACAUUUUUUUAACACCUAAAGAUCACCUCCAAGUCUUCCAUUCCCUUUUUAUGGUACCAAAAUUUCUUGGUUCGAAGCUUCUAUACAUCCUUUUCCAUUUCUUUCUCACCUCACUUCCCUUUCUCCUAUAUUUUCCCUUCAACCUUUCGUUUUCUUCCCGAGUAUUCUUUGAACUUAGGCGAGAGGUCACAACACAACAUUAAUUGAACAUGAUCACCUAUAUAGCAAAAGUAGAAUAAGCCACAAUUCUUCUUCGUAUUCACACAUCCCUUUCAUUAUCUUUCUUUCCUUUCAGUUCACCUUUUUUUCCAUCCACGGAAAUAAUCAGACUUCUACGCCAACCAAAUGUGUUAAAUGUUAUUUUCGUGAAACUUCUUUCCUUUCUCACUAGGGACAAAAUUUAAAUGACUUGCCACCACCCUACGCGUUUCUUCUUGGUUUACAUUGGAGUUGUAUGGGUUCCAACUAGGGUGCCGUAGGGGGUAGAAAAACUUGUAUUAAAUAGAGAUAGUACUGUUUUGCUAUCCUCAAUAAUUAUAUACUGUCAUAAAAAAAAGUUAUCACAAAUAGUGAGUUUGUAACUCAAAUAGUUAACAUACCGUAAUUAAAUAGAGAAACACUUACCGUAAUUAAUACCCCCGUUUUAUGUAAGUGUUUCUCUAUGGUGGGAACUAUUGGCACUCCCUACGUAUAUUUCAUUUGACUAAAACACGAUGAAUAGUGAGUUUGUAACUCAAAUAGUUAAAAACAGUUGCCCUUACACUUAAGGUACUAUGCAUGAACCUCCUCUCGCUCAAUAUUACUGGUGUCGAAUGCUUAUGUAUAGUUUUAUAAAUUGGCCCUUAGUGAAAAAUCAUAAUAAUAAAUUGAAUCGUAUUUGAGACUCAUGUAAGGUUCAUUUAUUUGAGAUCGAGAAAGAAAAUGUUGGGUUUUAUAACAUCGUCUUCCAACAACUAAGCACUUAUGUUCAUAAAAGCUUUUUUCAAAAGCGCUUUUAUUAAAACCGCGAAAAACACCUUUAUAACCUAGAAAAACUUUUAAAUGUAAGUUUUAUAACCUAAUAAAAAAGUUUUUGAUUGUCAGAAAACCAUUCUGAAAGCAGUACCAAUGUGUGUCUUCAAUGACUAGAAAGAUUAAAUAUCAACUCUCAUUGAUUGCAUUCAAGAAACUACUAAAAAUACUCAAAGCACAGCACUUACAAAUGUAUCCACUACAUUAAAUACAAGCCCAAUUUGGCAAGAAGCACAGCUCAUAGCUAGCGAGAUGGAUCUAAUCUAUUAGCCAAGCAAUAAUCUUUAGACAGAAUAAUGAACGACUCCGUUUCCGGCUGUCUCGGCGGGUGAGAAUGCAAGAAACAUGAGAGCGGCCAUUAUGCCAACGGGAAAGAACAAGAGCAUCAACGGCGGAGGAGGCAGCGGAGGCAGCAACAACGGCAGAACCACCAUGAACAACGCUAGACCCGCCAACACCAGAACAGAACCCAAGCUCAUACACUGCACCAUGACCACCUACGACCUCCGACGAACAUUUCUCUCCCUCCCCAAACGACAAUGCCAGGUCAGCAAACGACAACAGCGAGCACCAGCAAGAAUGGCAACGAAUUUAUGAAAAGGCUUUGACAGUGGAUUAACGGCUUGUAUUGGUUGGUAUAUAUAUAGGGAUGGCGGAUGUGUUGGAGUUGUGAUCUGGUGGGUGAGGGUGUAUGGAGAUGUGAUGUGGCCGGUGAGAUCAGGACCGUUGGCUUGGAGAUUUUAAAAUGGUGUGUGGGGACCAGGGAGUGGAUUUUUGUUCGGUUUUUAUUGGGAGAAAAUCCAGUUUGGGGUGAUGGUCCGAAUCGGCCAGAAUCGGAGCGCCAGAUCCCGAGAUAUUCGGCUGAUACGUUUCAGCAACUUCUACUGUAAAUUUGAUUUAGUUCAUUUUUAAAUCUUGGGUUAGGUGCGGUCUUUAUUUAUUUUUUUCAAAAGUAAAUUAUUCUACAUGUCCUCUUGGUAUUACGAAUAUAUUAAAAUUAUAACUCGUAGAGAAUUAUUAAUAUUAUCAUAAAUCCAACAUGAUACAUCAACAAUUACAUAUGUUAUUUCCCAAAAAAAAAAAAAAAGGGUUAUACAUACUACUUGCCUCCUUACCUGCAAAUGACCGUUUAAUAUAUAUGCAAAAAUAAUUCAUUAAAAACACACAUGUCAUACAGCUAUUGGCAGGAAUGUAGGAACUCUUACUUACUUGGUAAAAAGUGAAGUAUUUUUCAUGUUAUAAUAUAAUUUUAUGUUUAUUUACCUAGAAUGAGCAUUUGAAUUAUUCUGAUUCUUCAGUUUUCUUAUAUUGACUAAUGCGCAUGUAUUUGAAUUUUGCAUAAUAUGCAAAAAAGAAUCAAAAUUUACAUGGCAUUUGCAUUAAAACUAUAUAGUCCUGAUCUUUUGGACCACAGGGGUCUAAGAAAUUUGUGGUCACUCACUGUUGGAUGUAAAUUCAACGGUUCACUCACUCUUGCACUAAUUUUAAUAAACUUUUUUAUACCAUUAGAUUAAUAUCCAACGGUGGGUGACCACAAUCUCUUGGACUCCUGUGGUCCAAGAGAUCGGGACUGUAAAACUAUUAGUCCUGAAAAAUUAAAAAUUAUUUUGAAUAAGGAGAGUAAUUAAUCUCAUAAUUAUUCAUUCUCAUUUAUAUUCCUAAUUUCCCCAAAUUCAUGACAGUUUUAAGUAACAAAAUUGUAACUCAUCAAGUACCAAAUUGUGCAAGACUGCAAAGUGUCCCCCUCAUGACAUUUUUGAAAAUGAAUUUCAAGCCGACUGCACACUAGUUGGUCUAAAUUAUGGGCUUAUGGUAGGUCACAUGUGACUAAAUAAAGUAAUGUCAGUCAGUUAGGGGGCACCUUAAUGCACAUGUCAAAAGUUUACACUCUUUUGAAACUUCAUUCAUGUUUUACCAUGUCUUUGGAUUGGAUGGUAACUAAUUUAACCAUUGGUUUUGACCAUGCCCAAUGGGGUCUAAUCAUAUUAAUUACAAUAUUACAUAGUCGUUAGUCCAAUAUCUUACAAUAAUUUCUCGUCAAUUACACUUUUCACUCAAGUAGUUCGAGGCCUAUUAAAGUUGUUUUUAUAAAACUCUUAAAAUUUCAAAUAAAAGACGUGCAAAAUCUAAUUUAUAAUUUAUAAGUUAACAUCUUUUAAUAAUAGAAUUUUACAUUUGAUGAAUGUUAAGAUUUUAAAAAAACGAAACCGGCUAUUAAUAACGAUACUAAGGCAAUUGAGUUGUAUAGAAAAUGUUUUGAUAUGAUCAGUAGUAAUAUUAUUUAUUAUAUAUUAUAUAUUUUAUUUAGUCAAAUUUUUGAUUCAUCGUUUGAUUUGAUGAGCGUAAACAUUUCCAACCCAGUUACCCAUGCACGAGAAGAUAUGAUGAUAAACCUUGAACAGAAUGACGAUAAAGAAAAAAAAGAUUCAAAGAUGCUUCCCGAAAUCCAAGAAUGCUGUUGUUGCAACGCAUAUCAUUAUAGAGUCAAACAAUGGCCGUGUGGGACUCUGAAAUUCGCAUUUGCCCAUUUUGGCACACACACAGUUAUGUCUCAGUUCAAUGCAUGAACAUCAACCAAACGUCAACAACACUUUUUUCUUCCCAAAAAUUAUUUGAUUAGUUGCAUGAGUAGUUUAUGUCAUAAAAAAGAUUUUUAAGUAAGUAAUUUAUGUUAAGGAUUGGUUAUAUAUUUUUAAUAUCGAUCGUUGAAUUGUAUGUAUAUUGCAUAUUAAAUUUAUCUAUACAAACACAUAUAAUGAAUGCAAUUCAACGACCUAUAUAAGAAAUAUAUAACUAAUUGUUAACUUAAAUACUUAUUGAAAAAUUCCCCGUAACAAAGGCAAACCCAAUAUUGACUGUCAAGUUCGUGUUACAAAAUCACUAAUAUUUUUGCAUGCAUACCAUAUUAAUAUAUAAAUAAAUAAUGUCACUGAUUAUUUUAAUUUCAUUUUACAGCUUGAAUGAACAUAUUGGGAUGAUGGUCCACGAAGUACCCAAGAAACCGUAUAAUAAAAAAUAUUUAUAUAUCUUGUUAUUAUAAAGAACUUUAACAAAUAAAUCAAAUAAAUUUCUACUUUUACGUUUGUUAUUAUAUAAAAAAGAAUAAAAAAAAUUUCACUGUUUUCAUUUUCUGAAGAAAAAUGAGUAGUAGCUCUACAAGAGUAACUUCAUUUUCAGUUCACACUUUCACUUCCUUUCCUCCUAUCAAUGAAUCCACUUUCAUCUCAUAUGUAAUCCUGCUCUGUGUACGUAAGACAUAUGUUCCUUAUAAAAAGAAAAAAAAAAAGAAAAAAAAAAGGAAUAUGGGUGCCGGUUGAUCAACAAGUGCCAAUGAUGCCAGAUUAGUAUAAUUUUGUUCAAACCAAUCAAAACCGGCACCAGUCAAAUGUACACCUACUAUGAGUUUCAUUAUUUCUAAUAAGUAAGAUAUGGAUUGACGUAUAAUUUGAUUGAAAUGAAGAAAGAAGAUGAGUGUGUUGUUAGAUUUCUAUAUAAGUGUCUAUGAUAUUUCACACAACCUGAAAUACAUAGAAGACAUAUCUGACGUCAUUUUCUUUGAGUAUUCGAUCUCUGAACUCAUUCAAUUGCAGCAGCAUUAACACAAACAAAAGACAUGAACGUCUUAAGACUUCUGCUCUCUCUCAGAAACUGUUUCAGCUCUCUUCUUAUGAUGAAAUUAGGUUUAGAGAACAUGUCUAAUGAGAGCAGGAUCUUAAGCUUAUAUAUGGCUAGGUCAAGUAGCCUCUAUUCAUCACCAAGAGUCGACUCGACUAACAAUCUAAAUGGAAAUGUAACAUGUGCGGCAUUAUUGAUAUCACGAAGGAAUGUCCAUUGCAGAAAAGUGCCCAUACACAGAUAUACAAUGCAUGUACGUGAUGUUCUCUUAGCCUGAGCUAGUUGAUAUAAAAUUAUGAAUAUUCAUGGCUUUGAGUCCAAAAUACAGGAGCGUCGGAAGAAAGAGGAUUUGAUAUGAUGACGAUGAUAUUGAUGGGGAUGGAUGAUAUGCUGUUGCUGUGCAAAUGUGCAUGAGAAAUGAAAUGAAAGAACAUGUGCAAGUUGGUGCAUUCCCACUUUCACUUUUGGUCAUGUGCAAUGUAUCUGACUGAGCUAACCCUAUGACACGCACGCGCCUACCAUUCCUUUUCCAACACGCAAUAAUCUACAAAUCCAAUUAAUACUCUACCACUCCACCUAUUCUUUGCCUUUGCCCAAUCUCACCUGUUUUCUUGCAAUUUUGCACUUGAAAAAGAAAUGUUUUGAAUCACCUAGCCUUCUUGAUUAAAAUGCUAGUUGCAAUCCGUCUUUAUACUGGUAAAUUAGCAGGUGUGAGGUUUUAUACAGAAAUAACAUUGAUGCUAUUAAUAGUAGAAUCACUCAUUAUAUGUUAUAUUUAUAUUUUGUUAAGUUUCCGAUAUGGAAUUUUACGCUAACAAUAUUCAUAUUACAAACAUCAAACUACUAUUGAAAAAAGGUCACUGGCAAAAUAAUACACAAGUUCUUGAACUAAGUGGCACAUUGUAACAUCAUUUUAAUUGAGCUGGAAAAUCAACACAAUUUUUUCUAAGAAGUUCAAAUUGCAAACAAUCUCUAAAAUUUAAAGUGGCAUUAGUCUAAGAGAUUUUCCUUUUACCUUCAUUCAAAUUCUUUUUGUAAUAGGUGAUGCUUAUGUGGUUCUUUUAUCUUGAUUCUGAUGGUUGUAAAGUUGGAAGAACAAGGAGAUUGUGGUAAAAGGCUGCAAACCCAAUCAAGAUCGAGAUCAAGAUCUCGGGUUUGGUUUUCUUUUCGAUUUCGUUCUCACACUUCCGUCUCCCUUGCAAAUCCUGGACAACGUAACAUGCAUUUUCUGUUUGUGUUGGACUUUGGGCUCUCUUUGACUGGAACAGCACAGGCCUACUAUCUGAACAUAGCAUAGUGUUAGAACACUUCCAUCUAUAUUUGAUCACAAGAAUUAAAGGCAAGUAAGGGGUGAUUAUUAUUUACGUGUAUAGUAUCCGUCAUAGCAAUUUUUUAAAAUUUUUUUACCCAUUGACACGAUAAUUCAAUAGCAAUUACUAUGCACAUGAGAUUAAUUUCAUUUAUAUGUAUGAGAUUAAUUACAAAAAAUUUGCUAGGUAUCUAUAAUUUUUUAUAUUAAAUUUUGUGGUAAUUUUUCAGAAUUUUUGUCAAUUUUUUUCCAAUUUUUUUCUUCAUUGACGUCAGUGUCUUUAGGCACCAGCUUGGGCUGGUCUUGCCUUUGGGCCUGCCCAGUCUUGGUAGAGCUCAUGUCCUGCCCGUGCUAGAAUUCAUUGGUUGAGGGGUUUAUUCAGCCCAGGGGGCCUUUUGCCAUGGCAAAACCCCAUGGGUGGACAUGCUCUUAAGAACCCAUGGAUAGAACUUGCCCUCAAAAAUCGGCUUGUAAGGAAAGGGUGCCCAUGAGCUCUUAAACCAAUCUAUGAUAUGCUAUAUAUCCAAUGUGGGAUCUUGAGUCAUAACAUUCAACCAGUCUUCCGUAUCCAACGUCCUCGUUGGCCCAUUCUAUAGACCCUUCACUCAACUACCAGUAUUCAAUGACUUGAUUUAUUCUUAAUCUAACCAAAUGUUAAGAAACCUAGGGUAGAAAUUUAUCCUAAAAACUGGUUUGUAAGAGAAGAGUGCCCAUGAACAUUUAAACCACUCUAUGAUAUGAUAUUUUUCCAAUAUGAGAUCUUAAGUCAUAACACAUACUUUAAAAAAAUUAGGAGAAUAAUUAGUAUUAAGAUCAGGAUAAAACUUUUUUUAUUUAUUAAUAUCCUAGCAACAACAUGAGCAAGAUAGAAGAAAACGUAAUACACUACUCGUCUCUACAAAUUAUCAACAAUGAAAUCCAAAUUCUGAGGAGCGUUAAAUUAAUUAUUCAUGAUAUCUGACAUAUGCUAUAACAAGUCUCUUUGGGGGCGUGUGGUACAUAGGAUUGGACUGGACAAGACUAAAUUCAAGUAUUUGCUUUGGCUUGAACUUAGUCUUCUUCUCCUAUGUUUGGUGUGUGUCUGGACCUAUAUUUGGUGCAAUUAUAAAUUGGACUAAAUAUUAAUUUCAAGAUUAUUUAAUAACUUUUUAUUUAUCUUAUAAGAACUUAAAACAAUUAUUUUAGUAAAUCAAUUAGCAUCCAAUAUAUCAAGUGGAAGCAAUAAUUUUAAGAGAGCUUCACUAUUAGGCCUAAUAUAAGGGGCUCGAAUUAUAACAAAACCCUAUAUGAAAUGGAGUAAAUAUACCCAAAGUCCAUUUACAACAUAACAAAGAGACUUCGAAGUUACGAGACACAUAAAGAGAUACACCAUAGCGACUACAACCAUCCCAGUGCUGCAUCAGGCAGGGGAGAAGGAGGUCAUUGCCCCUCCUCCCCUCUCCCCCUUAUUCCCUCUUCCUUUCUCACUCCUUCACUCCUUUCUCUUUCCAAUUUUUUUCUUGGUAACUUGUUUGGGUUGUUGCUUUCGCACAUUUGAGGCUAAAUGCCUCCUUCAAUUUUCAUUAGCCGAGAUCUACACAAUCUUAUCUCUCUAUGUGUAGCCCCUACAAAAUCUCUCUCCCUCUAUGAUCUGCUCUCACCUUUUGGAUACAUCAUACAAUCUUAAAUGCGAGUUUUCGAGUACCACUGGGAAGAUGUAUAGAGCUCUUGCUCAAGUGCUUGCACCACCUCCUUUCUUCCUCAGGUUGCUUAUUCGUUUGGCUAUGAGUUUUGUUUUCCCAUGGCUGUUUUUUGAUUGCUUGCUACGUUUGUAUGGGUGCUUAGGUGGUUUUGACUCUUCUAGAGGUGAUGAAUUUGGAUUGUUGGCUUUUGUGUAUUGUUGUGAAUUUUAGACAACCUGAAAAAUGGAGAUUAUAAAGAUUAGUCUAAACACAAAUUAUACUCACAAGUGCACAAGGUCAAUCGUAAUUUAGUAUGGCAAAUACAAGGUCAUUCCCACGAGGAUUGAGUUCAACUUCCAAUUAGUCUAACCUAAUUUACUUCACAAAUACUUUAACUACUCUAAUUAUAUAAACAAGAAAUUAAACACGUAGCAUACUCAUGUAAACACAAAAGGGUUUUUUUUUGAAAGAAUGAUUUAAUUAACAACGAAAUUAAAAGACAAAACAAGUAGAAAGUCAUGAAACACAAGGAUGAGAAAUUCAAAUUGAUAGAAGCACUAGGACAAUGGAUUUACCAUUAGUAAUCCGAUCUAUCCUCUUAUUCACCUACCUAUUAACUAACCAUUUGAUGUCAUCGCUUAGUUUUCCUUUUUCAUGAAGCAUCUAUGGUAUUUAGGCUAACUUGUAUAUUCCUACAUUCAAUUCGACUAUGGUAUUUAGGUCAAAUAUCAACACAUAGAAACUCAUUAAGAUCAGUGAAAACCACCAACAAACAUGUGAACCCUAAGAGUAUGGUAUUUACCCUAAACGAAUUACAAAUCCUAAUCACAAAAAGCAAGCCUCAAAUUAAGUAUGGUAUUUACUCUAAUUUGCAUCCGAUUAACUCAAUUAAAAGUCUAGAUGGUGAUCAAGCAUCAAGAUAAUUAACCAAGUUAUUAAGCACAGUGAUUAAGAAUCCAACAUCAAACGACAAUCAAUAGAUAGGUAAAAUAAGAAAACUAGAUUAUCAUACUAAGGCUACAUCAUGCCCUAGCAACAGAAAAUUAGUUACACACAAUCAUAGAAUUCGGCAUAAGCAAAAACAUAAGGAAGAAAAAAAUAAAACGUAGCCAAUUGCGUUACUCUUCCGGUGUCUCCAAUUUCUCCUAGUCUUUGCGUGCGUCCAAAGGAGUUGUUUCUCAUGCUUAAGUAAAAUACUACACGUCUAUUCCUACCAUAGCUGGACUUUUACAACAACCCAAAAAUAAAGAAAAACCUAAUUAAAACAUAAAUCCAAAAUGGGUAAGUAAUUAACUCAUCUUCCUACUUGAAUUGGGAUAACACGUUAGUUACUUUGCAUGCACGUUUGGGAUUGUUUCUCCCCCAAGAAAUUUCGCAAAAAAUAUGUAAAUUGUAGAUCUUUGUCUUAUCUUUCUAUCCAUAUAUCGUACGCCUUGAGAAAAAAUUAGGAAAGUCUUCAAAUAAUCAUUAUUCCACAACAGCACAGUUUUGACGGGAUUGCACCUUAUGUUGACUUAAUUUCAAAGAUUGCUCUCAUUGGCUGCUCUGAAAAUUCUAGAAAAAUUCCACAAUCAUCUUCAAGAUCGUAACUUUCAUUUCCAACUGGUCUUGUACUAAAACUCUACCAAAAAUUCAUAUUUUCGUUGAAAACCAAUUACUUGCUCGGGAAAGCUGAAAAUUGAGAAAAUAAAGUAAUAAGUCUUUUUUUAAAUCAAAUUCUCCUACAAAAACAAAGUAUAAAGAGUACAUAAAUCUGUAAAUUUGUGGACUUAUCAUGUAUAUUUAUGUAUGUUUUUGAGUGAUGGUAGUUCCUGCACUCAACCUUGCCCAAGAUGGUGAUGUCCCUCUCUUUAUGCUGGCGGCAACAUUGGCGCCAACGAGUGGGCUUUAUGUCUGGAAUGGGCUUUACGCCUGGCUUGGGCUUUAUGACUUGUUUGGCCUUUGGUUAGUUGUUGGUUGGGUCUAUGACCUUUUUGUUUUUGAUGAGCUCACCAUUUGUGAUUGGGUCAUGCUAGGGAAAUCAUCUUUAGAUACCAACUUAUGUACAAUCUCUCUAAUAGAGAGGUAGAGCCCACCAAUACAUUAGGUUUCACCUCUAUUAGAGAGAUGAUACACAAGUUGGUAUCUAAAAUUAGUCUCCCUAGUUGGUAUCUAAUUAGACUGACUUGCAACCAUCCAUAAUUGGAAGGAGUGUUGCCAGAUUUUGUGUUGGCAUGUGUGCCAAACAGUUUUUUUAUACCUUAAAUUAUAUAUUAUAUUCAUAUAUUUAUUAUAAUAAUAUUAUGUUUAUUAUUUUGGAAUACCACCAACUUGGUUUGGUUAAACCGAUGAUUCUCACCAUCAAGGACCGAAACCAAAUUAUAGACAAUGGUUUGGUUCGGUUUCAAAUCGGAGACAAAGAAUAAAAAAUAAAAACCAAACCAAACCAGAUCAACGAUUUUGUUUGGGCUGUUCGACCGAGUUUUCGAUUCAUAUGCCCACCCCUAAAAGCAUCAUAUUUUUUUUUGGCUUGGGGGGGGGGGGGGGGGGGGGGGGGGGGGGGUAAUUUUUCUUUUUAAAUAUACCAAGGCUAGAGAAAUUAAAGCGUGUGGGGGCAUNNNNNNNNNNNNNNNNNNNNNNNNNNNNNNNNNNNNNNNNNNNNNNNNNNNNNNNNNNNNNNNNNNNNNNNNNNNNNNNNNNNNNNNNNNNNNNNNNNNNCUUUCUCCACUCAGAUUUGACAAUUUCUGUGUGUGUGUUUUGGCGUCGCCAUGCGUGUGUGCGUGUGUGUUUUUGUGGGGGUGGGGGUGGGUGGUGUGGUGGUGUUGUAUAAAGCUAUGUGUAUGCUAAAUAUACACACUUUGUUGCCAGAAUCACCUACAAUGGGCAGGUAAAAAUGGUUGUAAAAAUGCAUAGCCGUGGAGAUGCAAAAUUAGAUGCACAUGUGCAUCCUUUUUUUUACAUCCUUUGCAGGUGGUACCCACAGAAGAAAAAGAGAGAGAGAAUGUUGGAAUCACUCUUCAGCCACCAUACAAAAUGAUGUAGAUGACGUGAGCACAUCAAGUGGUGCAUGGAAAUCUUCAACAGCUCUAUGAUGAACGACUGCGAUGGAUUGGAAUUCAAAAUGGAAGGCCUAGAUUUCAUGCAAUUUGCAUUGCACUUCCAAUAGUUGAAAAUAUUAGAAAAAAAAUACCUUAAAAUGUUUAAAAUAUAUUAUAAUUUUCUACAUAUAUAUCUUUAAGUUAGUUUGUAAGUAAAAUCAUGUGUUCUCCAAAUUUAAAUUUUUUAAAGUCCAUUUGUAAAAAUAAAAUAAACCAAACAUACACAAAAUUAAUUUUAAAAAGUUCAAAAAAGAAAAAAGAAAAAAGAAAAAAGAAAAAAGAAAAAGAAUCAUCACAAACAAAUCGAGUAUACGUCUUUGAAUUUAUAUAUUUCCCCAUUAAUUGUAGCAAAAAAUGCAUUUACUCCCUUUGGAAGUGUAAAUGGAAUAUAAAAGUAAUUUUACACUCCCAAAAAUACAUCACCCACUGAUGAUGCUGUAACUUAAGUAAAUUGCGUUUGCAGAUGGAACGAGGGAGAGAGAGAGAGAGUAGAUAUGCUAUAGAAGACACAGUUAUAGGUUUGUAAGUGUUUAAACUAAAAUGAAAAAAAGAGGGCGAAUAAACUAGCCACUCCACUUUUUUGUCCAAUCCAAUAAACUAGCCACUCCACAGUUCUUGGUUACAAAGAAACUAGGUCUUUCGAAUAACAACACUUCAACUAAGCUGUCACUUCUAUUACGUACUGAUGAAUGACCUAGUGACACAUCUUCUCAGCCUCAGGGUGUCCUUGACAUAUUGGAUUUGAUGCCCAGCUGGAGGAUUUGAUUGUGGGAUGUGGAGGUUAUCUUAUGACAAAAAGGGUUUAAUGAUGGAUACAUUACUUGGCAAAUUUCGGAUUACUGACUUAGUUGUCGAUAAUUAGAGUGUUAGGUGCAAUCAAUUUUCAAGGGAAAAAAAAAAAGAGUUAACAGGUUUCACACGUAACCGUAUAUUUUUUUAUUUAUAUAUAAGCAAUAUUUGGAGUGGUAAAUUCAAACAUAGGAGUUCAAAUAAAAAGUAAAUGCUCAUAAUUACUUGAGUUAUAAGUUUAUUCACCAUGUAACUACAGGAGUUUGUUGAUGAUUUAGCAUGCAUCAUACAUGUAAUUGCUGGUGUAGGGGAAUUUCUAAAACCUUAUUGACUUUGUUGGUGAAAAAGAAUGGUGUGCCUGAUUUGACCAUGGUUGAUCUCCCUGGAAUCACUAGGGUUCCUGUUCAUGGCCAGCCUGAGAAUAUUUAUGACCAAAUUAAGGAUAUGAUCAUGGAGUAUAUAAAACCUGAACAGAGCAUCAUUUUAAAUGUGUUGUCUGCGACUGUGGAUUUUACUACUUGUGAAUCGAUUAGGAUGUCACAGAGUGUGGAUAAAACUGGUGAGAGGACUCUGGCUGUGGUUACAAUGGUUGAUAAAGCACCAGAGGGACUGCUAGAGAAGGUUACAACUGAUGAAGUCAAUAUUGGUCUUGGUUAUGUCUGCGUAAGGAACCGGAUUGGAGCUGAGACGUAUAAGGAAGCUCUAGCUAUUUCUGACCAACUAUUUCAAACUCAUCCUCUGCUUUCCAGGAUUGACGAAUCUAUAGUUGGAAUUCAUGUUUUGGCCCAAAAGUUGGUUCAAAUUCAAGCCUCUAGCAUAGCUAGAAACUUGCCGGAUAUUGUUAAGAAGAUUAAUGACAAGCUGAGUUCCUGCCUUUCAGAGCUCGACAAAAUGCCAAAGAAAUUGUCAUCUGUUGCUGAUGCCAUGACAGCUUUCAUCAACAUCAUUGGAGUGUCCAAAGAAUCACUUAGUAAAAUUCUUAUUAGAGGAGAAUUUGACGAGUACCAAAAUGAAAAGCACAUGCAUUGCACGGCCAGGCUUGUAGAAAUGCUCAAUCAGUAUGCUGAUGAACUUCAUAAGGCCAAUGAAAGUGAUCCCAAAAGUAACUUCUUAACGGAGGAGAUUAAGGUUUUGGAAGAAGCGAAAGGUAUUAGUCUCCCAAUUUUCUUCCCCACAAUGUCUUUCUUUCUAUUUUGCAGGGAAAAGUGAGGGGAAUUUCAAGUAUACCCAUUAGGUUUGUUGAGCAGGUGUGGAGUUAUAUUGGGGAUGUGGUGAUUUCUGUGUUAAUGCAUGACACACAAGGCUAUUAUCAUCUUCAUAUGGCUACCAGAAGAGCUGGCCAUAAUCUUAUAUCCAAGAUGAAAGAAAGGUCAAACAGCUGGAUCUUGGAGAUUGUGGAAAUGGAGAAACGUACAGAUUUCACGUGUAAUCCUGAAUAUGUAUCUGAAUGGAAUAGGCUCAUGAACAAACAGAACGCAUUCAUAGAUGGAGUCUUGAAGGAUGAGCAACGGCCCUCUAAGAUGGACAUAGAGGGUAUUGGGAGAUUGAAUUUGAAGGUCUAAGGAAGCACACUCAUGUUGAUCUAUCUCAAGCUUUUGACUUGAAAAUGCGGAUGACUGCGUAUUGGAAGGUUGUUCUGAGAAGGUUGGUUGAUUGCAUGGCCUUGCAUUUGCAGCUGACUGUUGCAAACCUUGUGAACAAAGAAAUGGAGUUGGAGAUUGGUUGUGAGUUAAUGGGAGCAAAUCACGGCGUUGGGAUUGAGAGGAUGCUGGAGGAAGCUCCAUCAGUUGCAGUCAAGCGCGAGAAGCUCAACAAGAGCAUCAAAAAGCUCAAGGAUUCUAAGGAGGUGGUUGGUAAGAUCUUGGAUACUUAUGCUGGUUAACUUGUGGGAUAGCUAUAAUGAUCAAUGUUCUGUUAAUUUCUAGUUAUUAGUAUGUAGUUAAAUGAUGGCCACUUUCUAGUUACAGCAGACAUUUUGUGAGUCCUGUGUGGAUGAUCUGUUUCUGCUUAACUAAGGGCACAUUUUGUUUAUCAUGUGCCUGGUUGCUCAUCCUGUGUGUAACAUAUCUGUUUCUACGUAAUUAAGAUCGCGUUUUGCUUAUAAUCUUGUGGAUGCUGAUUUUGUUUCUACUCAGUUAAGAACACAUUUUGUUUUUAAGUGGCUUCUUGUUGAAAUAUAAUCCUGCAGCAGAUUUCUUAGAGCUGAAGCUAUUCUCUAUUUGUUCUGUUUUUGGUCAGCUCAUUUAAAUGAUGUAAGGAGAGCCAUUAGAUCAUAGUCUAGGUGGAUUCUCUAGCUUAGAUUUACUAUGACAGGUGUAAGAAUCUAAUAGGAUGACAGCUGUAAUUCUGUUAGAAGAGAAUCACAUUUCUCUCCUAGCAGUCACACUAUGUAAGCUGCAGUUUUGCAGAAAUCAAUAGAACAAUGCAUUUUUCAUAUUCUCCUAUUCAUUCUCUCUAGCUAAAUGCUCUAGAAGAGUACCUCUUCCUAAUCUGAGAAAGAGAUAAACUCAGAAUGAUAACAUGGCCUCAGAGCCUAGUUUUGAUUGUUUAUUGGGCGUGAAUCUGUGAAGAAGGAGCUGGUGCUUGGCUGAGCUGACGAUUGAGCUCACUCAAAACUUCACGAAGCUUGUCUAGCUGCGUUUGAUGUCUAAUAUGGCAGGAUCAAGCUCUUCUGAGCUUCGUACACCAGUAUUCAAUGGAGAAAACUAUGAGUUUUGGAGCAUUCGAUUGAAGACCAUUCUGAAAUCUCAUGGACUGUGGGAUUUAGUUGAACAUGGCUUUGAUGCUUCAGAUCCAACGAAGGAAGAAGGAAAGGAAGAGGGAUCUAAAGCUGCUGAAGAAGAGAAAUCUGUAUCAGCUGAGACCUUGAUGAAAGAUGCUCGUGCACUUGGACUGAUCCAAGGUGCAGUCUCAGACCAAAUUUUUCCCAGAAUAGUGAAUGAAGAAACCUCAAAAGGUGCAUGGGAUAUCCUGAAGCAGGAGUUUAGAGGUGAUAAACAGGUAAGAAGUGUGAAACUACAACGCUUACGUAGAGAGUUUGAAUACACUCGUAUGAAGGAUAGUGAAUCAUUUUCUGUUUAUGCUGCUAAACUGUUUGAUCUGAUCAAUCAAAUGAAGAAUUAUGGUGAAGAGUUACCUAGAGAAAGAGUUGUGCAGAAAUUGCUUAUUAGUUUGCCUAGAUCUUAUGAUUCUAUAUGUUCUGUGAUUGAGCAUUCAAAGGAUCUUGACACUCUUGAAAUUCAAGAAGUGGUUGCAUCUCUCAAGAACUUUGAGCUCAGACUAGACAGGCACAAUGAAAAUUCAACAGAAAAGGCUUUCACUAGUCUGAACAUUGAGAGUAAAAGCUCUAAGAAUGGAAGUUCUUCUGGAGGUAACAAGUCUCAGAAGAACUGGAAGGAAAAUGGGAAGAAUUGGAAUAACAAGUCCAAUUCAAAUACCAAACCAAAUGCAUCAAAUGAUGGAACUAAAACACCCUGCAAGCACUGUGAAAAACUGCACUAUGGCAAGUGCUGGUUUGAAGGAAAACCAAAAUGCAGAGGAUGUGGAAAGUUUGGUCACAUGGUUAGAAAUUGCCAUGACAAUCAAUCUGUGCAGAAGGUGAACUAUGCCAAUCAGGUUGAAGAAACUGGAACAUUGUUUUAUGCAUGCAAUGCUGUGACAGAUGUGAAAAUGAGCAACUCUUGGUAUGUGGACAGUGGCUGUAGCAACCAUAUGACUGGAGAUGAAAGGCUACUGAUAGACAUUCGAAGGGAUGUAACUUCCAAGGUGAAAAUGGGGACUGGAGAGACAAUUCAAGUUGCAGGAAAAGGUACUCUUGUGAUAGAAACCAAAUCAGGCAGAAAACACAUUCAAGAAGUGAUGUUGGUGCCUGGUUUAGAAGAGAACUUGCUAAGUGUUGGUCAGAUGAUGGAACAUGGGUAUUGUUUAGUAUUUGGAAAGGGAAUGGGGACAAUUUUUGAUGAUUGGUCACUGCAAAACUCUAUAGCUAAGGUUCCAAUCACUAGCAAUAGGUGUUUCUCUCUCACAAUGGUACCUGCUACUCAGUUGGUGCUGAGAGCAAGUGUGACUCACAGUUUGCAGACUUGGCAUAAAAGGCUGGGUCAUCUUAAUGAUCAAAGCAUCAAGAUGCUAGCAAAUCAAGACAUGGUUCAUGGACUGCCUAGUCUGGAGAAGGAUUUAGCAGUGUGUGAAGGCUGCAAGCUGGGAAAGCAGCAUAGAGACUCAUUUCCUGCAAAAUCUACUUGGAGAGCUCAGUCUCCACUAGAAUUAGUUCACACUGACAUCUGUGGUCCAAUGCAGACUGCAUCAAUGUCAGAAAACAGAUAUUUCCUGUUAUUCAUUGAUGACCAUACAAGAAUGGCUUGGGUUUAUUUUCUCAGAAAUAAAUCUAAUGCUUUUGAAUGUUUCAAGAAGUUCAAAGCAAUGACAGAAUUGCAGAGUGGACACAAAGUGAAGUCACUUAGAAGUGAUAGAGGUGGAGAAUUCAUGUCAAAUGAAUUCCUUGCAUACUGCAGUGAGGCUGGAAUACAAAGGCAGCUGACAGUGGCAUAUUCUCCUCAGCAAAAUGGAGUUGCUGAGAGGAAGAACAUGACAGUAAUUGAGAUGGCAAAGUCUAUGCUACAUGAAAAGAAUCUUCCUUAUGAAUUUUGGGCAGAAGCUGUUCAUACAGCAGUCUACCUUCUCAACAGAUGUCCUUCUAAAUCUCUUGAGAAAAUGACACCAUUUGAGGCCUACACAGGAAGAAAGCCAGGUAUUGCACACUUGAAAGUGUUUGGAUGCCUAUGUUAUGUGCUUAUUCCUUCUGUUUUGAGACACAAGUUGGAAGAAAAUAGUCACAAAUGCAUUUUUGUGGGCUAUGGAUUGUGUGAAAAAGACUAUAGACUGUAUGAUCCUAAGACAAGAAAGAUUAUCUUGUCUAGGGAUGUCUAUUUUGAUGAAGAAGCCUCAUGGAAAUGGGAGAAUCCUAGCAAUGCAGAUGUGGGAAUACCUAUGCCAGAUGGAAAUCAAGAUACUGCAGAAACUGAACAGAGGGUAUUAGAUGAUCACUCUCAGUUCUUGGAUACUCAAAUGCAGAUGGAAGAAGAAAUUGCACCUCAAGGGGAAGAAAUGCUUGAAGAGACUCAAAGGUUUGAUCAUACACCUCACAAGUGGAGGAAUAUUAAUGACAUCAUGGCACAAUGCAACAUGUGCAUUGUAGAACCUGACAGCUUUGAAGAAGUAGAUUUGGAUGAAUCAUGGAGAUGUGCAAUGGAGGCUGAAUUGGAGAUGAUUGAGAAGAAAAAUACUUGGAAAUUAGUUGACAGGCCAUCUAACAAACCAGUAAUAGGUGUUAAGUGGGUCUACAAGGUCAAACUGAACCUAGAUGGUACUGUGCAGAAGAAUAAAGCUAGGCUUGUGGCUAAAGGCUAUUCACAGAAACCUGGAAUCGACUAGAAUGAGACAUUUGCCCCUGUGGCAAGACUUGACACCAUCAGAACUUUGAUAGCUCUUGCAGCACAAAAGGAAUGGAACCUAUUUCAAUUGGAUGUGAAGUCUGCUUUUCUCAAUGGCAUUCUAAAGAAGGAAGUUUAUGUUGAACAACCUCAAGGAUAUGUUCAAGAAAGCAAGGAAACCAAGGUGUUCAGGUUGAACAAGGCUCUAUAUGGACUGAAGCAAGCCCCAAGGGCCUGGUAUGAUGAAAUAGAUGCCUAUUUCAACACUGCAGGUUUCAAGAAAAGCUUAAGUGAAGCUACUCUCUAUAUCAAAACUGGUGACACCUCAGGUAUUAUCAUUGUCUCCCUCUAUGUAGAUGACAUUAUAUAUACUGGAAGCUGUCCUAAAAUGCUUGAAGAAUUUAAACAAGAUAUGAUGCAACACUAUGAGAUGACAGACUUGGGUCUGUUGCAUCAUUUUCUUGGCAUGGGAGUGGAACAAACUGACAAGCAUAUUUUCAUUCAUCAAAAGAAAUAUGCCAUGAAAAUUCUUGAGAAGUUUGGAAUGAGAGAUUGCAAGUCAGUGGCAAUUCCAUUAGUGGUGAAUGAGAAAUUGUGUAGAGAAGAUGGGAGUGAAGCAGCAGAUGAAAGUGAAUUCAGACAGAUUGUAGGAAGUCUCCUUUAUCUGACUGCCACAAGACCAGAUGUCAUGUUUGCAUCUAGCUUGCUUGCUAGAUUUAUGCACAAUCCCUCAAAGAAACACAUGGGAAUUGCUAAAAGGGUGCUGAGAUACAUUCAAGGCACAUUGGAUUUUGGAAUUGAGUUUGCAAAAGGGAAGACAGCUACUCUAAUUGGGUACUGUGAUAGUGACUGGGCUGGGAGUGAAGAUGAUAUGAGGAGCACCUCAGGAUAUGCCUUCACACUAGGCUCAGGCAUGUUCUCUUGGGCUUCCAUCAAGCAAAACACAGUUGCUCUAUCUACAGCCGAAGCUGAAUAUGUGAGUGCUGCAGAAGCAACUUCACAAGCUAAGUGGCUGAGAUUUGUGCUUGAAGAUUUUGGUGAAGAACAGAUAGAAGGGACUCAGAUUCUAUGUGAUAACACCUCAGCAAUUGCAAUGGCAAGGAAUCCAGUCCAUCACCAAAAGACAAGACACAUCAGCAGAAAAUUUCAUUUUAUCAGAGAAGCCAUUCAAGCAAAAGAAAUUGAACUGAUAUACUGCAAAACAGAAGAUCAGAUAGCAGACAUCUUGACUAAAGCUCUACCUAAGGAUCGGUUUGUGAGGCUGAGAAGCUUGCUUGGUGUGAAAUCAGCUAAAGGAUUAGAAGGGAGUGUUGAAAUAUAAUCCUGCAGCAGAUUUCUUAGAGCUGAAGCUAUUCUCUAUUUGUUCUGUUUUUGGUCAGCUCAUUUAAAUGAUGUAAGGAGAGCCAUUAGAUCAUAGUCUAGGUGGAUUCUCUAGCUUAGAUUUGCUAUGACAGGUGUAAGAAUCUAAUAGGAUGACAGCUGUAAUUCUGUUAGAAGAGAAUCACAUUUCUCUCCUAGCAGUCACACUAUGUAAGCUGCAGUUUUGCAGAAAUCAAUAGAACAGUGCAUUUUUCAUAUUCUCCUAUUCAUUCUCUCUAGCUAAAUGCUCUAGAAGAGUACCUCUUCCUAAUCUGAGAAAGAGAUAAACUCAGAAUGCACUACUACAAAAAAGCAAAAAGACGACGGUAAAUCACCGUCGUGUAUUUGGUUUUUCAAUGGUCGUGGAAUCCACCGUCAUCUUUUCCCUCAUAAACCACGACGCUAAAUAACCGUCGUUGUUAAACAAUACAACGUCAUCAAAAAAUACAAAACGACGUCUUUGUACUGCAAAAAGAUCUAAAAAAAGCAAUCGAUGAUGAUAAUAGACGACCAAUUCUCUAAAAAGACCGUCGUUAAAAAGGGAAAAUAUGACACAUAUUAAGAGAACAAGGCCGCAAGAUAGACAUACAACGACGACAAUAAAAAUACGCCGACGUUAAAUAUAAUUUUCACGACAAUAAAAAAUAUGACGUCUUUAAAUACAUUAGAAGACGACGUUAUUGAUACCUACUACGUCGCACAUAUAAACACAACCGUCGUACAAUUAAUUUUCCACUUCGAUUUUUUGAUAAAAGAUGACGUGGAAAUAGUUGUCAGUGUCAUUAUUUACGACGUAUGUGUUUCUAUAGUAGACGUUGAAAAACUAAACAACGUCAGUUACAAAUAUAUGAGAGUCGUAUUAAAAAAUUUAUACGUCCUAUUUUCAGAAACAAACAACGACCAUAAAUAUUAGACGUUGUUAAAUACAACAACGUCGGAAAACAAUAAAAACAGACGUGUUUAGUCUGCUAAAGUUCUACAACGUCUCUUAUUUACAAAAAACCGUCGUGAAAUAAAUUUUCCACUUCGAUUUUAUCUAAAAAAGAUGACGUGGAAAUAGUUGUCAGUGUCAUUAUUUACGACGUAUACAUUUAUAUAGUCGACGUUGUAUUUAUAUGUAUUCAUUACUCACGACGCACUUAAUAAUAUAGACGACGUUGAACGUCUAAACAACGUCGGUUCCAAAUAAAUGAGAGCCGUAUUACAGAACAUAUAGACGGCGUAGAUUAUGAUGGGAGCCGUAUUACAAAUAACGUCGUUUAAUUGUUAUUAGACGGCGGUUAUAAUGAAUUUCCGUCGGAAUUAAUUUCGUUCCUCUUCGUUUAUAAAAGAACUUGCGACGUGGAAAAUGUAUGAUGACGUCGUAUUUUUUAACGUUCAGAUUACAUAUCUCGUUUUUUAGACGUCGGUAUUAUGGGAUUGGAGUCGUGUUAUUUUGAAUUACAUGGCGGUUCUUUAUCCUUCACCGACGUGAUAUCCUGAAUAAUUGCUUCACAAUAGCGUCGUGGUUCUUCAUUGUUACGUUGCUUUAAGACGUCGGUAAAUAUGCUGAAUAACUGAUUCACAAUAACGUCGUGUUUUAUUUGAACGUAGAAAGUGAAGAAAUCACAUUACAAUAUAUUACAAAAUUAAUGUCAUACACUGCCAAUUACAUAAGCAUCAUUCAAUCCAUAUAUCUUCACACCAAAAUCACCAAAAUCAUUAUCAUCCAUAUCAAUUUCUUCAGACACAAAACUGUACCUACUAUGGCCAUCAUCUUCUUCAACAUUUCUGCUAGCAUUAGUAGUUGCUUCCCAAGGUUCUCCGUGAAAUGUCCAAUUCUUAUAGCUUUGGUCAAUUCCAUUAAAGUAUAAGUGAUCCCUUAUAAUUCCAACCCCAAACAACUUCAAAUUAACACAUUUAACACAUGGACAACGGAUAUGUGUUGUAGUUAGAAGAUUUUCUACAGCAAAGUUCAAAAAUGCUUCCACCCCAAACUCAUAUGCCUUCGAUCUUCUAUCCGAGUGCAUCCAUGACUUAUCCAUCUCCGACACUAUAACCUAUUAUCUAUAAUAAAGUGAAAAUACAGGCAAUGACCAUCACUAUAGCAGAUUAUACAAUGAUCUAAUCGCAAGUAAUAAACAACAGAGACGACGGGUUUUAAUCAAAAACAGACGUAUUUGGCAUAUAUAGACGACGGAUUUUCAACAGACGUCGUCUAUUAUACGUAAUACAAACGACGGUUUAUGAAAAAACCGUCGUGUAUAAGUAAUACAACGACGGUAGUUUAAAAACACCGUCGUGUAAUCGUCGUCGUACGCCUUAAAAUUCGUCGUGUCUCAGUUUAUUUUCAAGAACACAAAACCCAUUAAGAACACAACAUAUAUAUGAAACCAAGCAAGAAACCAACAUAUACAUGAAACCAAGCAUGAAAACAAUAAAUCCAUUCCCAAUUCAACAUAACAUAGGGUGAUUAAAAGAUACGACAAAAUUAAAUCCAUUCCCAAUUCAACAUAACAGAUAAUGUAAUCCAUGAACCCAUUAAACAGAAAAUCCAUGAACCCAUACCUAUAAGCAUUGGUGCACUUUGCACCUUCUCCAGAGCGGAAAAUGACAAGAUCAAAUAAAGGUGUCCUUUUGCUGGAAAUCAUUUGGAAGUUGGUGAUGUGUCUUUUUGUGUUGAUUUCCAGCAAAAGUACACCUUUAUUUGAUCUUGUCAUGAACCCAUUAAACAGAAAAUCCAUGAACCCAUACCUAUAAGCACAUUAUUAACAGAUCGCAAAGCAUAUACCUAAAACCCUUUAACAAAACAACCUAAUAUCAUUCAAUGAAUUUACAAGGGGAAGAUAGGGUUUGUACUUACAGGUUGGACGAGCUCACAGAUUCGACGAGCCUGGAGAGUGCAACUUUUAAUUAGAGCAGAAGUGAGAGAGCGAAAUGUUAUGUCGCGUGAAAUCUGAAAUUUUAGGUUUCAGGGAUCAAAGUAUAAGACUAAGAGCCAAAUCUAAAAAAAUUUAGGUCGCGCGAAAAUUUUUAGAGCGCGCGCGUUAUAAAACGUCGAAAGAAAAACCAAGGCGAAAGUUCUACAAGUACCGACGUAAAUUUAAUAUUCCACGACGGAAACUUCAUUUUUCGGAUUAAGAACGUAAGGCCGUUCAUUUUUCGGAUUAAUUUUAAAUUUAUUUUGAAUUUUUUAUAUAACGACGACUGAAAAACCACGUCGGUGUUAAGAAAUUAAAGACGUUGUAAAUUAUAUAAACCGACUUACAUAUUAAAAUAACGUCGUUUAAAGCGUAAACCAUGUCGUAUGUUUUACUGUACGACGUAAAAUAUGUAUUCCACGACCCAACCACCGUCGUUAAAAAUUAAUACACUAAACCCAUAAAAUUAAAUUAUACAAUUUAAAAAAUUAAGUUUAUAAAAGGUUUUAUGGUUUUAAAGCCUAACAUAUAACAUAGACUACCCAAAAAUUAUACUUUAAAAAUAAACCCCAAUAAAUAACAACACUAAUCUCUAAACCCUAGACUCUAAACCCUAAACCAUAAAACUAGAAGUGAUUUUAUGACUCAUCAAAACAAUUUUGUUUUGGAUGGUCAUUUUAAAUUUUUGUUAUUCAAAAUGAAUUUUUUCAAGGUUUAUGUGGAAGAAAAUAUAUCAAUGACUUCAUAGGAGUUGACUUUUCAAUUUUCUGAUUUAUUUUAUAUUUAUUUUGAAUAUUUUGAUAUAAAAAUAAUAAAAUAUUCUUACCACAACAACAAACCACGUCGGUGUUAAUAAAUUGUAGACGUUGUAAAUUGUAAUAGACUACUAAGUCGUUAAAAUGACGUCGUUAAAAUGAGAAACCAUGGCGGCUAUUUAACUAUACGACGUAAAAUAUAUAUAUCAACGACUUAACCGCUGUCGUUACAUAAACGUCGUCGAUGAUACCCUGAACCCUUAAGAAAUUGAAGAUGUUGUAAACCAUAAACGACUCAAUUGUUCAAAGAACGUCGUCUAACUAUAUUUUUACGUCGUAAUUGUUUAAAACACGAAACAACAAAAUACGACGGUUUGUGACUUUAUUAGGUCGUUGGAAAAGUAUUACACGUCGGUUAAGCAAUUUGUAUGUUUGUUUUUUUUUUAAUUUAAGAAAACCUCAACAAAUUUUUACAUUACAUAUUAUAGAGAAAAUUUGUACAUUAUACAUAAAUAUCAAGUGUUCAAUAAUUGCCCUGUUUAAUAAUUUGGAAAACAAACUCUGCCCAUUCAUUCCGGACUUCAUCAAUGGCUUCUUGGGGGUAUGAAGCUUCCUGGUUUCCCUUGGCAUACUGCAUAAACAAUGACUAUUAGGGUUUAUAAAUAAAAAGAAAUUCAAUCACAGACGACGAUAUUUUUCAUAACCGACGUAGUAUAUCCAUUCAACGACGUUAAUUUUACACGACCGUCGUUGAUAAUACAAAAAACGACGUGAAAUGUAUGAAGGUAAUUUCUUCUUACCUUAUUCUCAAACCCCAAGGAAGGAUCCAUGAUGAUGUCCCUCAUGAAGCGCAUUACAUAAUACCCGCAUUCGACAUUGCUGGGUUGCUUUGGUGUGCCUGAGAGAGUUUUCCAAAUUACAUUUUUACGUCCUGCUCGGGCUAUGUGGGUAUUAUAUAUUUUUAAAGCACUGUUCACGAUGUUUUUGGCCUCUUCAUCGACCACACGAUUUCCUGGCAGAGGAUCCAGAAAAUAGACGGUUUCUCUCUUUGCUCUUACAAUCAGCAAAAUCCAAUGACGGCUGCACAAAAUUAAUAUAAAAACGACGGUUAUUUACAAAAACGACGUAUUAUAGUAUUUCACACGACGAAGUAAAGUAGCUAACGACGACAUUAUAUAUUUAUCACGAUGAUAAAUAAAUACCGACGUGGUUAGUAGUUUCAAACGACUAAAUAAAAUAAAACACCGACGUGGUUAGUUUAUAAGCUGUCAUUUAUUGAAAAUCUUAAAAACAAAAUCCUAAGGAGACUAACCCUGGAUUGUAAGGCAUCAUGAAAAUCUGUUCACCGUCUGUCUUCUGAAGUCGAGCUGCUACAAGUCGUGAUCUUGCAGUUAUUGUGCCAGAGUUGGCACUAACUGUAGCAGGGUCGAUAAAGCCAACCAUACUGCACAUAUUGGCUUUUUUCAAAACAUCGUGUAAGUACCUAAACAAAAUAAAAUAAUAUAAACAAGUCAGCACACAAAACACGACGGGUUAUGUAUAAAAAAACGACGUAUUAUAAUAUUUCAAACGACGUACUGAAAUAGAUGAGACGUUAUAAUAUAUUUAUCACGACGGUUGUUAGUUAAGACGACGUGNNNNNNNNNNNNNNNNNNNNNNNNNNNNNNNNNNNNNNNNNNNNNNNNNNNNNNNNNNNNNNNNNNNNNNNNNNNNNNNNNNNNNNNNNNNNNNNNNNNNNNNNNNNNNNNNNNNNNNNNNNNNNNNNNNNNNNNNNNNNUAUCGCGCUCACCACGCUACACCUCCUUAUCAAUUGUAAAUUGGACUGUCUUAUCCUCAGGCAGGAGUGUCGUUUCCACAAAACGACAAAGGGUUUUUAAAGAAGAUGGCGCCUCCAUUUUUGAAUAAGCACCAACUUCAAUAACCUGUUUAAAGAAAUAAAAAAAAUGACGUGGUAAUUCAAUAAAGACGACGGUUUAAGGAAUAAAACGUCGUUUUAAAAGUAUUUAAACGACGGUGAAAAAAUUGUCGUGGUAAUUUAAUAAAGACGGUGAAAAAACCGUCGUUUAAAUAUUUUAUUACGUCUUAAAAAAAUUCCGCCGUCUAAGUUGUAAACAAACGACGGAUUAAAUAAAAAAAUUCCGCCGUCUAAGUUGUAAACAAACGACGGAUUAAAUAAAAAUAUCGACGUCUGAAAUUUUGAAAAACAAAUAAAAAUUUCUUCUUCCUUCUCUUCAUCUCUUUUUUCUUCUUCCUUCUCUUCAUAUCUUUUUUCUUCUUCCUUCUCUUCAUCUCUCUUUUCUUCUUCCUUCUCUUCAUCUGGCUGAUGUUUCCCCAUUUUGGCAGUAUCAUCCUCCAAAUGUAGGGAUCUCACAUCACCUCCAGAGCAGCUAGCUUUGUCAGACAUUGGAUUUUUGGGGCUUUGGCUAAUUCUUGGUUUAAGCAUGCUUGGAUCAAAAUUGGGAAUUAAUUGGGAAAGCUGACUCAGGAAAUGCUCCCUCUCAGCCUCUACCAAUUGUUUUGUCCUAGCCUCCAUCCUUAAGGCCUCUUCCCUUGCCUUAGCCUCCAUCUUUUUAGUCUCUUCUUGAAGGAGAACUCUUAAACUCUCCUUCAAACGGUCGUCAAAGCUCACCCUCUGUGGUUUGGGCAAAUUGAAAUAUUGCCUUGGGGAAACACCAGCACCAACUCCCCUCACCCUGCCUGGAUGCUCGGGGCCCAAAGCCAUGGUCAGCACAUCAUUGCUGCCAUCUACUCUGACUUUGCCUUCCGAGACUUGUUUCUGCAAUUCAUCCUAAAACAAAGAUAAACAAAAAAAUACACGACGGUUAUUUAUGUACAAACGACGUAUUAUAUAAUUUCACACGACGCAAUAACGUAUAAACCGACGUUAUUAUAACUUAUCACGACGGUAGUUAUACCGACGUGGUUAUUUAUUUAAAACGACGAAAUGAAUAAACAACCGACGUCUUAUGCUAUAAUUAAAGAUAACAGAGUAGUGAUUCCUAUUUAGACCGUUAACGACGUUUUUAAAAAAUUUUCGACGUGGUAAUAUCCUUCACACGACGCGAAAAUGAACCACCGACGUCUUAUGCUAUAAUUACAGAAAACAUAGUAGUGAUUCCUAUUUAGACCUUUAACGACGUUUUUAAAAACUUUUCGACGUGGUAAUAUCAUUCACACGACGAAAAAUAUAACAUACGACGUAAUAAGAAUAAUUCACAGUUUAAUAAAAAUUUAAAACAGAGUGAGUAGGCUUACAAUUAAUUUUGCCUUCUCUGCCACCUUUGGAUCAGGGAUGUUACCAUGUUUGUCCUGUCUAGCUCUCUUCCAUAAGGUAGAUCGAUCAAUUUCUACCCCAGGCAUGGUUUCCUCCAAUUGAUCCUCCAAUCCAGCAUAUCCUUUUCGAGACAAUCGAUGAUUGUACUCGAGUUUUUCCCUAAUCUGUGAAUGUUGAGAAUGCACAGACUGAAAAUCUUUGGAUAGCCUUGAAGCUACAAAGGCAUCCCAUUGUGCUUUCUCUAUGAAUUUAUAUGUUUCAGGGGGUUGGCUUAAUUUCUCCCUGUCAUUGGUGUAUGGAAGGAUAUAAUGCCUCGUUAGUGUAGACUUGAAAUCCUUCCAUUUUUUGGCAGCAGAAGAUAAAACAGAGGUCUUGCCCCCUUGGCCUACGACAAAAGCCAUGUCAACUGCUUCCCAAAUCUGCUCCUUUAUAUCCUUUGGGAUUUGGGACCAUUUCUUGUCCACAAGUGGGAUCCUGGAGCGUGCCAAGACACCAAUAUACGACUGCAUCUCAAUAUGUGCUUGGCCAACACCUUUCCCCCUUUUAUUGUACUCAACAAUUGGCCUCAGUUUCUGAAGCUUUCUCUUCACAACACGAGGCAUUGUGCUCAUACCUCGACCAGUCUUUGAAUCAUCAGAGAUUGUUGUCUGGCUGGUUGGUUCUGUCUCAGCAGAUGAUGAAGCAAACUUCAUCUUCUUCGAAGACUUCAUCUCCUUCGAAGACUUGUCUUGGGGAGCUACCACUCCAAGCUUCUUGGAGCCAGAAUCCUUAGUUUGUUGUUGAGAAACCAUUUUAACAGACAAAACUGCAAGUGAAAAUAUUUCAGGAAAACAUUAAGAACACAAACGACGGUAUUAAAAAAAUACGACGUAUGAUAUGAUUUUAGACGACGCAAUGAAAUAAUCUCAGACGUAAUAAAUGUUUAAAACCAUUAUUUAUAUAACGUCGUGGUAUAUAUGUUCACACGACGUCAAUAGUAAUACACCGUCGUGGUAAACUAUUAAUUAUAUAACGUCGUGGUAUUUAUGUUCAUACGACGUCAAUAGUAAUACACCGUCGUGGUAUUAACAUUCACACGACGUAAAACAAUAAGAUAUUUUGUCGUCUAUAUUAGAUACCAACCCUAGUUUCUUUUUCUUUAUAUUUUAUCAAAUAAGGGAAAAACAAAAACCAUUGUUCAGCGAAAUCAAACAUGCAAUUAAACAAGCAUAUAAAAAAAGACUAUUAUUUUAAAAACAACUUUGUCAAUUUUCAGACGACGCUAGAACAACUGACGAACCGUCGUGGUCUACCGUCGUCUUAUUUAGUUGAUGUAGUUGUCUUCAAAGUUGGAAACUUUCUCUCUUUGUCUGUAUAUUUUAUCAAACUUGGAAAGAAGUAAAAUGAUUUUGGCCAGAAAAAAGGUAAAAAGAUUUUUCAAACAAAAAACGUAUGAGCAUGCAAAACAGUAACCAAAAUAGUGAAAAUGAAAGCUUACCUUUUGCGUGCAAUGAAAGCAAGAGGAAGAUGAUCGAUGUUUAAGUUCAGAGACGACGAAGAAGACGAGAGGAAGACGAUGAGAAACUCUGACAAUGCUCUGACAAGGAAAAAAGACGAAAAGGUUUCUCUGGGAGAUUGAAAUUUUUAAUCGGGUUUGGAAACAGUGCAUGUGUAAGUCGAAAAGUUGCUUACAUAUAAAACCAUUUCAAAAAAAUAAUACGGCGGUUACAUUUAACUACGUCGUUUUUAACUAAAACGACGCAAUAUUUUUCAUUCGACGUGGAAUCAUUUCAUUUAACGUCGUUAGGUUUAAUAUAACCGACGUGGAUUUUAAUUUUUAAAUUAUGAAUAGAAUUUUUUUUCCCGUGACCUUUCAGUUUAUUUUUCAAUUACAGUGCGUUAUAAAUAGAGUUUUUUUUCCGGAGGAAAUUUAAAACGAAGGAAAUUAAUAUUCUGCAAUAUGUAAAGUUUCUUUUUUGGAUGACAGAUUUAAAUAAAAUAAGAAUAUAAAAACAACAAAUGUGUAAGUCAAGUAGACGAAAAGUUGCUUACAUAUAAAACCAUUUCAAAAAAAUAAUAUGGCGGUUACAUAUAACUACGACGUAUAAAUUACAAAAUACGACGGUACAUUUAACUUCGGACGUGGUAAAUAAAUACGACAGUAGUUUGUAGGUACCGUCGUAGUAAACUCAAAAAUUAAAGUACAUAAGUAAUAACUCGCGUCAUGGUAUAUUAUUUAACACGUCGUUUUUAUUAAUUUACCGACGUGGAUUUCUGUAAUAUACGUCGAUCAUACCGACGUUGAUUUUACAAUUUAAACGGCGGUUUUUUUGUAAGGACCGCCGUUGGUUUUAAAAAUUUAUUCUAUAAAUUUGUCGCUUUCAUUCAUUUUCGGUUUACAUUUAAGGUUCCAAGUUCUUCCUCUCUCAGUCUCUCAUGUCUCAAAGAUAAUAAUUUGGAUGUUUUCUCAAAGAGAAAUUGAGCUUACUCGCAUCAAAUAUAUGUCCACAAGAAGAAGCUUGUCAACUAGCCUUCUCACUUCCUUGAUCAAGCCUGAUAGGACACUUAGUGCUUCUGAAUACUCCUUGCUUUCCAUCAAAAGAGAUGCAAGCCUGGCCUCCACUCGCUGUCGAAGGAAAGUUCGCUUCUCAGGGAAAUCUGAAGAUCAGAUGUGCCUGAUCCUCUGCUUGAUUUUCUUGCCUAAGAAGAUCCGUCGGAUUUAUUGUGAUAGCCUCUUCCUUUAUCCGUAGAGCUUCAGAAGAAGAAGAUGGGUUUCAAGAAUGCGAUAAAGAAUAGAAAUGGCUUCAGAUGGCCUCUAAAGCAUGAGCAAUUGAAUCAGUAGUUUCUGGGAGAUAUGAUGAAGACAUUGUCAAUGCUUUGAACUACACAAGUCCUGCAGAAAGAUAUGUUAAAGAAACUGAAACAACGGCGGUUUUCUGUUCUACCGUCGUCUUUUCUCGUCGUCUAUAUUAAGUUACGAUGGCGGUAGAUUUAUAAUUACCGACGUAGAUUAUUUUGUUAAACGUCGUUAAGUGUACUACAACCGACGUGGAUUUUAAUUUUAAAUUAUAAAUGGAGUUUUUUUUCCCGUAUUCUUUCAGUUUUAGUUUUCAAUUCCAAAGCGUGAUAAAUAGAUUUUUCUUUCCCGAGGAAAUUUAAAAUGAGGGAAAUUAAUGUUCUAGAAUUUGUAAACUAACACGACGCAAUAUUUGCAAAUCUGUGUCAUCUGUUAAGAUUAUGAUGUGGAACAGAGUUCCAUCUGGUAAGAUUUCGUAACCCUUGGGAUCUCAGACAAAACUGAUUAUGUCGGCGGUGUUCUAUAUAAACCGUCGUGGUUAUUUCAAUUCUUGUCAUUAAGUAGAUCUACCGACGUAGGAUAAGAAAAUCAAAGAAAAAAAUUGUUAACAAAAAUUCUUAUUAAGACGACCGUUAAAAUUAAAGGUACGACGUAUAAAAUGAAUAAAUACGACGAUAAAUUUUAUUGUACGAUUUAAAGAUAACGUAGUAGAACUAUACGAGAAUGACGUCGAUAUAUUUAUAUUUUCCGUCGUUGUAAAUUAAUUUAAUACGGCGAUAUUUUGUAUUUUAAAGCCGUGGAUUUGUUUGUAAUUAUACGGCGUCUUAUACGAAAACCUCGUCGUGUUAUUUUAUGAGUAAAAACGGCAGUUUUUAUUGAAAUCGUCGUCUUUACUUUCUACGUCGGUCGAUUCAUAACUUCUGCCGUUCUUUGUUGGCAUUGAUUUUACACUGAGGAAAUCUGUUUCAAAUAGACGUCGGUUGUUUAAUUAUGUACGUCGUUGUUUUUGAACAGCCAUUUGAAACUCCAUUUUUUAGUUGUCUAAGGUUGUAUUACACGACGGUGUUUUUAGAACCGUCGUCUUUUUAUAAACCACGACGGUUUUCACUUAGACCGUCGUUGUUUUCUGGUCGUCUUUUUCACUUUUUGUAGUAGUGAUGAUAACACUUCUAACCAGCUAGCAUGUUUAAUCCAUGUAAACGAUUUUGCUACCAUCUUCAUCUAGUUAGCUGUGGGUGGCUAAAUCGAGCACAUCAGUGUCAAAGUUCUUGCAGUCUCAAGUAGAAAGACCUCUCUUAAAACAAAAAUGCGUGUGUAGCAGAACAGUUUGGAAAGUCUCUUAAAACAAAGGCAAUGAAAAUGUAUUUGGUAUUCUCUAAAAAGAAAAAAAAGCUGUCUCCAAUACUAAUAUGUGAAUUGUAUUAUGCAGUAGUAUUGUGAGAAAUGAUAUGACGCUUGCAUGCAGCUGUAAUUGCUCUUAACUACCUGAGUUAAGAGCUCCUUUUUAUUUUGUUUUUUAAGAACCAAACUUAUUAUUGUGAAAAAACAUUACAAGUUAUAUUAAUUAAAUUUGAUUAAAAAGAUGGUGCAAUUGUUAAAUUGAUUUAUCCAAUUGUUUGUACUCAAUUUUGCAUCGUGUUCUACUUUUGCCCAAAAUAUGUGGUCUAGAAUAUUGUAUGUAUAAAAAAAAAAAAUCGUUGUCCUGAACAACCAAGUAACAACAUGAACAAAAAAAUAAAUAAUAAUAAUAAUAAUAAUAAUAAUUUUCAAGAUUAAUUUGAAGACCAAGGAUGGUCAGACAACUGCAUAGAUUCCUAAUGGAUGACAGAGAUUACUUAAUACACAACUUCUCAGCAGAUUUCAACAGAGUCCAGAAACAUAUCCCAACCAGAUAUCUUGAAAGAACACUACACAUGUCCUACAUUAUAGUUUUUAGCAUGAAUGAACUGAUUUCUUUAUAUGCAAUAUUGGUUACUGGUUUGUUAACGGCUUUUUGCUAUACUGAUUGCGUCAAUUUCAAGGACAUGUCUUUGUUAUUGUGAUCUUGGCAGAAAAACUUAUAUGAAAUGGAGACAACACUAUUUGUUAUUUUUGGCCAUUAUGCUAUGUUAAGUAGAAAAAUUAUUACGUGUGGCAUAGUCUGAUUGGUCAGGGAUAGCAAAACAGUGCUAUUCUUGUUAUACACAAGUGUUUCUCGAUCUUAGGGGUGUAUUCAAUUAAGAUUUUAAUGAAUUUUAAAUAAGUUCGGAGUGUCAUUUAAUUGAUUUCUUUUUCAUUGUUAGAAUCUUGAUCUUGUCAUAGAGUUUGAUAGAUUUUUAUAAACUUCUAUGAAUUCGAAAUAAUAGUAGGCCAUCAUGCUUGAUGUUAGUGGUGGUGGUAGAAAUAAUAGAUGCAUUAAUGGUGGUAAUGAUCGUGUCAAGACUCAAAAGUAAUUAGAGUUUAAACUGAUAUGUUUAUUCUUCUCUCAAGGAAGGAUAUAUAUACUACAUACAGUGGGUACAAAUAAGAAAUAUAUACAAAAUCUCCUAAUUCUACUCAAAUUAGAUAAUUACAAUAAAAUACAAAUUCUAUUCCUAAUAGGAACAUUGACUUUGACUCACGCCAACACUCCCCACAAGUUGGUGCAUAGAUAUCGCUAAUGCCCAACUUGUCAAGUGAGUCUUCAAAUUGGUGAUUUGACAUGGCAUGGGUCAACAUAGCUGCAAGCUGCAGCGAAUAAGGCACAAAAGGUAUAAAAAUUAACUUAUGCUCCAGCUUCUCCUUAAUGAAAUGCCAAUCAACUUCUACAUGCAUAGUUCGAUCAUGUUGCACCGGAUUUUUAGCAAUUUCAAAUGCAGACUGACUAUCAAAGUGGAGCUUUGUAGCAGCCAUCCAGUCUAAACCCAAUUUUAGCAAGUAACCACAUUAACCACAGUAUUUCACAAACCCCUUGGACAAUCCCUCAGUACUCAGACUUUGUAGAAGACCAAGACACAACAUUUUGCUUCUUAAUAGCUAGGCCACAUAACUAGGUUACUGCCAACAAAGGUGAAGUAACAUGAUGUAGAACGUCUAUCUGUAAUAUUCUCUGCAUAAUUUGCGUCAGUGUAACCUUCUAGAUCCAAGUGGCCAUUUUUCUUAAAUAAUAAACCUCUCCGAGAUGCAGACUUUAAGUAACUCAGAAUACGCAUCACAAUACCCGUAUGAUCAGGGUGUGUCAAUGAUAAAUAGAUCAAUCUCCCAACCAAUCUUUGUUGUCUUUCUUUAUUAGCUGGGACCUCAACAAUAGGUGUAUUAGCUGGUUUAUAGUCAAGCAUUCCAGUAUCUACUAGCAGGUCCAUGACAUACUUUCUUUGUGAAAGAAAUAAGCUAUGUUUAGAUCGAGUGACUUCCACUCCUACAAAAUAUUUCAGACUAGCAAAAUCUUUAGAAGCUAAACGCUUCUGUAGUUCCUCAAUUUCUAUAGUACCAUCACUAGUCAAAAUCAUAUCAUCAACAUAGAUAAUCAUCAAAGUCACCUUAUUGGCCCCAUGUUUAAUGAAUAGAAUAGGAUUAGUAUUGGACUGUUGGUAACCAAAUUUCUUCAUAGCUGCAGUAAAUCUGCCAAACCAUGCCCGAGGAGACUGCUUUAACCCAUACAACGUCUUUUUAAUCUGCACACGUUCAUCGUGUCACCAGUAUCGCUAUAUCAUGGUGGAAGACUCAUAUACACUUCUUCUUCUAAUUCACCAUGUAAGAAUGUAAUUUUUUUUUACAUCAAAUUGUCUCAAGGUCCAAUAUAAGUUUACUGUUAAGGACAUCAAAACUCUGACAGUAUUAAUCUUAGCCACGGGUGCAAAAAUAUCAUGAUAAUCAACUUCUUACGUCUGAGUGAACCCUUUAGCUACUAAUCUUGCCUUGUACCUCUCGACAGUACCAUAUGCAUUACAUUUAACUAUAAACACCCAUCUGCAUUCUACAGGCUCCUUUUGGUUGAUCAACAAUGUCCCAUGUAUUAUUUUUCUGCAACGCCUUCAUUUCAAUAUUCAUGGGUUCAACCCACUUUAGAUCCUUAAAUGUCUCCUCAACACGAGUUGGAAUUUUAAUACUAUCCAUUAUGGUAAAAAAUGCUUUGCACUCAGGAGAUAACCUGGGAUCAUACACAUAAUGGGCAAUAACAUAUCUUACUUUGCCUUCUGGUGAGUAACGAUUAGGUGGAACCUCACGGUUCCCUCUAAGCGGUAGAACAUAGGAAUUAUCAGCAGUAUGAAUAAGGAGCAUAAAUUAAGUCUGAAUCAUUUGAUAGAAACUCUGAAAGAUGUCGACCACAUCACUUUUAGUUUUCAUCUCAUAUAACCACAUUAUACGAGUGUAAUCAUCCACAUAUAACACAAACUAGUGAACUCCCAAGGCUGUAGAAAUAGGGGAAGGUCCUCAAACAUCAGAAUGAACCAUAUCAAAAUGGCAUAAGUCGUUUAUUACAACUUGGAGGGUAGGAUACCGGAUGACUCUUAGCUAAAAUACAAGUCUGAUAUUGGAAAGCAGACUCGUUGACACCACUAAAUAAUGUAGGGAAUAAGUGUUGUAAAUAUCCAAAGGAGGCAUGACCAAAUGGGCAAUGUAGCAACCAAAUCCGGUGAUGCUGAGAAGUUUCGGUGCUACCAGCAUGAAGAACUCGACUAGUUGCCACGUCAUCCACAUAUAAAGCCCCCCUUUUUUAGUACCAAGACCAAAGAUCUCCCGAGUCUGGAGAUUCUGUAGUAAUACGAAAGACGGAUACAUUAGUACAACAUAGUUUAGCUACUCAGUAACUUGCGGCACAGAUAAUAAAUUACUAGACAAAGAUGGAACCAAUAACACUUUAUCUAAUGGUAAAGCAGGUGUCAAGAGUACAGAACCAGCUCUCGUGACAGGAGUAGCAUCAUUAUUAGCAGUCAGAACAUGAUCACGAUGAGACGGAAGUAGAUGUGUCAAACAAGACGCGCUGACCUAACACGACCCGAGCCCAUCCCUUUUAAAUAAGACACGGCAUGACACGAGCACAAAUAUUAGUGGGUCGUGCUUGGCAUAACAUGAAAGCUUGGCCCGGGCCAGGAUCAAAAGAUGAGGUCCAAUAAAUCAGGGCGGCCCAUGGACCGACAUGGGCCGGGCUUGGGCCAAGCCCGCUUCAAGCACGGCCCGAGCCUAGCCCACUUAACCUUUUUUUUGGUCUCAAAAGUCAAAAUCCACUUAAGUGACUUAACAAUUACGUGAUCUAGCAUUUAUUGCAUUUGUUUCACUACCAAGUUUUGGAACGGCAAUUAAAAACUUGAGUAAUUAAAAUAAAAAAUAAAUAAAUAAAAAAGUGAUGCAAUGACCAAUGACGUACCUAUCUUGUCGUACACCCUAGCCUUAAGUGACUUAAGAAACAGACUUAGAGUUGGAGAGUUGGACUCAAACUCAAAGCUUCGAAUAAAGCCUAGACUGAAUAAUUUGAAAUAGUGAGUCGUGCAAAUGAAAGAAUUUGAAUAAAUACGUACACUGAUGCAUAAGUGUGGAAGAGUCGUAGGACUGUGCCAAUAUUAAAUGUUCAUUUCCCAUCUAUUUUUCUUAUUAUUUGUGAUUGUAUUUGAUUUGUUAUAAUUUCUUUUACGUUUCAAUUCGUUUUCCCUAUAUUAUACAAUGGAUCAUCCAAUUCAUUUAAAUCAAAAUGUUAAAAUCAUCAACAUGAUUGGACUCGAUUUUAGCCUUAGCUUUAUCAAAUUGGAUUGUAAAAUCUAAAACUUAAACUACAUUGGAUCAUAUGUCAAAUUUUGAAAAUGUUGGGCUAGUUCUUGGGCCCGAAUACUGCCCGAGCACGAGCACGGGCACAAUCUUAGUCCGGCCUGUUUCAAUGUGGACUUGGACUUUGGGCCGGGUUGGGAUUAAUGGUUUUAUUAAAUGGAUCAGCAUGGCCGACCCAAUAAAUUAAAUGGGCUGGUCCAGCUUUGCACGAAUAGGUUAAAGUCAUGAGUUUAAAUAGGGCAACCCAGCCCGGCCCGUUUGACACCUUUAGGUGGAAGAGUAGUAGAGAAAAGCAGAAUUAUACGUCAUAUGGUCAGUAGCUCCAGAAUAAGUAAUCCAACUUGUAUUGCGUGUAUCAUGAGAAUGGAAAGCCCUGGCAAAGUUACCUGGAGGUGGCAUAGGUGCAAGAGGUGUUAGAGUGCUUGAGACUGCUAUCACGGCUGAAGUAGGAGUAGCGGUAAGGUGGUCGUGCCUAGUGGUAACGUCAACCACAGAAGUGGUGGCAGCAAGCACAUGAGCUUUGCCGUUUACGCCAUAAUCAAUUGAGCAUGCCUAGCCUUAGAGGACCAACACGUAGACAGGACCCAUGGCCUACCAAAGGUAGAAGCACUUCUUAGAGAACUUAGGCACCAAUGACCUCAUAUUCUUAGCUACCAGAAACACCCUCUACAAUUUGCACAAAGUCCCAUAUCGAAACUUUGGACAAACUCCCACUUUCACUUUCCUAUAAAAGAGGAAUAGUGCCUAGGUGAAAGGGGUAACUGCUUUUUACCUAUACUGUUACAUUGCCAAAAUUACUACACAUCCCACAUUCGCUGACUUAGCAUCGGAGAGCCUCCGAUAGGUACCACACCAGUGUCUGAAGCUUGACGAUUGCUUCUUCAUCAUUAUCUUCUACAAGGUCCCUUCAUCCCAAAGAUUCGUACUCCUCCUGCCAUGCUGAGGAUCCAACACUUCUCCAUCUAAGUUGACUCUCCGAAAAUGAGUAUCAACAAUUGCAAUAGAUGCAAUUGCAAUAGAGGAUGAUAUAUGAUGAACCCUCUGUUGCACUUGUAAUAGACAGUUUCAGCUUUUCUCCAUUUGGGAAAGCACUUAACAAGAUGUAGUUGCAAUAGAGAUUUGGUUUGAACUGGUUUCGGUUCGGUUUCCAGUUUUUUCGGUUUUGGAUUGGAUUAUUAUUAUUAUUUCAAAAUUUUAUUUUAAAAUACAAAUUUAGACUAAAAUUUUAUUUUUUGGGCUUGAAAAUUUAUAAAUGAUCAAAUUUCAUGCAAAGAGAGAUAUUAGGCCUAAUGUUGAGGCCCAAAAAAUCCAAGGAGCUAAGCCUAGAUUAAUUCUUGGCCCAACUCGGAUAAUUGAAAGCAAAAGAAGCUCAAUUGGGACAAAAGGAGAAUUUGUAGGGUACGCCAAUACAAGCUACGGGCCAUGUAGCAUGUCAAGUAAGCACGCGUAAAAGGGCCAAGAGCAUGCCAACCCUACAUAAAUUCGCUCAUAUAUCCGUUCGGUAUUACUUGGCUCGAUUAUAGCCUAUUACGGCAUAAUAAAACUCAAGCACAAGCGUAGGUGUCAUGCAAGAAGAGCUAUUAUUCUAACACCGAACUAUGCCACAAGCUUAAGUGGGCCCAAGCCACAAAAUUACUCGGGGCUUGCUGAAAAUAUUGUGGUGUGGAUGGGUACAAGCAUUCACUAGGCCCAGUUAAAGGAUCAAGGAAUGAGAAUUUUGGGUUACUUGGGAGCACCAAAAUUUGAGCCCAUUUCUUGGCUCCAAAACAUGGGCUAGCAUGAGAGAGAGAACAUGACCUAAUGUCUUAGGAGAAUACAGUAGUUUGCUUAGAAAACCCAAUGUUAAUUAGAAUGCCCAAACACUUUGUUAAAAAUGCAACAGGCAAACUGCUUCCAGCAGCUUGAAGAAAGCAAGCUGACCAGUCGCUGAAAAGUAGAAUAUCAUCAACCCAUGGCCUAGGAAAAAGCCCAGCCUAACACUCUAUAAAAUAUCUAGCAGACAUGUUCAGCCUUUGCCUAAAGGAGUCAAUGGAAGCCAACACAAAAACCAGAGGAAAUCCAUGAGAGCAAGAGGUUUACCCGUUGGGUAAACAACAUGGCCACUCCCACCUUUUCCUCUGUUAGCUCCCAUAAGAAAAUCAAGAAGAAAGUCAGUGGCGCUUCAUCCCUAUGGAGAAAGGCCAGCCAUGUCAAAACCUUGGAACCACAAAGAACUCCUUACCUAUGCACCUUGGAUGAGAAAAUGUCACCAAAGAAGAUAAAGUGGAAAGAGGUAAUGAAAAAGGAAGGAAAAGGUUAGAUGAAAUUAGGGUUUUUUGUGGCUAUAAAAGAAGGCUUCUGCUACCCAGAUAAUCCAUCAUCCAGGGCCUGACCAAGCUUUGUCAAGUAUCUGGGAAUUUACUCAAGCCAUCCAAUCUUCUUCUUCGUUUGUUUUUCUUCUUCCCUUAAGAUAGAAAUCAUUCUAAUUUUCCUCUAUCUUACUGCAAACUUUCGUUCUCUGUAAGAGACCCAUGCUUCUCUCUCUCUCUCAAAUUGCUAAACUUGUUAAAGCUUAGCUUCCAUGCCACAAGCUUCUUAAGCUAAGCCAGUAAUCGAUUUAUCAUGUUUAUUUGGCUAUUGGUGAAAAGAACCUAAGAGUGUUUUUCUAAAGUUUCAUCAGACUUUUCAAAAACUCUUUUAAGGGCUUGGUUCUUGAACUCAGGCAUUUGGGGAAUUUUUGUUCGUUUUCUUCUUACGACAGCCCAAUCCCAUUCGUCAGGCUGCUAGGAACAAAGGACCCCUACAUAAAUUGGUGACUCUACUGGGGACCAAGCUGCCAUUUUCACUAAUGCCUCCAAGAAAGAAGACUAAGAGCAAUACUAUGGCUUCCCAAGAUGGGCCCGACCAUGGUGAUUCUGAAUCAAGGCAAAAUGCCUCAUCUAGGGAGCAAGAACGUGCAAGUGAGGGAGCUUUUACCCUCACAGAUCUCAUUACGGCUAUUCAGGCUAUGGGGGAAACUCAGAGGGAGAUGAUGGACACCAUCAAAGAAUUGAAAAGUUCUGUCUCUAAGCCACCCCUAGAUAUAACUAUUGAUUUGAAGUUAUUGAAUUAUACUAUUGCAAGUAAAACUGUAGUUCAAUUUAAUAGAUGCCAAAAUAGUUCAAUAAAUUAAACUAUUGUGUUGAACUAUUGAACAACUAUUGUGGAUGCUUAGGAGCUUGGGAAUGUGUUUCAAAUUGCAUUCCCAUGUUUGGUAAGUGCACUCUUGGGAAUGCAAUUAUGGACUCAUAGAUAAGGACUUCCUAUGUAGGGGCGAAGUUCAUGCCGUCGACUCACCGUAGGAAACUUUUUACCCCCACUUGGGAAAGCAUUUAAUUCUGAUUUUUUGGACUAACUUACCAAUGUUAUUAUUUUUAAAUACCACUUUUUACACCCUUAAAAAACUCUUCAUAUAUUUACCUUUAAUAAUUAAAAAAUCAAGGGUAUUGUUGGAAACUUAAUAACUUUUCAUUCUUAAUACUAUACUAAUUGAACAUGAGAAUGAGAAAUAGUUGCAUUUCCUAGUCCUCAUUUCCCAUCGUUUCCAAAAGUGAGAAUGAACAUCGUCCAUUCCCAUCUCGUGAGAUUAGAUAUUUGAAAUUUAUUCCUAAGAAGUUCAAUGGUGAACCAAACGGGCCCUAAGGUGACUGCGUCUUUUGAAUUUUUCUUUUGUUUGCCUUCGGCUUGUUCAUAUUCAUUCACAAAAUAAUAUCAUUUUUUCACCAUUAAACUUAGAUGGGCGAGCCCAACACGGUAUGUUUAUUAAACGGACUGACUCUAAACAGACUGGACUGGCCCAACACGGCCCAUUUGACACCUCGAAUUAAACACUUAUAGAAACUCAUGAUCUACUUUUGUUACAAUUUCUAUUAAUUUGAUCACGCACACAUGACAUAGCUUUCUUUUGAGAGAGUUUUUUUGUUCAUUCCUCCACUAAACUCAAACCCUAUUUGCAAUUCCCUCUCUUCAUCUCUCUCAUCCUCUCGUUUUCUCUGGUCACAAUGCUUAGCUAUUUCAAACAAAGACAAGAUAGACGAUAGGGGCGCAUUGGAACUUUUAAAGAGUUUUGGAAGAAUUUUCAUACAAACCAAACCGAAAGUUGAUCAUGAGGAGGACUGUUAACUUUUUCUUUUCCUUUUUUCCAAUAAAAGAAAUCUGUGUUCCAAUAAAACAAAUCUGUGUGGGGUUGUGGUUCGAAGCUAUGACGCUUUCCACUGACGAAGGGCUGACGACUAGUCAGAUAAAUGCUGUUGUGGAUCGGUGCCACAAUUAUUUUUAAAUGAUAAAAAAAUAUGUGUUAAAUGGCUUUUUCAGGUAAUAGGUCAAAGGUAUGGGUUUAAUGUAAUUGCAUUGCAAAAGGGAAUUCUUUACAAUUCAUUAAAUUUCGUCAAUUAUUUCAAUUAAUUCAUUUAUUUCACAAAACUUGCAAGUAUGGGGCUGAGAUUGGUGUUCAUGAUUCAUUCAAUUAUUUCACAACAUUUGUGACUAGCUUUUUCCAAUUAGCCAAACUGAAUUUCUUUUUGUUAACUUGUAACAAAAAACAAUAAAACUUUAUUAACUACAAAUUUAUCGUGUAUAAGAAAUUGUUUUGUUUGUCCCUGAAUAAUAAUAAUAAAAAAGAAUAAUUAAUUUUCAUUUCAUGGUAAUCUAGAAUUCUCUUUAUGUCUUUUGAUUUCCCAAAUAAUUUAUGUAGCUUUCACUUUCGGAAAAACAAAAUAUAACAAUUUUUAUAUACUUAUGACAAAUUAAGAUUUUUGUGGCCUUCCAAAAAACUUAAGUACAUUUCUUAAAAAUAAAAAUAAAAGUAAAGAAAAUCAAAUUCUUAUCUUUGUAGGAUUGUGGGUUUAUUUUUAUUUUUAAUUAAAGAGAAACUUCAUUAGAUAAAAUUCAACAAUACAACUAAUGACACCAAAAUGACAUCAAAAGCAUCAAUCCUUUGAGGGAAGCUGUAUUGUUUUGAAGAAAUAUAUAUAUAUAUAUUUUAAUGUUUUAAGUAAGAAGAAAUAUAUAUAUUUAUUUUUUUAAUGUUAUAAAUAAAUACGUUUUCUUAACUAGAAUAAUCCAUGGUAGCCCUAUGAUAGACUAGGCAAGAAAGAAAAUUAAUCUAAUGUUAAUACACAUGAGAGUAGUUUUUCAAAUUCGCAUCAUAACAUAGCCCUAGAGCAAGCCUUUAUUAUUAUUAUUAUUAUUAUUUCUUUUACAAUUGUUGAAGAUAAUAUUAUUUUUAUUUUUAUUUUUAAAUUUAAUACGAUGUCAAUUUUGUAUUCCUUAUCUAUAAGGAUUCUCUUUCGUUAAUUGAAUCCUAAAAAUGUAAAAGUGUGUAAUAUUAAGGUAGUUGGACCUUGAACAAGUAAAAUUAUUCCUUAUUCUUGUAAAAACAAGAAUUUACAAGAUUAAGGACAGAGGGUACCAUAGCGUUGUAAAGAGAAUCAUUAAACUCAUAACUUAUAAGUUUUGGGUAGCAGUUCACAAGGUUUUGCACUUGGAUUACAAUGUUAGGGUUCAUCCAAUCCAUAAUGUUGUAAAUCAUAUGUUUACAAGGAUAUGUAUCCAUAUUACAAGGAAUUGGUAAUGGUGGACUUUGGGGAUGUAAUUUGGGUCCUUAUUCUAGUAAACAAUGGUUUACUAGAUUAAGGACCAAGGGUACCAUAACAUCGUAAAGAGAAUCCCUAAACUCGUAACUUACAAGUUUUUGUUAACAAUUUGUAGGACUUGUUCCUAGAUUACAACAUUAGGAUUCACCCAAUCCAUAAUGUUGUAAAUCACACUUUUACAAGGAAUUGGUAAUGGAGGACCUUAGCGAUGUAAAAUGGGUCAUUAUUCUCGUAAACAAUGGUUUACAAGAUUAAAGACUGAGGGUACCAUAACGUCGUAAAGAGAAUCCCUAAACUCGUAACUUACAAAUUUUUGGUAACAAUUUACAAGGUUUUACUCCUCAAUUAUAACGUUAGGAUUCACCCAAUCCAUAAUGUUGUAAAUCAUAUGUUUACUAGGAUAAGGAUCCACAUUACAAGGAAUUGGUAAUGGUGAACCAUAGCGAUGUAAAAUGGGUCAUUAUUCUAGUAAACAAUGCUUUACAAGAUUAAGGACUGAGGGCACCUUAACAUCGUAAAGAAAAUCCCUAAACUCGUAACUUACAAGUUUUUAGUAACAAUUUAUAAGGUUUUUCUCAUGGAUUACAACUUAGGGUUCACCCAAUCCAUAAUAUUGUAAAUCAUAUGUUUACUAGGAUGUGGAUCCACAUUACAAGGAUUGGUAAUGGUGGACCUUAGCAAUGUAAAAUGGGUCCUUAUUCUAGCAAACAAUUUUGUUAAAAGUUUAAGGACCGAGGGUACCAUAGCAUCGUAAAAGAGUGUUCCUUAUUGUUGUAAAAAUAAGAAUUUAUAACAUUAAGGACUCAUUUGACAGUAUUUGGGACAUGAGAGUUCCAUAAUAUUAUAAAGUUGAUCUCUAAUCUUGUAAAAACAAGGGUUUACAACAUUAAGGACUCAUUUUACAGUGUUUGGGACAUGUGUAUUCCAUAAUAUUGUAAAGUAUAUCCCUGAUCUUGUAGGUUACGAGAUUUGGGUUCCAAUUUAUGAGAGUUCGCAUGGUGAUUACAACAUAAGGUUCACUUUAAUCCAUAAUAUUGUAAUGGCCUAAUUUACAAUGAGAAGGAUCUCAAUUACAAUAAUAAGAUAAUGUUGGACCUUGAAAAAGUAAUAUUGUUCCUUAUUCUUGUAAAAACAAGCUUUACAACAUUAAAGACUUAUGUUACACUAUUUUGGAAAUGAAGAUUCCAUAAAAUUGUAAAUUGUAUCCAUAAUCUCAUAGAUUACAAGAUUUUGGUUCAUUUACGAGAUUUCGCAUCUUUAUUAUAAUUUACAACGUUGAGGUUUGCCCAAAUACAUAAUGUUUCAAUAGCCGAAUUUACCUUUCGCAUAGGUCAUUUGGCAAUUUCCAAUUAGGCAUUCGGUUUUCACAAAUUGGACUGACAAUUACGUGGUGCAUGUUCAUCGAUUACAAACUUGACGUGGCUGAGCAAAAGCAAAAUAUGCAACUUGAUGUGAAUCAUGAUGGCAUGCUUAUUAAUUUAGCAAUGGCAUAAUACUUAACAUGUAAAAAUAUAAUGCUUCGUAACUUUAUUAAUUUCGAUCCGUAUUUUCAUUCAAAUACUUGUCAAUAUAGAGCAUGAAUUUUUUUAUUUUUAUUUUUGGUCAUGAUAACAACAAUAUAAAGCAUGGAUUUGUAAAACUUGUGUGUAUGUUAUUGAUUAACACAUUAAUUGCAUUUACAAAUGGAACUACUUUGUUUGUCAAAUGCACGACUGGAAUGCAAAGGGAACUGCUUUGUUUGUCAAUUGUAUUACUGAAAUGCACAUGACACUACCUGUUUGUCAAUUAUAUUGAUAAAUCACAUAUUGUAUUUACAUUCUUAAAAUUGAAAAGGGUGCCAAUAACAUAACAAUAUGCAUAUACUAAGCUCAAAAUACAACUCUAUGGUACAAUUGCAAACUGUAAAUGCAAGUUACGUGCUUAUCUCGAUGUCUAAUUUUUUUUGUUAACAAUAAAGAAGGGAGUAUACUAGUACUCCAAGUGUCACAACCGACACAAGGAAGACCAUAUUUGUAGUUUCCGCUGCAUCCCUUAAUGUGCUCAAUUGACUUGCAUCUCAUAUUUGUCAAAUAUCCAGCACUAUCUUUUGGUACAUUGAUCAAUGAACUGCAAACUUUGUGUUCACCCAUUUUGAAUUUGAUCCUGUGAUAGUAGGGGAAAGUUCUCCAUUGGCUUGAAAAUCAUUUGUGGUCAACAAGUCAACUUUCUUUUAUGUAUGAGCGUGCCACUGCUAACAAUAAAAAUCAUAGCAGACUUCUUGAAAAUAGAUAACUUGUGCCCCAAGUUAUUAACUUCUAGACAAACGAUUGUGAAUUUGGGUGAGGAAUAUCUCCCAAGUAAGUUCUUUUCUUGCCUCAGACUGGUGAGGACUUCACAAUUUUUCACAGUACAAAACUAGUAGUUCUGGCCAGAAUGAAUGAUAAGAAAGUGAACUGUUUUAGACAGAACUUCCUUUUACAAAGCUAAAAAGGGAAAGACUAACUCUGAAAAAGACAAAAGAAACAUUGGACUUUAGUUUCUGCCUGGAUAGCUGCUUUUGAUCCGGACUGGAUUGGAUAUGUCUGUGCUAGAUUGGAACCUCAACACCUUCAACUGUCAUGUUUCAGCUGUAAAUCGAUACCAACGUUCGAGUUUGUUAGAGCUUUAAUCUAUUUCAAGCUCUGGAAGGCUAUUUGAAUGGGCAGAAUUGGAGCCUUUUCAGUCUAAAAGGGGCAGAAGUGGCUGGAUUUGAUGAUUACUGAGCUGGAACUGCACUGUAGUACCUGUUCUGCUUGAUUAGGGCUCUCCAUAAAUUUGUUGAGGUUUUCAUAUUUGUAAAAACCCGGACUCUGCUUGAUUUGGCUUAUGCUGAACCAAAUUUGUAACGAGAGAAAUCUCGCUUUGUAUAACUAUUUCUCUGAACUAAACUGAAAUUAGAGAUUUUGAAUUAUAGCUGACUUGUUUUUUGUGGCUCAAUGAGCUUUGGUUGCUUCAGUGUUUGAAGGCUUUUGAGAUUAAGUGAUCAUUUUGUCAAUUGUGAUCUUGAGAGUUUUUGUUUUGAUGGAUUUUUUGGCUGUCAAGAUUGGAGAAGUCUUCCUGUAAGACCUGCCUUCAUAAAUUCCUCAUCAACUCCCUUGUGAUAGUUGAAAAUUUUGACUUGUCAAAGUUAGGCAAUCACGUGGGGCUCUUUCUAAAAAAAAAAACAUUUUUAAAGGAAAAGAAAAAUUGCUGACUUGCUUUUGAGAUCAAGUGGUGAGAUAUUUCAGAUGUUAAGCUUUUAAUCCAAUCUUUUUUAGAAGUUUGAUUUGCUUGGUGAUGAAUUUACCAAUUUCAUCGAUUCAUUUAUUCUUUGUGCUCUUCUAAACCUCUGCCAAUUUGCAAAAAGACAUGGGCCUCUUAAUGUUGAUUGGGCAGCUUUUCUGGAAUCAAGGCCCAUUCUUUUGUUUUAUGUUUUGUGGGUUUGUUUGUAAAAAUGGGCUGGCGUGUAGAGUUUUGGCCCAAACAUAAGGAAAACUUCGGUGGCUGCCAAAAAUUAACAUGGGCUUUUUGAUUUUGGAUUGGACGUGCCAAAUUAGGUCCAAACACUUUGAGAUGAUUUUAAGCCUCCUACAUAUUCCCAACCAAAAGAAAUUAAGAAAUACUUUAAAUAACAUAUACAUAUAAGAUUAAAACUGACACUAAAUUAUAAAACUGUUUAGCAGCUUCUAUUUGUUUUAGAAAAGGAUGUGACCAGCCAUAUGAUCUAAGAGAGGAUGUGAGUGACAAACUAGAGGAGUAAUGAAGAAGAGCUGAGAAGUUUUUUUUAUAUAUAAUUUUUAAAGAAGAAGAUUUGUGAAGAUAGUAAAGACAUAAAAUGAGUGUCUUUAAGUACUGCUCUAUCAGAUUUUUUUGAAGCAAUGCUGUAUCAUAUUUUCAGACACACAAUUUACACAGAGUUUGCUUAAGCAAGUAGCCUAAAAGAAAAAAAAAAAAAAACUAAACAAAGCUAAAAGAAAAAAAAUAGAGACGGCGAGUGUUAUACUACUUCCAGAUAUGAUAUUCUUUAUCGAAGAGCAGCAUUACCCAAAAUUCUUUGGUGAACAUUGCAUUGCCAUCAAAAAAAUUAAUAUACUACAUCUAUCUAGAACAAGGCAAACUUUGUGGCAGGUAAUUGAAUAUUUUUAUAUUUCAUCCAAUUGCCAUACAACAGCCAGGUAAUUGCAUAUGUGAAAUCUAAUUGCACAAACUUUAAGUGCAAAUGGAUUAACGAGGGAGGGGGAAGAGGGAGAUAACUUGGUCUUGUCUGGUGCAUAAGACUUUACAUUUCAACUUCAUUUAUGAAUAAAUAUGAUCUUUCAUCCACUGUAAGAGGCUUAACUGCCACUAUGCAUAGCCGUAGAAACCAAAAGAGGCAGCUCUUUCAUCAAAAGAAAAUCCGUAUUGAACAUCACAAUGCUAUUUCUAGAAAUAACAGGACUAUAAUCGGUAAGAAUACAACUCAACAAAAUAUGAACCCACCAGUGUAUUGCACACUAGUGAAUAUGAAUUCAGGAUGGAAAAUAUAAUUGAAAAAAGAAUUCAUAAAACAAAAACAAACUCCACUUUCAACUAAAAAUCCAGAAAACAAUUUCAGAAAAUAUGCCCUCAUUUAUAUAGAACUUAAUACUAAUAGAACGAGAAUUGUUACCUAUAGAAUGGUGGAAGAGAAGAUGAGGGAGAGGAUGGAGAGAGAGCACGAGACCGAGCUGGCCAGUGAAGAGAUAGAGCGAGGUAUUGAGAGAAAGAGCCAGCCGCCAAGAGAGAAGAGGAAGAGCAAGUGAACAAUUUCGUACCCAGGUGGUGGCGGGAAACCACCGUUCUUAGCUCAGCAAAACUUGACGUCAGCUGUUCUCGCUCUCUCUCUUCCCUUCCUUUCUUCUGUUCUUGAAUAAUCAAACCUUCAUCUUAACAAGCCCAACUGAAGAAGAGAGAGCAACCAUGGAAAAAAGACUGAUCUUGGCAAGAAGAAGAGAGACACGAGUCGUGCUAAGAAGAAGAAGAGAUAGAAGUCGCAAGAGAGCCUUCUUUCUUUUCAGAUUUCUCUCUUUUUCUUUUAUUUUUACCUGGAGCAACCCAUUUAACCGGUCACUCACUAUCAAUGGUGUAGAUUACCCCACAUCUCACAACAGCUCAUUCAAUGGCCCACAUAAUUGGAGCAUCCAUGCACCUGGCGCAUGGUAGGAUUUUCGUUUCUUACUAUAGGAUAGGACAUCCAUGUCCUACAUAAUCAAUUACACAAAACAAAUCAAACAGAUCAUAAGGCCUUCUCCAACCCAUUUGGGGCUAAACCCAAAUUUCCCCCCUCCAAAAAGUAACUAUUUGGAUUUUGCCUGGACUCAAAUCGUUUUUUCUCCCAACGCUCUAGACUCAAAUUUUAAGUCCGCAACUUUAUUAAAUUGUUCAAGAAUGAUUUAAGUCUAAUUUUUUUAUUAUUUUUUUUAUGAAAAACUUUUCUUUAUUUAAUCUUUUUAAAUAACUUCAUAAUUUAAUUUUUUUGAAAAAUUUGACCUAAAAAAAUUGAAAUUCCACAAAUAUAAUUUUAUUCCAAAAGAAAACACACAGCAUAAAAAAACACAAGAUAAUUGGAAAACAAAAGAAGGAUUGAAACAAUUGUCCACCUCAUUCACCAUCUCCAAAGCUCCUCCAAAGGUGAUCGAUCAAAUCAUGUCGGAGACUUUGAUGCACAUGUGGAGAUCAAACUCUAUUAUGACGAAUCAUGUAAUCAGAGAGAGUAUGCCUAUCUUGGUAGUACUCGUAUGUAAUGCUUGGCUCCAGCUCAUAUUGUCUUGUUUUGGCCCUCCUGGAUUGUUGACACGCAUCCUCAUCAUCAGAUUCCUCUUCAAUAUAUUCGUACUCAUCCUCCACAAUCAUGUUAUGCAAAAUUAUACACGUCAUCAUGAUUGAGUGGAGGUUAUCCUUGCACCACAUAUGUGCAGGGCCCCGAACAAUAGCCCAUUGAGCUUGUAGUAUUCUAAAUGCUCUUUUAACAUCCUUCCUGUACGCUUCUUGCAUUUGUGCAAAAAACCUCUUCUUUGGGUUAUCAAGAGAAGAGAUGGUCUUUAGCAAAGUAGCCUAACGGGGGUAGAUCCCAUCUGCGAAAUAGUAGUUGUGGAAGAAAAAUAUCUCACCCUAGGUCAAAUAAUUAGGCCAAUCAAUUUGGAAAUUAUUUGACCUAAUUAGGAGUUACCUAACCUAAUUGGGAGUUACCUAAAUUAAUUGGGAGGUUAUUUGAUUUAAAUGAGAUGUAUUUGAUUCUUGCCUUAAUUAGAUAUUUGAUUUAAAUCAAAUCUCUAAUUACACCAACCUCGCCAAAUCAGGGAAGAAUAAUUCCUUCCCAUUUAUGGAAUUAUUCUUCUGAAACCCUAGCCUCUAAGCCACCUAUAAAUAAAUGGCUAUGCACAAGGGUUUGAGGUACGUCUGAAUUCCUACUGAAACUCUGCAGAAAUUAUCCCUCACAAACCCUAGCCGCCAUACUCUUUCUCUCUGUCACACAAAGCUCCGGUCACCCGGUUUUCCUAUAAACACCUAACCUAACUUAGGCAUCGGAGGACGUUUGACCAACACCUCCCGGGUGUAGUUCUUUUACUCCAAUUUGUUUUGCAGGGAGAAAGAGAAGUGAAGAAGACGAAGGAAUCUUAGGUGAAUAUUCUUGUGGGAUGAAAAUCGCUCCCCCAAUAGCCUUAAUGGUAUUGUUUCCGUUGACAAUAUAUUCAACAUGAUGAGCCACUCCAUGUACCACAUCAUCGAACAAUGGAGAACGAGCUAAAAUGUUGACAUCAUUGUUGGAUCCGGUGUCUCCAAAAAAAGGUAUGCCAUAUCCAUGUGUCGUAUGAGGCCACGCCCUCUAGCAUAACAGUGGGGGGUUUUUUUUUUUGGUGACCGGUAAACUAGCUUGCCCAAGUAGAUGGGAAAUUCUUCCAUUCCAAAUACAUCCAGUCAAGACUUUUUCUAACAUGCCUGGGAAGCCUCGAUGGCUUGCCUUGUGCAAUAGCCUGUAAAGGUCAGUUGGAUUUAGAGACAUAAGGUACCAUUGUCCAUACACGGCUUCAACAGCACAACAAAACUUACAGAGUGAUUCAAGAGCUGUACUUUCACCCAAUCUACAAUACUCGUCUGUUGCAUUAGUCGAGCAUCCCCAUGCGAGCAUAUGAAAGACAACGGUUAACUUUUGCUUAGGGGAUACCCUUGUCGACCAAGCCCGUCUUUUUUUUUUUUUUGGCAAAAGUAUGGCUCGUGGUUGACAACAUCAUUCAAGAUGCGGUAAAACAACUCUUUCCGCAUUUGGAACUGCCUACGAAAGUUCAUAGUAUUAAAAUAUGGCAUUUCAACGAAGUAGUUGGACAUGAGAUUGCGAUGGCGAUCUUCCCUCUCACGGUUCUUGUACUCACGACCGACUAUCGACCCACCAUGUUUGGUGGCUUCAUUCUCUAGUGAAGUAUGGUGGAGAAUGUCUUGUCUCACUCUCUGAUGUUCUUCCUCAUCAUCUGAAUCAUCAUCAAACAUAAAGGAAAAGAUGGCCUUGCCGCGGUUAUCCAUUGAAAGCUUGAAAUGAUAUGAAAAGUAUGAGAAUGAAGAAGAUGAUAUACUUGAAAUAAUAUGAAAAGUAUGAGAAUGAAAGGAGAUAGAUGAAAUUGACGAAGGAAAAAUAAAUUGAGAAAUAGAAAAAAUAAUUUUGGUAGAUUAAUUGAGAAAUGAGUGAGUAUUUAUAGAGUUUGGAGUGAGUUUUGGAGUUGGAUCUAAUUUAGAUUAAUUUAAAAUAUUAUUUUGAUCGUUGGAUUUAAAUUUCAGCUGUUGGAUCUUUUUUUUACCAUUAAAAUAGCUUAGAUUUAAUCUAGAUCGUUGAUUUAAGUUACUAUUAGAAUUUAAAAAAAUAAAAUUUAAAUUGUUGCCGUUGGAUUGGAACGGAAACAUAAUCUAGAUGCGACACGUGGCAAACUGCUGCGUCAGGGAGCAGAAAAGUGCAGGGCGCGGGCCCCAAUCUAAUUUCUUGCAUAAGGACUUUGCUAGUUGUAGGUGGGCUCCACUGAAUUUUUUUGGGUCCAGGCAAUACUUGGACUGCUAUUUGGCCCCAAGUUUAGGUUUUCCCAAAUUUUGGCCCCUUCAUGUUCUUGGGUCUGGAGAGGUUUUGGACUAUAUUUUGGGUUUGGCCUCAUGGGUUGGAGAUGGCCUUACACUACUAGAAAACCAUAGUAUAUGCGAUGAUUGGUGAUGAAUUUAUUGUAUCAGGUAAUUUUACAUGUGGAUCAAUCAGUGAUGACAUUAGCAUGAGUAUUUGAACAUCCUAAUCACUCAUAGCGGGAGGAACCAAGUCUUUAUGGCUCGUUUGCUACACCGUAUUCGACUCUGGUUGGAGUAAAUAGUCCAUGUCAGGUGUUUGGUGUCAACUUGUAUUAUUUAAUUACCUGACUAUUUUAAACGGGUUGGGCUUUUAAUACUCUCCUUACCCGACUAAUUAAUACAAUCCACACACCCCGGUUUAGAUAAUACAUGCUUAAUUAUACAGCCAAAAAAAAAGAACACACACGUUCACAUGAAAAAUCCGACGACGUUAUGUUCAUCUUCUUCUCCCUAUGGGUUCUUCUCUGCUAUCUUCUCCAAGGUUACAUAUUGAUUGGCUCGCUUAAUUCUCUCAGAUUUUGUCUAACUCUAUUUUUGUUUUUGUAAAUGUCAAACUAUAUUUGUAUUGGUCGUUUAUUAUUAAUAUCCUAUUGCUGUUGGUUUAAAAAAAGAAAAUUUUUUUUGAUACAAUCAACACCUUCGUACAUGCAUAACAUGUAUAAUUACACCAAUAAUUCAUGUGGAGAAAUUCAUUUGACAACAAAAAAAUAUAUUUAAAACUCAUUUGACAAAUGAAGACUUGUUCUAAAGUUAGUGGAGACCAAGCCCACAUAUUGGAAAGAAGCAUCAUGAUGCCUCCCUUUUAUUUGCCUAUAAAUAGGUAUCCUUACUACUUGCAAACACACACACAAAACCAAUGAAGAAGAGAACCUAGGAAGAAAGAAGAGAAGGAAGAAAGAGGGGGAGUGAGAGGAGAGAAAAAGAGAGCAGAGAGAAAUUCUCCAAGAGAGAAAAUGAGUCACAUAUAUUGUAAACACUGAAGUUGUAGCCCUAUUAUUUUACAUAGUGGAAAAGUUACUGCUGCUGCUCUCUGAGGAUGUAGGCAUGGCCGAACUUUGUUAAAUAUUGUGCUUUAUUUACUUUAUGUGCAGCUUAAUAUUCUUACAUAUUCCAGUUCAUUUUACAACAUAUUGUCAGCAUGAGAAGCUCUUAGGUAUAAUUUGAGAGAUUUGAUGUGGUUAUUUGAACCUAUAAGGCACACGGUUCCAAACCGUCAUUUUGAAAAGACAUGAAAACCACUAGUGCAAGGUUAAGAAUUUACCCAAUUAUUAUAACAGGAAGGGGGCAUACAACAGAAAGAUUCUUUUCACCUGCAAGGAAGGAGCAGGCUCUGUAAAAUCUAUAAAAUUUCAUUAUAUUCUGGAAGCCUCUGAAGAAAGAGGAUGGCACCUCUUAAGCUUAGCCAUGAGCCUCUCGUGGUCUCCCAAAAUCUUUUCAUUGGAAAUCUGCAGCAUGUCAAGCCUUGUUUGUGUAUCAAUGGAGUAUGAACUCACCAGUUUCAAUAAGGCCUUAUUUUCUUCUUUAAGUUUCUCAACCUCUUGUUGAGACGCAUGAAGCAUUCUUUGAAGAGAUGAAUUUUCAGUGUUCAGUUUCUGAAUCUCGUUUACUCUGGCAUGCAAAUGAUCAGCCAUGUUAAAAACAGAAGCAACACUAUGGAUACUAAAAUCUAUUAAGUCAUCAAUAGCCUCUUCGUCAGACCUUUCUGUUAACAGUGUUUCAUCUAUAGGAGUAAAGAAAUUCCUAGCUACUAUGAUAGCAGUCGUAUCAUUCAUCAUCACAUAAUCAUUAACCGUGAGAUGACGAUUUUGGGAUAUAAAGGAUGGACGCCAGACUUUGGCAUCACGGGUUGUUUGGGGAGCAACAUUUAAAUCAAAAUGCUUUGGGUGAGAAGAAGAGGAAGCCAUUUUACGAAGGUUUCGAGGAAAGUCUUAGAAAAGCUGAAUUUUCAGAAAAUGGAAGGAAGUUGAGUUGAAACGCAGUUACUCCAAUUAGGCUUUACAAAGGCAAUAUCUAUAGAUGGAAAUGUGGCAAUGUAUCCAGGAUCCCAAUAUUUUCUCGGAUCCCCAUAUUCUCUUUUUAUCUUCCAGAUUCCAAAACUUCACGUGGCUUUCAUUAAUGUAUGUCGGCACUUUAAGGGUUUCAAGGAUUAUUUUGGUCAAAGCCGAUCUUGGUUUGCAGAUUUCACGGAGUUACUUUUUCAAAAGUAUCUCGAGAACCUCACAAUUUUCUGUAGUUAAUUUGAGAUUCACUGGAUCAAACGGCUCCUCUAAUUUGUGUAUAAAUAUGUUACUAAAGAAAUUUUCUUUACAUAAUACAUCCAGUUUUCUCCAUAUCUAGUGGUGCAAUAUCCACUUGUUUUUCCUAUCAGUGAGUUCUCGACGUACUUGAGAAGCGAGACUAUCUCUGAUCAUCCAUUCAGGAAGCAAGAUUAUCCCUGAUCACUUUUCAGCGAGAUCAGGAAAUUGUAAGGACGACCACAUGCUCUAAUCUCUUGAAGUUCUUCUAUGCUAGGAGAAAUGAGAGUUUGUUGUCUGUUACCUCACUAGUUUCCUUCCUUGAUUUCUUGCCUACCUUGCAAUCAAUAUCACAAUUCUUUGUAUCUUUUCUUUCUUUUUAUAACUCUCUGUUCAUAAGGGAUUUUGUCUCUUUAGAACGAAGAUCUGAAGAACAAAUCCAUGUAGUGAACCUAACAUUAAGGGUUAUUUUUUUUGACAGAGACAUAAGAAUUGUGAUUUUUGCUCAUGCAGGAUAUAACUAGAUCAUCAGGCAUUACACUGUAUUUGCUGAGCCGAUACGAGCUUCAAUGAUAUUUGAGCAAAGUUUCUCUCACCUAAGGAUGUAAGCAAUACUUGUAUUAUUUCACGCGUGUACUCUUAUUUUGAUAUUUUGUACGACAUCCUUAAAGGUAACCAAAUGGGGAGAUAAGGCCAUUCCAAAAGAACAUCCCAUUCCAGAAGAAUGACUUGCAUUAUAGAUCGUUCUAGAAGAACGACUUGUAUUAUGAACAUUCCAGAAGAAUGUCUUGUAUCAUUCUGAUAUGUAUUCAUGAAUUAUUAAUGCAAAUUUCACAGAUUGCAAGUUGGAUACAUUGAUAAUACACUGCAUAGAUUAAAGUCCCAUAAGAACAGAAUAUGGGUAUAGCAGUGAUCAAUAUGAUGCAACCCUGUUGCGUAGCAAAUGAUAUGGAUUGAAGCCCUGGAGGGACAUUCCAUUAACAUGUCAAUAUUAAUACGGUGCACGCCUAAUGCAUAGCAAAUUAUAUGGUUUAAAGUCCUAGAAGGACAAUUAAUUGACAUGUAUGUAUUAAUCUGUGCAUGCCUGCAGCAUGACAGAUAUAUGGGUUCUAAAUGUUCCAACUCUCUACUAUAAAAUAAAGCUCCAUUGGAGGUUAAGAUCCACAUUCUCACAUAAUUCAUCUGAUAAGAGAUGUCUGUUUGGAAAGAGACAAUAAAGCCCCCUUGAGUGGCUUACGAAGCAAAAGCAAAGAAAUGCUAUAAUUAAUGCAUGCACAUGCACAUGCACAUGAGAAUAAUGGGAUCAUGAAAUGAUGAAUGACAAUUUUUGAUUUUGGAGUAGCUACUCAAAUCAUCAAUGAGUUGUGUUGAUUGGAACCACGUUCUAUUAUUAAAUGUAGACAAUAUCAUUGGCUAAAAAUGGAAAGAGGCAAUUCCAUUACGGAUGAGAAUGAACGUGAAAGAACAAAGAACCCCAAAAGAUGUUAACCCUGAAGGUUAUACAUGGGUUUUUGGAAUAAAGAGGAAUAUACUCACUUUAUAUGACACAAAUUCUGGUAGAAACAAUGAAUGUUGAGGUUCUCCAUAUUUACAGAUACAAUUGUGCCUUCUUGUUGUACAUUUACGAAGACCAACAUGUUAUCUUCAAGGGUUAUUAAAUGCACGAAGCAUAUCGCCAGAAGCGAUUCCCUAAAGGUGUACAAGCAGGACAAAUAGCUCGAUAUAAAGCUAUAUAAUGUGUCAUAAAGUGUAAUCCCUUAAAUAAAAUCCCUGAAGGAUUGUAAUUGCAUGAAGCAAGUCUUUGAAGGACAUGUGCUUGAAGCACAAAUUUUGUACUCAAUAUUAAUAUGUAUAAAUUGCCUCAGUGAGUGCAUUAAUUAUAAUAUGGUUGCAUUACAUUACAACUCCUGAAGAGUUGAUAAUUAAUUAAAACUCCUGAAGAGUUGGUAAUUAAUUAAAACUCCUGAAGAGUUCAAGAAAUAUUUGUCUCGGCCUGAAAAUCAAGCAUUAUACCAACAAGAUUCUCGCUUAUACUAAGAAAGUAUUGAAGCAUUUUUAUGUGGACUAAAUGUUAGGCACUUAAAUGAUUUUUAGGAAAUAUUCUAGACCAAACAUUGUAUUUUCCAGAUAGAGCUCAGCUCCAUCACCACCACUUUGGAAUGAUGUAACACAUAUUUGAUGUCAUCUCCGCAUAAAAUAAUAUACGAGCAUAUUCUGGAAAUUCUCUAUCAUUUACAUAGAGAUAGCUCACUGGAAGUAUAUUUACUUACUCAUCUAAGUAAUUUUUGAUGGUAGCAUCCUCCACUCACUCCGAAAGAUUUUUCCUCCAGAAAGUUAGUCAUGAAGAUUUUAGGGGGAGAUAUUCAUCAUGGGGAGCAUCCAUAAGUAUGCUACACUAAUUUCUGUACUAUUAUUCUUUCAACCAGUUUCCUACUUCACUAGGCUUUCUCCUAGCAAGGCUUAAUUAAGCAACCAACAUGUUACUAGUGGUCUCCAAGGGGGAGUGUUGUAAAAUUAGUGAAGACUAAGCCCACAUGUUGGAAAGAAGCAUCAUGAUGCCUCCCUUUUCUUUGCCUAUAAAUAGGCAUCCUUACUACUUGCAAAGACACACAGAACACCAACGGAGAAGAGAACUCAGGAAGAAAGAAGAGAAGGAAGAAAGAAGGGAAGUGAGAGGGGAGAAAAAGAGAGCAGAGAGAAAUUCUCUAAGAGAGAAAAAUCAAUGAGUCAAAGAUAUUGUAAACACUAAAGUUGUAGCCCUAUUAUUUUACGUAGUGGAAAAGUUACUGCUGCUGCUCUCCAAGGACGUAGACAUGGUCGAACCUCGUUAAAUAUUUUGCCUUAUUUACUUUAUGUGCAACUUAAUAUUCUUGCAUAUUCCAAUUCAUUUUACAACAAGACUAUAUAUUUCGUUUAGUGGAAAAAUUAUUGUACUGUCUAGUUUUGGUCUUAAUCAACUGAGUGCGCCGUACAACACUAUACCUUUUACUAAAGAAUGCUUUUUUGUUUGGUUCUUUAAACAAAAAAAAAAAAAAUUGAUUGAAUUAUAUGUUUCUUGAAACGUAUUUAUCAUGAUGUCAUGUUCAUGUCCUUGUGUCUUGCUCCUUUUUUUCCCCUAUGUUUUUCUAUGAUUUACCAGUCUUUCUCUGUUAGGCAGAGGUGAGGUUUGCCUUUACCUACAGCAAACUAGCUACCUUCGUUGGAGAGCAGAGGUCCCCUUCUUCUUUGUUUUUUUUUUUUUUUUUUUUUUGUCUUUCAAUUAUAUCUGACUCUCAGAAAAUUGGAGGAAAGAGAACUCAAACUGAUUCAGGAAGCAGAUCGUCAAGCUCAUCCAUUUUACAAGAUGAUCAAGAAGGCUUUUCACCAACCUCAUCAAACGCACUGGUACUUGUCCAAAACCCACCAAUUGUCUCCUCCUACAAUGAGAGAAUCCGCCCCAUGCUUGAUGCCAUUGACAAGCUCCGCAACCUCAUGGUUAUGGAGGAAGGCAUACAGCUACCCACCAUUGUUGUUGUGGGAGACCAGUCAUCUGGCAAAUCCAGUGUUCUUGAGUCCCUCGCCGGCAUCAGCCUUCCGCGUGGAUGGGGAAUCUGCACAAGGGUUCCUCUCAUAAUGAGGCUUCAGCACCACUCUGAUCCUGAACCAGAGCUUUCACUGGAGUACAAUGGCAGAGUUGAGCACAUUGAUGAGGACAAUAUUUCUGAGGACAUUGUGAAUGCCACCAAUCUGAUUGCGGGGGACUGUAAGGGAAUUUCAGACACCCCAUUGACCUUGUUGGUGAAGAAGAAUGGUGUGCCUGAUUUAACCAUGGUUGACCUCCCUGGAAUCACUAGGGUUCCAGUUCGUGGACAGCCUCUGAAUAUCGCUGAUCAGAUCAAAGAUAUGAUCAUGAAGUAUAUAAAACCAGAUGAGAGCAUCAUUUUGAAUGUUUUAUCUGCUUCUACUGAUUUUAGCACAUGUGAGUCAAUUAGCAUGUCGCGGAGUGUGGACAAAACUGGUGAGAGGACUCUGGCUGUGGUUACAAAGGUUGAUAUGGCACCAGAGGGGCUGCUGGAGAAGGUUACAGCUGACGAUGUGCAUAUUGGUCUUGGCUAUGUCUGCGUAAGGAACCGGAUUCGAGAUGAAACGUAUGAGGAGGCGAGGACUAUUGAGGAUCGAUUAUUUGAAUCUGAUCCUUUUCUUUCAAAGAUUGAUAAGUCUGUGGUUGGAAUUCAGGUUUUGGCUGACAAGUUGGUCCAAAUUCAAGCUGCUAGCAUAGCUAGAAACUUGCCUGAUAUUGUAAAGAAGAUCAAUGACAAGCUGAAUUCUUACCUUUCAGAGCUCAACAAAAUGCCGAAAAAGCUGUCAUCUGUUGCUGAGGCCAUGACUGCUGUUAUGCAGAUCAUUGGAACAUCCAAAGAAUCACUUAAGAAAAUUCUUGUGAGGGGAGAAUUUGAUGAGUUCUCGGAUGAGAAACACAUGCAUUGCACGGCUAGGCUUGUUGAGAUGCUCAAUAAGUGCUCAGAUCAGCUUCACGAGUGCAAUGAGAGUGACCCCAAAAGUAAUUUCCUAAAGGAGGAGAUUGCAAUUUUGGAGGAGGCAAAAGGUAUAACCCUUCCCAAUUUUGUUCCGCACAAUGCUUCUCUUAUAGUCUUGCAGGGUAAAGUUAGGGGGAUUUUGAGCAUACCUAUUGGGUUUGUUGAGCAGGUUUGGAGUUAUAUUGAGGAUGUGGUUUUGUCUGUGUUAAUAAGAAAUACAGAAAACUACUACCAUGUUCAAUUGUCUGCCAGAAGAGCAGGCCAUAAUCUUAUUGAAAAGAUGAAAGAAAGGUCGAUUAAUUGGAUGGCGGAGAUAGUGGAAAUGGAGAAACUAACUGAUUAUACAUGUAAUCCGGAAUAUAUAUCCGAAUGGCAUAGGCUCAUGACUGAACAAGAAACAUUCAUAAAAAAGGUCUUGCAUGAUUAUCUGAUACUUGGACCCAACGCUAAGAUAAACAUAAAUGUAGAGGGAAUUGGGAUGGUUGAAGUUGGAGGUCUAAGGAAGUACCCACAUGUCCUAUUGUCUCAAGCUUUCGACUUGAAAAUGCGGAUGACUGCGUAUUGGAAUGUUGUGCUGAGAAGGUUGAUUGGCAUCAUGGCUUUGCAUUUGCAGCUGAGUGUUUCAAACCUUGUGAACAAGGACGUGGAGAUUGAGAUUAUGAAUGAACUACUGGGACCUAGCCAUGGUGGUGGGAUUGAGAGGAUGCUGGAGGAACCUCCAUCAAUUGCAGUGAAGCGCGAGAAGCUCAUCAAGAGCAUCAAAAAGCUGAAGGAGUCUAAAGAGGUUGUGUGUAAGAUCAUGGACGACAGGUUUACUCACGCAGAUUACCUUGUGUGAUAGAUAACUAAGGGGUCCAGUUAAAUUAUGGUUUGUUUCGUGUGAAAGAAGGCAUUUUGCCAAUGAUGUGUGGUUGAUCUGUUUGUACUUAAUUAUGGAUCUGCAAUUUGUUUAUCAUGUACCUGGUUUGGUUGAUGUUCUUGUGUGGAUGAUCUGUUUCUACUUAAUUAUAAGCACAUUCUGUUUUUGUCUUUGGGUUGCUAAACCUUCCCAGGCUUGUUCCUGGAAUAGGAGGAAAUUUCUAUCCUCUGUUCCUUCCUAGAUCUCUACUUCACGACACUGAGGGUGAUGAUAGAAACACCUUCCUUUGUCAUGAUCACAAUUUGAACCUUUUUGGGGGCUUUUCUCUUUGAGUUGGGACCCUUGUUAGUCUUCCAUUUGGUCAAUAAGUAAACUCAACCAAGUAGACAUGUCAAUAUGGAUCGGAUUUUGAACCGAAUCCAAUUGGAAUUCGAUGUAAUUAAUAGGAGAUGGAUUGGACUUCUCAAUCUGAUAAUUUGAUUACAAUCCGAUAAUCCAAUUAUAGAUGGAGACGAAUAUGGAUUAUAAUUGAUCAUAUAUGAUAAUAAUCCGAUAUGACUAAGUAUGAAGUACAAUUUAGUUUUUCUAGGCUUUAUAUUAAUAUUUUAUAUGUAUAAAUGAGUAAUUUUAGUGUUAUAUGCACUAAUGAUACACUUAAAACUAAUUAUUAUGGUAAAAUAUCACAAACUGAUAUAAAAAAAAAGUAGAUAAAUACAAUAAAAGAACGAGUCUACUGAUGAAAUUUUGAUUUUUUGUACAUCACAAAGUAAAUCAGAUAAUAAUCCGAUCUGAUCUGAAUUCGACGUGUAACAAAUAUGUAUUCAUAGGUGCAAUCCGCUAGUCCAAAUACAAUAUGAAUCCGAUAUUCCGAUUAUAAAUGAAUUCGAAUAUAGAUCGAGGUAUAUCCGAUCUGAAUCCAACCCACUAAAUCCCAAAGAAAAACAGUGUUUCUUUUUAUAAUAAAAAAAUUACAAAUUCGUUCAUUAUAAAAAAUAUUGUUUUAAAAUGUUCAGUAUUACAUUAAUUUUUUUUUUUUUUUUUAAAAAAAGAAGAAGGUGUUGUAAAAGAAUAAACAUGUGGAGCCCACUAACUAUUCAUUACUAUUCAUUUGGAGACUUUUGGUAGAGUUUGUCUGUCACGGGUGAAUAGUGAAUAGUGAUGAAUAGUGAUUAUUUCAGCCUAUAAAUAAGAAGAGAAACGGAAAGAGAAGAGAAGGAAAAAAAGAAAGAAAGAGAAGAAAGAAGAGAAAAGGAAAGGAGGAAAGAGAGAAGAAAAGGAAAGGAGGAAAGAGAGAAGAAAGAGAAAGGAGGAAAGAAAAGAGGAAAGAGAGUCAGGCAGAGAAGAGGAAGAGAAGGAAGAAAUAGGGUGAGUGAGCAGAGAGAAAAUUCAGUGAGCCACACAUAUUGUAAACAUUAAAGUUGUAGCCCUAUUAUUUUACAUAGUGGAAAAGUUACUACUGCUGCUCUCCGGGGACGUAGGCAUAGCCGAACCUCGUUAAAUACUGUGUCUCAUCUACUUUACGUGCAGCUCAAUAUUCGCACAUAUUCCAGGUCAUUUUAUAACACGUUAUCAGCACGAGAAGCUCUCAGGUAUAAUUUUUGUGCUGCACUAUUAUUUAUACUACUAACCAUUAUGUUGAUGUAAAGAAGAAAAGCCAACGCAUCUAGCUUUCCACUAAUAUAUCAGUAUAAUAUAUAUAUAUAUAUAUAUUAUAUAUGAAAAGUUGAUGGUAAUAUAAUAUACUAUAUUUAUCUGCUUUUCUAUUACUAACCACUAACAAAAAUGGACCCUUGGUAAUACUAAACAUAUUAUCAGUGGGAGACCGUUACUAAUACUAACAUUUUUCUUAUUUUAUUCGGUGGUGGUUUUAACCCCAUAUUUAUUUUAUUUACUGUAUGGUGUAGGUUUAUUACCCAUACAACAGUAUUUAUUUAAGAGGGUGGUGCGGGUUUAUCGCCCAUGCCUUUGCUUUUAUUUAAAUGUAUGGAGCAGAAUUAGUGCCCAUACAAGCACGUUUACUUUAUCGCAAAUUUACUUUUACUUAAAGUAUUAUUUAUGGUAUGGUGUAGGUUUAUUACCCAUACGGCAAUAUUUAUUUAAAGGGUGGUGCGGGUUUAUCGUCCACGCCUUUGCUUUUAUUUAAAUGUAUGGAGCAGAAUUAGUGCCCAUACAAGCACGUUUACUUUACCGCACAUUUAAUUUUAUUUAAGGUAUGGUGCGGGAUUAACGUCCAUACAGCAAGCGAUUUAAUUUAUUUAAGGUAUGAUGCGGGAUUAACGUCCAUACAGCCAGCAAUUUAAUUUAUGAAUUUAAUUUACUGCACAUUUACAUUUAUUUAAAAGGGUGGUGCGGGUUUAUCGUCCACGCCUUUACUUUCAUUUAAAAGUAUGGAGCAGAAUUAGUGCCCAUACACGCACGUUUAAUUUAUGAAUUUAAUUUACCGCACAUUUACAUUUAUUUAAAGUGUAAGAUCCCACAUCAAACCAACGGAGAGGGGGGUGAUGUGCCUUAUAUGGCACACCCGCAUCCAUCUAGCACGAGGCCUUUUGGGAGCUCACUGGCUUCGGAGUUGUAAGAACUCCGAAGUUAAGCGAGUGGGAGGCUGGAGCAAUCCCAGGAUGGGUGACCACCCUGGGAAGUUGCUUCGUGAGCUCCCAGAAACAAAACCGUGCGGGCAGUGAGGGAGGCCCAAAGCGGACAAUAUCGUGCUACAGCGGAGUCGGUCCGGGGUGUGACAAUUUGGUAUCAGAGCCACUCUGCCGUGUGGUGCGAGUGUGCCGACGGGGACGUCGGACCCUUGAGGGGGGUGGAUUGUAAGAUCCCACAUCAAACCAACAGAGAGGGGGGUGAUGUGCCUUAUAUGGCACACCCGCAUCCAUCUAGCACGAGGCCUUUUGGGAGCUCACUGGCUUCGGAGUUGUAAGAACUCCGAAGUUAAGCGAGUGGGAGGCUGGAGCAAUCCCAGGAUGGGUGACCACCCUGGGAAGUUGCUUCGUGAGCUCCCAGAAACAAAACCGUGCGAGCAGUGAGGGAGGCCCAAAGCGGACAAUAUCGUGCUACGGCGUAGUCGGUCCGGGGUGUGACAUAAAGUGUGGUGCGGGUUUAUCGUCCAUACCAGUAAUUUAUUUACCAGCAAUUUAUUUUAUGGAUUAAUUGUGCUGUAUGAUGAGUUUUUACAGUAUGCAGAUCAGGACCAGAAGUUCCUUGAUCCUCAUCAUACAAUUACAUCAGGACUUGAAGAUCCUUGAUGAUGAUAUUAAUAUGAGAGCUGACAGUCUCUCCGGUACUGUAUUUGUAAACAUGUGAUCGAAAUUAAGGGUCCUUGAUCCCUGACAUGUAAAUAAGGACCUAGAGUUCCUUAAUGAUGUAACAGUACCGUAUUGGUUCAUAGUGCCGUACACAUUGAUGAUAACUGUACUGGCAGAUGAAUAGAUACGUAUUCAUGACUUGAUGAAUAGUACUAUUCACAUGAAUAGUGACGUAUGCAUAAAUAUGAACCAUUUUGGGUAAACCGUCACUAUAUACAAAAAGGAACCUGCAGUUUCAUGGUGCCGUACACAUUGAUGAUAACUGUACUGGCAGAUGAAUAGAUACGUAUUCAUGACUUGAUGAAUAGUACUAUUCACAUGAAUAGUGACGUAUGCAUAAAUAUGAACCAUUUUGGGUAAACCGUCACUAUAUACAAAAGGGAACCUGCAGUUCCUUAAACUCAUGGAUGAGCAAUUAAAUGAGAUGCCAGAAGUUCCUCAAAAUAUGGACAAUUAUGUAAGGGCUUGAAGUCCCGAAAUAUGUACAGAAAAAUGUAAAAAUGUCCAUACCAUGAGAAUAUGUGGCUUUGGCCUGAAGUUCAAAAUUUAACAGUGUUGAGAACCUGAAGUUCCAACAAUUAAAUGGACAACCCUUGAGGUAUUAUUGCAAAUUGUGGUAUGCCACAUAUUUCUUUGGCAUAAGAAGAUGAUGAAUUUAAAGUUCGAUUUUGUUAUAAUCGACACCUCAAGGAAGAAAUAUAUUUUGUGAAUUCCGGUUGUUAAGAAUACACCGCGAAAUGGAUAAUAUCAAUAUAAACCUCAAAUAAUGAAUUGAGGCUCCCCACAUAUUUUGUUAUAUCUGGGCCGGAAGCCCAUGGAUCCAAAUAUAUGAGAGAUCCUAAACUUGAAGUUGUGGGUAUAUAGUAGUUAAUGCUCUUCACUACUAUAUUGCGAUAUUAUCAUGGCUUUUACUCAAUUCACAUUUCAUGUCCAUUUGAAAAGGGCAAAUAAAUUCUGAGUUUGUGCCCAGGCCAAAAGUUCCGGGCUACCAUGCAAUUUGGGAGAGACAAUGUGGUUAUUUGAACCUAUAAGGCACAAGGUUCCAAACCGUCAUUUUGAAAAGACGUAAAAACCACAGGUGCAAGUUUAAGAAUGUGCGCAAUUAUUAUUACAGGAACAUACAACAGAUAGAUUUUUUCCACCUGCAAUGAAGGUGCAGGCCCUGUAAAAUCUAUAAAAAUUACAUUAUGUUCUGGAAGCCUCUGAAGGAAGUUGAGUUGAAACGCAGUUGCUCCAAUCAAGUUUUGCAAAGGCAAUAUCUAUAGACGAAAAUGUGGCAACAUUUCCAGGAUCCCAAUAUCUUCUCGAAUCCCCAUAUUAUCUUUUUCUUUCCCAGAGUCCAAAACUUCACGUGGCCUCUAAUAAUGCCUGUCGGCACUUUCGGCAUUUUCAAGUAUUAUUUUCAUCAAAAGCCGAUCUUGCUUUACGGAUUUCACGGAGCUACUUUCUCAAAAGCAUCCCGAGAAUCUCGCAAUUUUCCUAUGGUUAAUUUGAAAUUCACCGGUUCUACCUAUUCAUUUUAUUUGUGUAUAAAUGUAUUACUAACGAAAUUUUCUUUGCAGAAGACAUCCAGUUUUCUCCAUACCUAGUGAUGCGAUAUCUACUUGUUUUUCUUAUCAGUGAGCACUCAAUAUGCCUAAGAAGCAAGACUAUCUCUGAUCAUCCAUUCAGGAAGCGAGACUAUCCCUGAUCACGUUUCCACCACAUCAGGGAACUGUGAAGGCAACUUUAUGCUCUAAUCUCCGGAAGUUCUUCUAAACUAGAAGAAAUGAGAGCUUGUCGUUUGCUCCCACCAGCUUCCUUCCUUGAUUGCUGAGCAUGUUGUCUGCUCCCACCAGCUUCCUUCCUUGAUUGCUGAGCAUGUUGUCUGCUCCCACCAGCUUCCUUCCUUGAUUGCUUACCUUACCUUGCAAUCAAUAUCACAAUUUUUGUAUCUUUUCUUUCUUUUUAUAACUCUCUGUUCAUAAGAGAUUUUAUUUCUUUAGAAUGAACAUCUGAAGAAAGAAUCCAUGAUGUGAUCCUAACUCUGAGAGUUAUUUGUUUUUGACAGAGAAAAGAAUUGUGAUUUUUGCUCUUGCAGGAUAUAACAAGAUCAUCAAGCGAUACUUUAUAUUUACUGGGCCGAUACGAGCUUGAAUGAUACUUGAGAAAAGUUUCUCCCACCUAAGGAUGUAAGCAAUACUUGUGUUAAGCGAUACUUUAUAUUUACUGGGCCGAUACGAGCUUGAAUGAUACUUGAGAAAAGUUUCUCCCACCUAAGGAUGUAAGCAAUACUUGUGUUAUUUUAUGCUUAUAUACCUAUUUGAUAUUUUAUUUUGAAAGGUAACCAAAUGGGGAGAUAAGUCCAUUCCAAAAAAAUGGCUUAUAUGUAUCCAUGAAAUAUUAACGCAAAUUUUACAGAUUGUAAGUUGGAUACAUUGAUAAUACACUGCACAGAUUAAAGUCUCAUAAGAACAGAAUAUGGGUAUAGCAGUGAUCAAUAUGGGUGCACGCCUGUUGCGUAGCAAAUGAUAUGGAUUGAAGUCCCGAAAGGACAAUCCUUUGACAUGUCAAUAUUGAUAUUAUGCAUGCCUAAUGCGUAGCAAAUUAUAUGGGUUAAAGUCCCAUAAUAUGGGUUAAAAUCCCAUAAAUUAAUUGACAUGUAUGUAUUAAUCUGUGGCAUGCCUGCAGCAUGACAGAUAUAUGGGUUCUAAAUGUUCCAACUCCCUAAAUGGAGAUUAUCCACGCCCUACUAUAAAAUAACGCUCCAUUGGAGGUUAUAAUCCACAUUCUCACAUAAUAAAAGCCCUCUGAAGUGGCUUGGGUACCCAAAAGCAAAGAAAUGCUUAUAAUUGAUGCAUGCGCAUGCACAUGAGAAUGGUGGGAUCAUGAAUUGAUGAAUGACAAUUUUUGAUUUUGGAGUAGCUACUCAAAUCAUCAAUGGGCUGUGUUGAUUGGAACCACGUUCAAUUAUUAAAUGUCGACAAUAUUAUUGGCCAAAAUGGAACGAGGUAAUUCCAUUAUAAAUGAGAAUGAACGUGAAAGAACAAACCCACAGUACGAACCCCAAAUUUGUCAAUACUGAAAGUUAUACUUGGGUGUUCGGAAUAAAAGGGAAUAUACCUACUUUGUAUGACACAAUGUUUCUGGCAGAAACAAGGAAUGUUGGGUUUUCUCCAUAUUUAUAGAUUCAAUUGUGCCCCUUUAUUGCACAUUUACGGAGACCAACAUGUUAUCUUUAAGGGUUAUUAAAUGCACAGAGCAUAUCACCUGAAGUGAUUCCCUAAAGAUGUAUAAAUAGCUGGGUUAAAGUUAUAUAAUGUGUCAUAAAGUUUAAUCCCUUUAAACAAAAUCCUUGAAAGGAUUGAAAUUGCAUGAAGCAAGUCCCUGAAUGACAUGUGCCUGAAGCACAAAAUUUGUACUCAAUAUUAAUAUGCAUAAAUUAACUCAGUGAGUACAUUGAUUAUAAUGUGAUUGCAACACAUUAAAACUUCUGCAGAAUUCAAGAAAUAUUUGUCUCGACUUAAGGAUCGAGCAUUAUACCAACGAGAUUAUUGCUUAUACUAAGAAAGUAUUGAAGCAUUUUUAUGAGGAUUAUCCGUUGGGCACUUUAAGGAUUUUCCGGAAGUAUAUUGGACCGGACAUCAUAUUUUCCAGAUAAGGCUCAACUCCAUCACCAUC